GAUUACGUAAAUUUUUUGUGUGCACAAGGCUAUAGUACCAAAUUAUUGAAAGCUCUUACCGGGGAUAGCUAUAGCUGCUCAUCAUCACAAUCUAGUCAUGGAACACUCAGUGAUCAUCUAAACUAUCCUUCUGUUGCACUUUCCACCUCGAACCCUAAAUCCGUCAAAGGCAUUUUCAAUAGGACCGUCACAAAUGUUGGAUCACCAAAGUCCACAUAUAAAGCUAAAGUGAGUGCACCACCAGGACUUGAAAUCAAAGUUAAUCCAAGCGUUCUAAAGUUCACAUCUCUCGGGCAGAAGCUAUCGUUUCAAGUCAUGGUGAAAGGGUUGAUUGAAAAAACCAUAGUCUCUGGUUCUCUGGUGUGGGAUGAUGGUAAAUUCCAAGUGAGGAGCCCCAUUGUUGUGUAUUUUGUGUUUUGAGAACAAUAUGUGUAAUAAUGUAUGAUGCAUGAAUAAGCAAUUGCAUGAAACUAGAUAGGGCUUCAAUGAAACAAAAUUGCAACAUAUUGAUCACGAUGAUGUAUUUUAAAUGAAAACUAAAUUAUUAUAUAUUUAUGAACCUUUAAUAUGAUGUAGUACAUCGAAGUACAUUGAAAUUUGAAACGUACCCAUUUAAGGAUAUUUUAUAGCUCUCUAUGCAAUCUAAUUGUAUAUUUGAUAGUUCAUUUUUGGUCUGCAUGGGAAAUAUGGAUUUUCUCCUAUGUUGAUUACUUGAUUGAAGGCCCCAUCCCUCGUUGCCCGUUUAUACAGGUUGUACCUAUCACUAAAUCAAGUUAUCAACGAGACUUUAGUCGGAACCUUCCUGAUUAAAAACAAAAGACCGAAAAACUUCGGUGGGGACAUUUGCAAACAACGACGUAUACACAUGAAAAAUAUCAGAGUAGCAUCAUGUAUCGGUGGCAUAAAAAUCUUUACGCACCCACGUGUUCUAGAUGUUGGCACAUGAUCAUGCAUCGAUAGAUAUACGUAUGCACAAUGCAUGCCCUACCAUGCAAAUUAUGCCAAGAACAACAAUCAAUCGAGUGACCAGUGGUGGGAGAGCUAGGAAUAUUAGCAAGCUGCAUUUUCUCAAUUCCCACUCUCACUUGUUUGAGCAUACCGACUAAGAUGCUUGUUUCUUGACUUGUGGAUGUAUCCCAAGGUCAAUAUGGAUGCAUGGCAUGCGAUGUACGUCAGGAGGUUUUUCUUCUUUUCAAAAGCAGUAUAUGUUGGAAAAGUUAGACAUGGAAUUGAUACCACAGUUAAUAUGCUUUUGUACCUCAUUCCCUAUAACCAAAAAUUGCUUCAAGUAAAAAUUACCUUAUUUCGCAACAUUUCUUCAACUGGCUACUGGCUCUCUAGUUUUUCAAUUGUCAUCAUGGUCCAAGUACCUAAGCUGGGUCGGAUCAUUUUCUUCUUUGAGCAGAAGGACGUUAACCAUCGGAUUACCCUCGAUGAUUGCACAUGUUAUGCACUAAGAAAAGGUUGCAAGCGGUUAUUUGCUUGUAGAGCUACCGGCUGCCUUAUAGUACAAACUAGAAAGUUCUACCCGAACGUUGCUGCAGGAUUAAAAAUUGUGUAAAAAAAAUUAUGUUUCAAAGGUAUAAACCUAUCAACUUGUAUCACAUCUAACUGAACUACAACAACAUAUUGAAACACUUAAUAUGAAAUUCAUAAGCUAUUUGACAAUAUGAAAUCAAGCAAUUAUUGAAAAUCAGAAACGGAGCUUAGAAAGUAAAAAAUCCUACCUCAUUAUAUUAAAACAAUUAACAAAUUCUCGGUGAAUGAUCACAAAAAAUGCUCAGUUCUCACCAUAAUGAAAAUUAUGACAUCGUUUUAACAUGAACUCGAGUUCAUUUUAGUCACCAGCAUUAAUAAAACAAGUGACUUCAACCUGUGCAAGGAAACAACUGACUUAGACGCAAGCCAACCAACUUUGAAUCUAACCAAAUAAAAAAAGUAAUCACAAUCGAACUAACCUCUUCUUCCCAAAUGAAGUAGAUGUCCCCUGUUUUGCCAUUGUGAACAGUGUACUCUACUCUCAACACACAAAAAGAACACACUCAAAUUGCUGAGCAAUAUUAUAAAAGCUACACAUACAUCAUUGUAUAUAUAUUUGGACAUAAAGUAUAAAGAUCUGCUGACAGUAUCAAGCUUAAAUUUAACAAAAGCAGUAAUUACGAAUUGAAAUCAAACGAUAAUAUGGUUGUUAAAAAAAAUUCUAACUAAAUUUUACAAAUAGCAUCAUAAAUGUUAAAAAAAAAUAACACCAUUGAAAAAACUCAUUACUCAAAUAUGUAAUUCUAUAAAAACACAUCACUGAAAACUUCAAUUUCAUGUCAACCUAUAUCACAUCCAAAACCCAUUAAUAAUCUCUUCUUGUGUAUAGCUUGUCCUCAGAAUUCGCAGCUGAAAACGGAAUGUAAGUUCAGAGUAUGAUGAAAAAGAAGAAAUGAAAGAGUUGUGUCAAUGAAAAAAAAUGAGAGAGCGGGUAUCAGAACAAUCUACAAAGAAGAAGAAUUUGAGAUAAAUAAGUGGAUAAAUUGCUUACAUGAAGAGCUGAUUUCAAAUCGAUGAUCCAUUUCUCACCCAAAUAAUAUUUAACAAUUGCAAUUAGUAAAAUUUUCUUGAUAAGAUGAAAUCUAGGAGCAUAAUAAUAAGCAUUAGAAAUAGAAAAGCCUUAUAUGGUGAUUAAGGCCCUUAAUUAACUUGCGAAGCUUGAAAAGUCAUUCUCUUCACGUGGUUAAUUUGGAAGUUAUCCAAUGUAUGUAAAAACAUGAAUCAGAAGCAAAUUGAUGAAAUCGGAGGGAAAAAAUGUUACUUAGUAAUUGUAUAUGUUAUGAAGGCAUCAAAUAAAGUCCUGAUAAAAUACCAGCAUCUUUAUAUUAACCACUUUACAUAUAAAUUAUAAAUGAUUAUCAAACAUCCUUAAACAAAUUUCAUUUAGGGAAGACUGAUGAGGGAACUCCGCCUAUGUAAUUUUACAUUGCCGGUCCCAAGCCCGGAUAAAGGAGGAGGGGGAGGGCGUCAGGUAGUCGACAGCCUGCACUCCAUGAUCACGUCGAAUCCUUAUGAAAAUGAAUCCAGAACAAAAUCGCGCUAAAGCUAGGGCGUCACCCGUAAGUGGCGCGCUGUGUGGCCCGAGCACAGUGAUAAGUGAGCAAGGGUCGCUGUAUCUCCAUCGGCACCCGGAUGCAGUGUUAAAUGAGCAAGGGGGCCGUAGAAACUUCUUUUCGAACGACUCCACUCAAAGUUGUUUGGGAGCAUAUGCUCCUAUCAACUUUACACGGGACACACAAAAGAAGUACUUUGAUCCUAUUAGACGGGGGAGGGUGAAGAAGCUAGGACAGAAGGGUAGAGUUCAAGAGAGCAAAAUGCGUUUAGGAACGUGGAAUAUAGGAACCUUAACGGGAAAAUCUAUGGAAGUAGUGGAAGUUAUGGUGAGGAGAAGGAUAAAUAUUAUGUGCCUACAAGAAACUAAGUGGGUUGGUAGUAAGGCAAAUGAUCUAGAAAACUCAGGGUUUAAACUUUGGUAUUCGGGCACAAAUAGAACGAGAAACGGUGUUGGCAUCAUCGUGGACAAGACCUUGACACAAGAUGUUGUAGAUGUCAAGAGGGUAGGAGAUAGAAUCAUGGCAAUCAAGAUUGUAAUAGGACAAGAACUUAUCAAUGUGAUUAGUGCGUACGCACCUCAAGUAGGGUUGGAUACGAGUUCGAAGGAGAAAUUUUGGGAAGACCUUGGAGACUUGGUGCAAGGAAUUGCUCAGACGGAGAAGUUAUUUAUAGGAGGAGAUCUAAAUGGACACGUGGGCAGGGAGACAGGCAACUAUGGAGGUUUUCAUGGUGGCCAUGGUUUUGGAGAGAGAAACGAGGAUGGGGAAGCUAUCUUGGAUUUUGCAAUGGCAUAUGAUCUCUUCUUAGCCAACACCUUCUUUAAGAAGAGAGAAGAACAUGUGAUCACCUACAAGAGUGGGUCGUCAAAAACACAAAUAGAUUUUCUUCUAAUGAGGAAAGGGGAUCGUAUAACUUGUAAGGAUUGCAAAGUUAUACCAGGAGAGAGCGUGGCUAAUCAACAUCGCUUGUUGGUGAUGGAUGUACAUAUCAAAAGAGGGAGACAAAAGAACAAGACUUGGAAGUGCCCAAGGACUAGAUGGUGGAAUCUAAAAGAAGAAAAACAAGCCAUUUUCAAAGAGAAGGUAAUCACCCAAUGUGUGUGGGAUAGAGAGGGGGAAGCUAGCCAAAUGUGGGAUUCCAUGGCUAGUUGUAUCCGAAAAGUAGCAAAAGAGGUAUUAGGAGAGUCCAAGGGCUUUGCCCCACACCAAAAGGAAUCUUGGUGGUGGAAUGAGGAGGUACAAACAAAGGUGAAGGCUAAGAAGGAAUGUUGUAAAGCCUUAUACAAGGAGAGGACCGAUGAAAAUGGUGAAAGGUAUAGAAAAGCGAAGCAAGAGGCGAAGAAAGCGGUCAGAGAAGCUAAGUUAGCGGCUUACGACGAUAUGUAUAAACGACUAGAUACCAAAGAAGGAGAGUUGGAUAUCUAUAAAACUAGCUAGAGCAAGGGAAAAGAAGACAAGGGACCUAAACCAAGUGAGGUGCAUCAAGGAUGAGGAUGGAAAGGUUCUUGCUACAGAGAACGCGGUUAAAGACAGAUGGAGAGGUUAUUUUCAUAAUAUUUUCAAUGAAGGACAUGAAAGGAGUGCUUCUUUAGGGGAGUUGAGUAACUCAGAAGAGUGUAGAAACUACUCUUUUUAUCGUCGAAUCCGGAAGGAAGAAGUGGUUGUAGCUUUGAAGAAGAUGAAGCAUAGAAAAGCAAUAGGCCCAGACGAUAUACCAAUUGAAGUGUGGAAAGUUUUGGGAGAGACAGGUAUAACAUGGCUCACUGACCUUUUCAAUAGGAUUUUGAAAACAAAGAAGAUGCCAAAUGAGUGGCGAACGAGCACUUUGGUGCCUAUCUACAAGAAUAAGGGCGACGUACAAAAUUGCAUGAACUAUAGGGGUAUUAAGUUAAUGAGUCAUACAAUGAAGCUCUGGGAGAGAGUCAUUGAGCAUAGAUUGAGGCAAGAGACACGGGUUUCGGACAACCAAUUCGGGUUCAUGCCAAGGCGCUCAACCAUGGAGGCAAUCUAUCUCUUACGAAGAUUGAUGGAAAGAUAUAGAGAUGGGAAAAAGGAUUUACACAUGGUCUUUAUAGAUUUGGAAAAAGCGUAUGAUAGGGUCCCAAGAGACAUUCUUUGGAGGAUCUUAGAGAAGAAAGGAGUACGAGUAGCAUAUAUCCAAGCUAUAAAGGAUAUGUAUGAAGGAGCAAAGACUGCCGUAAGAACUCAUGAAGGACAAACCGAAAGCUUUCCCAUAACUGUAGGAUUACAUCAAGGCUCAUCCUUAAGUCCUUACCUUUUUGCGUUGGUAAUGGAUGAGUUAACAGGACAUAUUCAAGAUGAUAUUCCUUGGUGUAUGCUUUUCGCAGACGAUAUAGUGUUGAUAGAUGAAACUCAGGAAGGGGUAAAUGCAAAGCUUAACCUUUGGAGAGAAGUGUUGGAAUCUAAAGGUCUUCGCCUAAGCCGAUCAAAGACAGAAUAUAUGGAGUGCAAGUUCAGUGCAGAUGGAGGCCAAAACGAGUUAGGGGUGAGGAUCGGAGAUCAAGAAAUACCAAAGAGCGACCGUUUUCGUUACCUAGGAUCUAUCUUGCAAAAGAACGGAGAAUUAGAUGGAGAUCUCAACCAUAGAAUACAAGCUGGAUGGAUGAAGUGGAAGAGUGCAUCUGGCGUGUUGUGUGAUCGCCGUAUGCCAUUGAAGCUCAAGGGAAAAUUUUAUAGGACGGCAAUAAGGCCGGCGAUGCUGUAUGGCACAGAAUGUUGGGCGGUGAAGCAUCAACACGUACACAAAAUGGGUGUAGCGGAGAUGAGGAUGCUUCGUUAGAUGUGUGGGCACACGAGAAAGGAUAAAAUUAGGAAUGAGGAUAUCCGGGGUAAAGUAGGAGUAGCCGAAAUUGAAGGAAAGAUGAGAGAAAAUCGGUUACGGUGGUUUGGACAUGUGCAAAGAAGGCCUACUGACGCUCCGAUUAGAAGAUGCGACUAUGGGACAGAGGUUCAGGGCCGAAGGGGUAGAGGAAGACCUAGGAAAACUUUGGAAGAGACUCUAAGAAAAGACUUAGAGUACUUGGAUCUAACGAAGGACAUGACACAGGACCGAGCACAAUGGGACGUUCUAAGGCGUUCUAAUUCAUAUAGCCGAUCCCACUCAGUGACUUGGAUUUUCCAAGUCUCCAACCGAGAAGUUUUCCUCACUCGAAAAAUUAAGGGAACACUACCCCAACCUACAUGCUCCACUCAGAAAGCUUCAACAUACAAGCUUCAACAAAAGAAAAUUCAAAAGAACUUAGUGAAGAAGGCUUUGGUGUAUUUAACACAAUACGUUGAAAUGAAGGAAAACUUAUUUAUUGAUAUCCCCGAUAAGCUACAAAUAUGUACAUAUACAUGAGUCAAAAUAAACAAACAAGAUGGAGCCUUCACAAAGGUUGCUUAGGAGAAGUCUCAGCAGUCGGUAGAGCCCCAGAAAGAGAAGGCAUCGGAGGGGGAUCAUUCGGAGCCUCAGUACUGGACAGAACCCUAGAAGGAGGAGGCAUCAGAGGUUGAUCAUUUGGAGCUUCAUUACGCGGUACAGCCCCAGAAGACGAAGGCAAUAAAUGCCUUUGGAACAAACCCACAAAUCUCUGAUGAUCAAGUAAAACCUGACCAUCAGUUUCCUUCAUCUGGUCAAGCUUCCUCUUUCAUGUUUGUAGCAUAGUCAUGUGCGAGCCGGUGCAACUGUUUAUUCUCAUGCUUGAGCCCUCUAAUCUCCUGUUUGAGACUCAUCACUUCGGCCGCCAAUGAUUUCAACUUGGCGGGUUCGAGCAAAUAUAGGCGUUGGGCCAUAUUAGACACAGAACCUGCACACUGAACACUGAGAGCCAGUGAAUCCUUAACAGCUAACUCAUCAGACCGUUUGGAAAGUAGUCUGUUAUCUUUGGGAGUGAGAAGGUUCCUGGCCACCACCGCAGCGGUCAUAUCAUUCUUCAUCACGGAAUCCCCAACGGUAAGAGGACCAGUAGGGGAGACGAAGGAUGGGCGCCAUAUGUUGUCUGGAGAAGGCGGGGCUGCCUCUUCAACAAGGUUCAAGUCAAAACGACGGUCGGAGGGGCCAGACAUUUUCAAAGGGUAUUGAAGAGAGAAGAGGUCGGACAAAUCAAGAUCUUAGAAGUGCAAGAAUGGAGCUUCUACUGGUGGAGAUUCAAGUGUGCUUUGGAACUUAAUGCCAGCCCCUAUAAAAAGCUGCACUCGACGGAGCUUCAGACAUCGAAGAGGCGCCUGCUCAGAAAUCGAAGAGGCGUUUGCUUUCUCAAAAGCUGGGCUGCUUAGAGACCACGAGGGUUGAUCUCAUAAAUCGAAGAGGUGUCUGCUUUCUCAAAAGUUGGGCUGCUCAAAGACCACGAAAGCCGAUAUCAGAAAUCGAAGAGGCGCUCGCUUCCUCAAAAGCUGGGCUCCUCAGAGACCACGAGGGCCGAUCUCAGAAAUCGAAGAGGCACCUACUUUUCCAGCCUUGUCAGCACCUGUCACACGCACACUCAACUUUGCGGAAAUUAUGGGUAUUCUGUUGAAGACUUCUGGGGAAGUAGAAAACACAUGAAUCUUACUGUCCAAUCACCCACUUCCCACACGCAGCAAUAGCUCAUGGGUACCACAGAUAACUUUGCCAAAGUUCUCUGCCAAAGUUGAGCACGUGAAGCUUGCAGCUCCCACUACAUCGCUCUGACCAAUAAGGGUAAAAGAAUAGCAAAGAAACAGCACUAACAAAGUUUAGACCCAUAAAUUUUGAAGGUCUAGCUACCAUAUUAUUACCCACAAGGGUAAAGGAACAGUACCACUGUUGGAUAAUUGGAAAGUCCCUGUGUGUCAACCUCUGUGCCUCGUGGCAAGGUAGACUAGCAAACAUGCCCAACCUUUACUCACAUUCGAGAAAACACUCCCAAUAAGAUUGCUUGCUCCAAAAUCGAAGAGGCACCGUCCUCCGAAUCUCGAGAGCCAGACUCCCAACAUGACUACUUUCUCAAAAAUCGAAGAGAGGGUAAAGGAAACAGUACCAUUGCUGGAUAAUUGGAAAGUCCCUGUGUGUCAACCUCUGUGCUUCGUGGCAAGGUAGACUAGCAAACAUGCCCAACCUUUACUCUCACAUUCGAGAAAAACACUCCCAACAAGAUUGCUUGCUCCCAAAAUCGAAGAGGCACCGCCCUCCGAAUCUCGAGAGCCAGACUCCCAACAUGAUUACUUUCUCAAAAAUCGAAGAGACACUGCUCCCCGAAUCUCGAGAGCCAGACCCCCACCCCCAACAUGAUUGCUUUCUCAAAAAUCGAAGAGGCAUCGUUCUCCCGAAUCAAUCGAAGAGGCGCUCGCUUUCUCUCAAAAGCUGGGCUGCUCAGAGACCACGAGGGCCAAUCUCAGAAAUCGAAGAGGCACCUUCUUUUUCUAGCCUUGUCAGCACCUGUCACACGCACACUUAGCUUUUGCGGAAAUUAUGGGCAUUCUGUCGAAGACUUCUGGUGAAGUAGAAAGCACAUGAAUCUUACUGUUCAAUCACCCACUUCCCACACGCAACAAUAGCUCAGGGGUACCACAGAUAACUUUGUCAAAGUCUCUGCCAAAGUUGAGCACGUGAAGCUUGCAGCUCCCACUACAUCGCUCUGACCAAUAAGGGUAAAAGAAUAGCAAAGAAACAGCACUAACAAAGUUUAGACCCAUAAAUUUUGAAGGUCUAGCUACCAUAUUAUUACCCACAAGGGUAAAGGAACAGUACCAUUGCUGGAUAAUUGGAAAGUCCCUGUGUGUCAACCUCCGUGCUUCGUGGCAAGGUAGACUAGCAAACAUGCCCAACCUUUACUCACAUCCGAGAAAACACUCCCAACAAGAUUGCUUACUCCAAAAUCGAAGAGGCACCGCCUUCCGAAUCUCGAGAGCCAGACUCCCAACAUGAUUACUUUCUCAAAAAUCGAAGAGACACUGCUCCCCGAAUCUCGAGAGCCAGACCCCCACCAUGAUUGCUUUCUCAAAAAUCGAAGAAGCAUCGUUCUCCGAAUCUCGAGAGCCAGAUACCACAUACCACUUUUUCAAAGUGCUCUGACAGAGUUAAAACAUGUGAAGCUGGCAGCUCCCACUACCGUGCUAUGACCAAGCAGGGUAAAGGAAUAGCAUUACUACUUGUUGUUAGGGAGACUCCUAUAUAUGUCGACCUCCAUCCCCAACGGACAGGCAGACCUGCAAAAAUGCUCAACCCUUCCUCAUAUCUGAGAGGGCACUCCCAACGAAGCCUUUCGAAAUAUUCAGCUUUCUUUCCCCCCGAUAAUACCUUUGCAAACAAGCUAUACUAGAGCAAGAAUAUCUCAUAUCAUCAGGGUUAAAAGCAAGAGUAUCCCAUAUCAUGCUUUUUCCCUGUCUUUUCCUUUGGCCUUGUUUUUACCUGCAAGACAAGGAGAAAGAGAGCAAUCAGUCAGCACUUGAAAUCAAGCUUCCAGCCAGGAACUGACAGCCUGGAACCCCUUACCUGAUUACUUACCUGGCAUUGCUCUCGAGUACUCAUCUUCAACAUCUUAUGUUGCCAGGGAAGAUACCGCAUCUGCUUGAGGAACAGAUAGGGCAAGUGCGAAGGAUACAAGGAAGCAUGUGGAGACAAGCGUAACAGCACACGUGCCGAUCCAUCCAUUACUCUGUCAAAAGCAAAAGUAUCCCAUAUCAGCAGGGCCGAACGUACUCUAGAUUUGAUGGACUUGUUUUGACCCUCAAAUUCUUCAGUCGGCCUUAUACUCUGGAGGAAACCAGAAAACCCUCCAGCUCAGUUCAAGAAUAAGCCUGUGGAAAGUUACUUCUUCAAAAGCAAAAGUAUAUCCCAUAUCAUCUCUUCUCAUUUUUCUUCUCUUUAUCCUUCAUGCUGCUGCAAGAUGGGGAGAAGGUGAACAAUCAGCCGGAGCUCUGAUUGCUUACCUUGUCUGUCACCUCUUUCAGCAAAUCCCCUAGCUCGGCGACUUGGGGGACUCCUACUACAUGGUUUGUAUCGCGCUUGACCAAGCCUGAAACUACAAGUAAGCUUCAAGUGAAAUUGAUACAUUACCUAGUGCAUCUCCACCAGUUAAAGAUACCACCCCUGGAUGGAGGAAGAGUACUUCCAGAGAGCUGCCACAUCUACCUAUGAGACAGAUAAGGCAAGUCAAGAUGAUACCACACUCCGAUACUUAGAAGUUUCGUGAUUACGAGAUCAUUCUCCCACAAUAUUUCCUAAUGUCAUUUGUACUCACUAAAGGAGAGCUUGAACCUAUGUACUUGUGUAAACCCUUCACAAUUAAUGAGAACUCUUCUAUUCCGUGGACGUAGCCAAUCUGGGUGAACCACGUACAUCUUGUGUUUGCUUUCCUAUCUCUAUCCAUUUAUAUACUUAUCCACACUAAUGACCGGAGCAAUUUAGCGAAGAUCACAAAAAGCGACCGUUUUCGCUACCUAGGAUCUAUCUUACAAGAGAACGGAGAAUUAGAUGGAGAUCUCAACCAUAGAAUACGAGCUGGAUGGAUGAAGUGUAAGAGUGCAUCCAGCAUGUUGUGUGACCGUCGUAGGCCACUGAAGCUCAAGGGAAAAUUUUAUAAGACGGCAAUAAGGCCAGCGAUAUUGUAUGGCACAGAAUGUUGGGCGGUGAAACAUCAACACGUACACAAAAUGGGUGUAGCAGAGAUGAGGAUGCUUCGUGGGAUGUGUGGGCACACGAGAAAGGAUAAGAUUGAGAAUGAGGAUAUCCGAGGUAAAGUAGGAGUAGCCGAAAUUGAAGGAAAGAUGAGAGAAAUCGGUUUUGGUGAUUUGGACAUGUGCAAAGAAGGCCGACUGACGCUCUGGUUCGAAGAUGUGACUACGGGACAGAGGUUCAGGGCCGAAGGGGUAGAGGAAGACCUAGGAAAACUUUGGAAGAGACUCUAAGAAAAGGCUUAGAGUACUUGGAUCUAACGGAGGACAUGACACAAAACCAAGCGCAAUGGCGUUCUAGGAUUCAUAUAGCCGACCCCACUUAGUGGGAAAAGGCUUUGUUGUUGUUGUUGUUGUUGUUGUUGAAGACUGAUGAGGGGAUAUACGACUCACAAACAACUGAGACUGUCCUUUUUUUUUUCUUCUUUUUUUCAUAUCAACAAACACACAAAUUCUUAUAUUUCCGAAAGCACUUGCAUCCCAACAUAAAAACUUAAAUAAUACAUGAAUCAUCGAUGUUUUGCUUUGCAAACAGCCAAGGGGAUGGGAACUAAAAUAAAUUUCGUGACCAAGAACCUCUUAAAAACCAAGCUUGAAAGCAUAAAAACAAAGCUUUCAAUCUUUCUGUGCAAAUUAAUAUCAUAAUCAAUUCAACCACAUUUCCGCAAUCCAAAGCUUCAAACUUCAUACAAAAAUACAAUAAUUUUUAGAAUUUCACCCAAACAUAAAGAGAAUAAUAUUGUUAGGUGCGGAGAAGAAAAAACCAGGGAAAAAUGGAAGAUGGAUUUUAGCCUGGAAAAGCAAUUCACAGCAACAAUAAAAAGGUGAAAUUAAAAACUCAAUUGAAUCAAAUGAAGAAUUUUCUAGAGUGCAAACAAUUAGUGUUAUCAGCAAGAAGUUUCAGACCAUAAAAUGCAAAAGCAUGUGCCCAAAAUGCAAUCCUAUAAAACAUGAAACAGCAGCCAUAAGAUAAUCGGAAAUUUUCUAAUAAAAUGAACCGAAGACCAACUUUGAAUAAUUGGUAACGAUGAGGCUUUGACAUUGAUAGAGUGUGUAUGAGAGAGAGAGAGAGAGAGAGAGAGAGAGAUGGAAAUAGAGUUAGAAUUAGACCAAUGCAGAAAUCAACCUUAAGAUUCCCUCUGGGUCAAAUGGUUGCACCAUUGAUGAGAAACAGUCGGUCGGUAGAGGUUGAUAGUAGGAGAACUAACAUUGCAUUCCUGAAACACAAAGGAUUAACCUUUUUCAAUUAUCAUCAGUGAAUGCACUAAUACAGGACUUAAAUUCUGAUAUAUUCAAUAAUCUAGUUGUAAGAACUAUAUCACAGAUCAAAGAUAUGCCAGUAAGUUACCAAUACUCCAACAAUCGAACUAAGUGACAAAACUACAAACACGAAUAUGAAACCAAUGGAAAACAUACCUGCAGAACUUGAACUCGAAGAAGCCAUAGCAGCUUCACAACCAAGCAAUCUUCUCCUCUUUAGCAAAACUAGAAAACUCUCUGAAUAAUAGGUAUUCAAUACAAGAUGAGCCGUGUCUUUGCAAGAGCAGUGAUUGAGGUUAUAUACAACAUUAAUCCAACUCAUUCUCCUAUUAGAAUUAGUGUUGAACUCUAAAACAAAACCUUUUCACACAAUGAGUGUACAAGAUCAAUUAGUGUAGGAUCCGAAACCUUUUCCAGAGGAACACUAAAAGCACUCAUAAUCCUACAAGGACGAGGAUUCAACCAAACACCUUAUCAAGACUUUUCCAUUCAAGAAUUCAUCCAAUAUUAUAGCUAAUCCUCAAACAUGUUUCAUACUCAUAUUCCAACAUUCUCCCACUUGAGUAUGAAGACAUAAUGAUUAACUAAAUGAAUGAUGGAAGUGAUCACUAAGUCUAAUCAUAAGGCUCGCAAUUUCGUAUUCAAACUCACCUAUGCAAUUCAAAAUAUGGAACUCUUGAAUUCUAUCUGCACAAUUUCAGAUUUCAUCCAAGAAUUACAACAUAUCCAAGUUUGCAUGUUGUAACUGUACGAAUCAAUAAUCACAGUAAUGCCAAUACUCAUUACUCCCACUGAUUUAUGCCAAUUUUAACCCAAUCACAGUUAAAAUCUCAGCAAACAAUCAAAACAACAACCAUUCAAAACAGAACAGUACUCUAAAUAGUUCCAAAGUAUACCUCAGCAAAAUCACAAACUGAUUCACUAGCAAACUCAAACUAUUCUUAUUUCAAUACUAGCUUUCUGAAACAAUCAAUCACUAAAACGAAAAAAAAUUGAAUACUGAUGAAAACAAAAAUAAAAGUCAAGCUGGAAAAUUAGCUAGAUAAAGAUACCAGCUUGUCACAACUAAUUGAACUCGAGAAAUCUUCAAUUGCGGCAACAUAUAACCACUGCAGCCUUAAAAUAAUCCCAAAACCUGAUCACUGCUCACUCCCACUUAUCAAAAGAUUCUAACACUCCCAUUUUAGUAACAUGUGCCUUAAACGCAUUGUUUGGCAAGGCUUUAGUAAGAGGAUCAGCAAUCAUCUUUUCAGUAGGCAAAUAUAGAAUUUCGAUCUCUCCUUUUUUCACCAUUUCUCUGACUUUAAGAAACUUCACAUCCAUUAGUCUUGACGCUGAGGUUCUCUUAUUGUUCUUGGAGAAAAACACUGCAGCAUUAUUGUCACAAAACAUCUUUAAAGGCCUUUUAACUGAGUCAACAAUUCUCAUCUCAGCCACAAAGUUUCUCAACCAUACUGCUUGUUUCAUUCCUUCAAAACACGCAACGAAUUCAACUUCCAUUGUAGAAGUAGACACUAUUGUUUGCUUAGCACUUUUCCAGGAGAUAGCACCAUCAUUUAGCAUAAAGAUGUAUCCCCCAGUUGAUUUCCUCUCAUCUACGUCCCCAGCAAGAUCUGAAUCUGUAGACCCAACCAAUUCUAAGGUAUCAUCUCUGCCAUAAACUAAUUGAUAAGCUUUUGUUCUCUGCAUGUAUCGUAAUACUUUCUUUGCAGCCACCCAAUGAGAUUCUCCUGGAUUUGUUUGAAACCUUCCUAACAUUCCAACAAUGAAUGCUAAGUCAGGCCUCGUACAAAUAUUAGCAUACAUAAUGCUUCCAACUAAUGAGGCAUAAGGCUUCAACUUCAUCAAUUCGACCUCAUUCUCAUUCUUGGGACAUUGAUCUCUAGAAAACUUGUCACCUUUAUUAACUGGAAUUUGCCUUAUUGCAUUUCUCCAUAUUAAAUCUGUUCAAUACCCUUUCAAUGUAUCCCUUUUGAGACAGCCCCAGAAGCUUUCUUUUUCUGUCUCUUGUUAUUUCAAUCCCCAGAACAUAAUGUGCUUCCCCUAAAUCCUUCAUUUCAAAAUUGGUACUCAGAACAGUCUUCGUCUCUCGAAGUAAUUGCAUAUCGGAACUUGCAAGUAGAAUAUCAUCAACGUAUAGGACCAGAAAAAUGAACUUUGAUCCUUUGUGUUUUAAAUAUAUGCAAUCAUCCAUCUUGUUCUCAACAAAACCAUGAGCAGUAACUACCUGAUCAAAUUUGAGGAACCACUGCCUAGAUGCUUGUUUAAGUCCAUAAAUUGACUUGUUUAGCUUGCAGACCAUAUUAUCUUUCCCCUUUCAGAAAAUCCAGGAGGUUGGACCAUGUAUAUGUCUUCCUCUAAAUCACCAUUCAGAAAGGCGGUUUUAACAUCCAUCUGGUGUAGCUCUAGAUCAAAAUGAAAUGUCAAAGCCAUGAUGAUCCUCAUAGAAUCUUUGGAAGAAACAGGUGAAAACGUGUCAUUGUAAUCAAUCCCUUCUCUCUGAGUAAAGCCUUUGGCUACUAACUGAGCCUUGUAUCUCUCUAUGCUCCCUGCAGCAUCCCUUUUAGUUUUGUAGACCCACUUGCAACCUAUUGGUUUAGCAUUUGAAUUGGAGUUCACAAGGGUCCAUACUUUGUUCUUGGCCAUGGAAUCUAGCUCUUCCAUCAUCGCUUUCUUCCAUAAUGCAGCUUGAGAACAUUGAAUUGCUUGUUGAUAAGUGGCUGGAUCAUCUAUAUCACCUAUGUCGAAUUCUGCCUCUUGGAGAUAGACAUAAUCGGUUGAAAUUGCAGGUUUCUUGGCUCUACUUGAUUUCCUCAGAUUCAAUUGAUCAUUUACUGGACAUGUAUCUUUCUCAAUGGGAGAACUUGGAGCACUUAGGGGUAUAUUUCUUGCAGAAAAGGUAUCUCCAUGUUCAUUUUGUAUUUCAGCAACUAUUUCAUGUGUCAUCUCUUCAUCAAGAUCUUCUUCCUCUGUCUGAUUUCUAGGCAACACUGAAAUAUGGUUGUAGGCCAUUGGAACCGAGCCAACGAGUUGUUCUGAUUCUUCAAACUCAAAAGUGUCAUGCACUAAGUCUGAUACAUCUUGGUCUUCUAAGAAAACUGCAUUGUAAGUCUCUUGAAUUCUUGUCUGUGCUCGAGGACAAUAAAAUUUAAAACCCUUCGAUUUCUCUGAAUAUCCCACAAAGUAGCAUGAACUGGUUCUAGAAUCGAGCUUCCUUUCAUUUGGGUUGUAAAACCUAGCUUCUGCUUUGCAACCCCACACAUGAAAAUGAUGAAAACUUGGUGUUCUGCCAGUCCAUAGCUCAAAAGGUGUUUUUGGCACUGAUUUUGUAGGCACUCGGUUCAACACAUAGUUUGAUGUCCUCAAUGCUUCGCCCCACAGAAAACCAGGCAGCUUAGAUCUUGAAAUGAGACUUCUAACCAUUCCCAUCAAGGUUCGGUUUCUUCUCUCAGCCACUCCAUUCUGUUGGGGUUUUCCUGGAGUAGUAUACUGAGCCACAAUGCCUUGUAACUCAAGAAAUCGUGCAAACGGACCCUUCUGUUGCCCUGCUUCUGUGUGCCUGCCAAAAUAUUCUCCUCCCCUAUCUGAUCUAACAAUCUUAAUUUCAAGAUUUAGUUGUUUUUCUACUUCACAUUUAAAAACUUUAAAACACUCAAUGACUGCUGACUUUUCUUUUAUUAGAAAAAUGGAACCAUGUCUGGAGUAGUCAUCUAUAAAACUCACAAAAUAUGAAUUUCCACAAAUGGUUUUGACAGGAAAAGGUCCACAAACAUCUGUGUGUAUGAUCUCAAGUAAAUUUUUACUUCUAUUUGCAUCCAAUUUCCUAACAUUGGUGGUUUUACCUUUCAUACAAUCAAUGCAAUCAGAUGCAUCAUUAAAAUCUAAUGCAGGUAUAAAGUUUAACUUUGACAAUUGCAUGAUCCUAUCUUUUGAAAUGUGUCCUAGUCUUUUGUGCCACAACAUAUAGGAAUUGUCAAAGUUAUGCAUUCUUUUGGCAGUUGUGUUCAAAAUACUUAAUUCAAUAUUUAAUACCGUGCACUGCAUUUUCCACAAAUGAUCAUGCAAAAUAGCCUUUCCUAUUAGAGACCCUCUACUGAAAAAUUUCAUGCAUUCUUUGUUACCUAUGAAGGUGACACCUUCAUUUACUAACCUAGAUGCAGAUAUUAGAUUUCUCCUCAUUGCAGGCACAUAUAACACAUUUGACAAUUCUAACACAAAACCAAAAGACAAUUUGAGUUUUACCUUUCCUAUGGACUCAACUAUGACUCUGGUUCCUUCACCAACAUAAACAUUAUAUGCAUUUGCUUGUUUCUGUUUUUCAAAACCAUGCAGUGAAUUUGUUAUAUGCACAGAUGCACCAGUAUCAAACCACCAAGAAUUUGCAGGAAUUUCAAUGAGAUUUGAUUCCUCACAGACAUAUACAUUAGUCCUACCCUUAGCCCUCAGCCAUUCCUUGAAUAUUUCACAAUCCUUUCUAUAAUGACCUUUAGUUUUGCAAUGGUGACACCUAACCUUUUCUAUGUUUUUACUUUUGACCUUAAAAUUGUUAGAUUUAGAGGAGUUGAAAUUCUUAGCAGGCACAUAAGAUUUAUCAAGGUGUUUGGGUUUAGAAGUAUUACCAAAAUUUGCAUUGAAGUCUUUCUUUCGAGAUGUCUGCACAAAAUUGACAGCCUCAACUUCUUUUCCUCUAUCCAUCUUCUGUCGAUUUUCCUCUUGAACACACUGAGAUAUAAGCUCAUCCACUGACCAUGACUUAUCUUGAGUGUUGUAGGAGACUUUCAGUUGACUGAACUUCAAAGGAAGUGCUUGCAGGAUCAUGAACACCAGCUGUUUCUCACAAAUAUUCAUAUCUAAUGAAUUGAGUUUUUCAGCCGCAUCUGUCAUCUUCAUAAUAUGAUCUCUUAUUGAACCACCCUCUUCAAACUUGUAAGUUGUGAGCAGAGUCAUGUACUGAGCAAUUUCAGCCUUCUGUGAUUCCUUGAACUUAUUCUCAAUAGCUUUGAAAUAAUCUUUUGCAAGAUCACACCUUUUGAUGCCUCCUCGCACGGUGUCCGUCAUCCCACUUUCCAAAAUUGACAAUGCCACUUUAUUCGCUCUUGUCCAUCUUUCAAACUCUAACUUAUCAGCCUUUGAACUCUUAUCAGUAAGAGGUGCAGGCUGUGGUGUAUCCAGUGCUAUGUCAUAUUCAUUCAGUGUCAAAAGCAAUUCAAUUUCCCUUCUCCACUUUCUGUAAUUACUUCCACCCGUGAGUAUUGGCACAGCAGCCAAAUUCAUUGUUUUUAGUGAAACUGCAGAAGAUAACAAUGAAAUCAACACUUUGAAUCUUUUAGGAUUCAUGAUUUCUAUCUAUUUCACCAUGUAAUCCUCAUCAUGAGUCAAUUUUGUCAUACAUGGUUUCAAACUUUGAUAAAGAUAACCAUAUAUAGAGUAAACAACUCACAGAAGAUUGCAUUCAAGAAUCAUGUUCAAAAGGGAUGAUGUUCAUAUAUCACACCACAUGAAUCGAAUAUCAAAAUUCAAUAAACCCAAUAUAAAACAGCAGCGGAAACUCAAAAAUAAUUGAUUCAGUUUAUCCAUUUAGAUGAUUUUGAUUCGAAUUGGCGAGAUGCUAGCAAAUUCUCUAAUUAUAAGCAUAUAUACGGUAUUCUUUAGUUCAAAUAAUUUCUUACACUAAUUUCAAGUUUUAAAAUUGUAGACAUACCUUUUGGAACAAUCAAUGAAUGCAAUUGGCAUGAGAAGGAUAAAAAGGACGAAAAUUCCUUAAAUCGCUAUAAACCCAGAAACUGGGAAAAGGAAAAGAGCUAAGGGAGAGGAAAAGUCGCAAAACCCAGCAAACAUAAGGGUAAGACCCCUUUUUUUUUUUUUUUUUUUUUUUUUUUUUUUUAAUAAAACGGUGUCGUUUGCUAUUGUUAUUUUCAAAACAGGUUAUGAUUCUGGGUUUGGUAAUUAUAGGUUCUUGUCCAGAUUGUUGUGCAAAAAAAAAAAAUAAUAAUUCGAACUUAAUGGCAAUUAUCUCUCCCAAGCUCUAAUACCACAUGUAAGAACUAUAUCACAGAUCAAAGAUAUGCCAGUAAGUUACCAAUACUCCAACAAUCGAACUAAGUGACAAAACUACAAACACGAAUAUGAAACCAGUGGAAAACAUACCUGCAGAACUUGAACUCGAAGAAGCCAUAGCAGGUUCACAACCAAGCAAUCUUCUCCUCUUUAGCAAAACUAGAAAACUCUCUGAAUAAUAGGUAUUCAAUACAAGAUGAGCCGUGUCUUUGCAAGAGCAGUGAUUGAGGUUAUAUACAACAUUAAUCCAACUCAUUCUCCUAUUAGAAUUAGUGUUGAACUCUAAAACAAAACCUUUUCACACAAUGAGUGUACAAGAUCAAUUAGUGUAGGAUCCGAAACCUUUUCCAGAGGAACACUAAAAGCACUCAUAAUCCUACAAGGACGAGGAUUCAACCAAACACCUUAUCAAGACUUUUCCAUUCAAGAAUUCAUCCAAUAUUAUAGCUAAUCCUCAAACAUGUUUCAUACUCAUAUUCCAACACUAGUUACCAGAGAAUGACUUUUAUCCUUCUAUAAACAGGCAGUUGAUAAAGGUGACUCUGGCCCAAUAUAACUUGACUCAUAAACUGGAAACUUUGAGGCUUCAAACUCUGAGCCAAAAGUUGAAGCUUCUCACUCAACAAACAAAAAUUACAAAUCCAAAACUAAAAAGAAUCAGAAACAAACUAAAACAUGGGAUUGGUGAAGGCCAUACCUUCGAAAGCAUAGACGCAGACAGCUCUUCGAGAGCGAUCCCAACUCCGGGGUCGGAGGCGGAAACAGAGGCCAAUAUCCUCAAGAUUUUGCGUUGACGAUUGUGAGAUCGGGAUAAAACGGUCGAAACCAAAUUUGCAAGUUUUGAAAAAACGUUAAGGAAUCUGGGUUUCAAUGAAUAAGGAGGUUGCAAAUAAAAUCCCCAAAGAAACAAAAAAAAGGUCUCCCAUGUCGGUAUUUUGUGAGAGAAAAAGCGCAAGAUUCGAGAGCGAGUUCAACAGCAGCAGAAGCACAGAUUUGUGAGAAAGAAGAAAUCGAAGGAAAAAUCGAGAAGAUGCAAGAGAGGCUUGAGGCAAGCAUGGACAAAUGGGUAAUCUUACGUGUAAAGAGGAGAAAGAACGGAGCAGGAAAGCUGUUUGACAAGGCAAUAUCGCUAAUUUAAUUCUGGUGAGCAACGCUUUUCCACCAAGUGGAUGGCAAGGGCAAAAACACCUUUUUACUGUGAAAAAGACGCAAAAACAAAAUGGCACAUAAAAAAGCAUUCAGAGGGCAUUUUCGUCCGUUUACUGCUGGUGAACAGUGUUUUUUUGCUUGAGUUUUAGUAUAGGUUCAACUAAAAAUUGUUAUCCGCGUGAUUAGAAACUGUUAAAAAAAAUUAUCAUAGACUAUUAAUAUUAUUUACAUUAAAAAUGUUACACGAUUUUAACAAACAAAAAAUUUAAUCUAUACAGUAUACACACAAACAAUUGUAGAACUUUUGUCUUUACAUAAAAAAAAUAAAAAAAAUCUAAGUUAUUCACUGAAGCACCUAAAGUUUCUUGAUUGUGAAGAAAGCAACCUCAGCAAGGAAAAAUAUGAAAUAUUAAAAUACAUGCAAUUAAUUUAUACAUCAACGGGCUUAUAUUACAAAAAAAUAAGGAUAAAGUAUUGCUACCUAGUCUUUUUUUUUUUGGAGGAAAAUAAUCUGAUUUUAUACCAAUUAGAGAGAACUUUUUUUCAGCAAUUUAAUAGUCUAAUAAAUUGAUUAUACAAAAAAUCCAUUAAAAAAACCUAAAAACAAUAAACUAUUCACUAAUUUUUCAUACGAAAUAGAACAAAGCUAUAGAAUAUACCUUUUCAUAGUGAGUAUUGUGAAAAAUACAACAUAGCUUGAGACAAUGGUAAUUAACGUGUUUGGAAAAGUCUACCUGCGUGGUGGUGUAAUCGUCACAUAGAUAAACUUCAAUGCCAAUUGAUUGAACUAAGUUUUUUUUUUUUAACAAACAAUAUUAUCUACACUAAAGAGAAAGGUAAGCUUUAGCCUCACAACAAGAGAAGCCUUGCGCAGAGCUCUACCUCUAACAACUCAAUUAUAUCUUGAAAUCGGCUAAGUUGGUAUUGUAACACGGUAAGGUUGGGUAGAUUUUAGAUCCAAAUGUCACCAAACAAUAUUCUGCAGAAUGGCAGUGUUCUGUCUAGAUUGUCCAUGGCACGGACGUAAACUGGAUGAUAACGCAGGGCAACACUGGUACUAUACCCUAAACAUCCACAAGCUAUAAACAAAUAGUUAAAGUUCAUAUGCACCAAGGGUACUAAAACUCAACCCAUUGUUUAGUAAGAAGAACCACAAAAACAAAUUAGUAAAAACCGAAAUGGUUAUCAGAUGGACACAAAGGUUUUUGUACUACGUGAAACUUUGCGUCGAGAAAUUGAAACAACUAUCAGGAGACAGUUAUACGGAUUUCCUACAAUUCUAUAAAUAAUGUAUUCUUUCACCAUUGUUUCAAUUCAAACAAAAAUUAAAGAACAGAAAAGCUAGAAGCAGGAAAAUUGCAACUGAUCAAUAUUUUCCAAACAAAACCAACCUGCAAUGUCCUAGUUGCAAAUUCAACUCCAAUGGUGGACUUAGACUCCAAAGAAAACUCAUUCCUCGUAAACCUCGAAAGAAUGUUCGAUUUUCCAACACCCGAAUCUCCAAUCAAUACAAUCUUGAAGAGGUAAUCGUAUUCGUGAUCCACCUUGUACGCCAUACGUUCUACUCCUCACACACACACCCCCACAACACCUGCCCAGAUCCAGAAUUCACCAAACAAAAAGCUGUUAGCAGUCAAAAAACCAAAAAAAUAAACCCAUUCUCUUGUUUUGACAGAAGGGAUGAGAAAAGUGCUGAUCAGAGAGCAUUUUCUUUACCUACGGUUUCUUUCCAAUGUGAUUUUCCCGAGAAACAAACGGAAAUUGGGUAAUCAUAAAACAAUGACAAUGGCGCGUAGAAUGGUGAUUAACAAAAUAGAGGAUUUUUUGAAUGUUGGGUUUUGUUAUGUUUGCAUUGAAGUUUGUGGAAACAGAGGAGAGGAGAAAAGAAGAAGAAAAGGAUGGCGUUGUACAAAGUUAGAAACAGAACAAUGGAUGAAAAUGCACUUAAACGGCCUUUCACGAGGGAACUGACGCGCCGAAUUCGGAGUCUAUGUAAAGUAAACGACCAUUCAUAAGACAUGACGCAUAAAAUUUAAGCCCAUUCUCAAUAUGGGCUUAGGGCAUAUGUUUGUAACCCACUGAAAAGCUCCAUUAGGGUUUCCUAUCACACACUAUUUAUCUCUCUACACACUUAUGUCAUGUAGUCAUGUUUAAUCAUAUCAGUUGACUAUUGAUUUUAUCAACUUGGGUUACUAAAAAUUAAGAAAUGAGUGCAAUUAUCAUUUCUAACUGUUUUAAAAUGUUAGGAUGAUUCAUAAACAAAUUGGAAGUUCAAAAGAUAAGUCGGAAUGAGCCCCUAAAUUCAAAGGGCAUUUGCCAUGUCUCUCUGUUUUGUGAAUCAUUAAAAGUGACAUUAUUUAUCCUUACAUAUUUUGUCUUUGGUGCACAAAGUGACUACUACUACCUACCACUACAAACCUAACCUCUUACACCACCAUUGUUACCACCACGCCACCACCACGACCAUAACACACAAGCGUCACCACUACCACCACUUACCUCUGUGGCUCAACCACCACACCCCUUAAUCAGCAGCACCACCACCACUAUCACAACCAUUGUCCUAGCCACCGUUGUCAACGUCAUCACACAAAUUAUCAUGUCCAUUUUUGUUAUUAUAUACAAUUAUAUCAUUUUACAUUAAAUUUUACCAAACACGCUUUUACAAUGCUUUUCAUACUCACAACACUUAUAAAAAUACAGUUAUCAAACGCUCAGCUACUUUAUUUUGUAGCUGAUUAUUCUUAAAGCACAACAUAAACAAUUUUUUUUUAAAGCAUAGUACUCCCCAACUGGCCCUAAGUCCACAAAUGAGUCAUCCCAAGCAAAGCCGGUCUUGAGUUUUUUGGUGCCCGGAAAAGAAUCAGAAAGUGCCUUUUCUUAAUACACGGGUAUAUAUUAAAAAUAAAUAUUUAAAAAGAGUGGGCCAAACCCUUCAUACAUAUUAUAUUACUCAAGUGCAAAGGUAAACGUUCAUAGCUAAUAAGGAUAAAACUGUUAAAAGCAUAGUUAGUUAGAAUUGUUAUAAGGUGGUUAUGAUAGCUUGUAAUUAGUGAAUGUUUGUUUGGGUAUUUUUGUAAUUAGCUGGUUAGCUAAGACUAGUGAGUCACUAGUAUAUAUAUGUACAUACCAUUGUAUAAUUUUAUCUUGAUGAAAUGAAAAGAUAACAUUUCUAAUAUGGUAUCACCCACCUAAAAGUCUCACGACAUUUUCGAUCCUAUUUUUCCCGCCUCUCUCUCUGCAUCGUCUCCUAGGGUUUGCUUCUUCUUCUCCGAUCAAUCGAUCGCUUCAACACUCUUGCUUCUUCUUCUUCAUGCUAUGACGAGCUCUGCAGCUUAGUCUUCUUCCGCUUCAGAUUCUUCUAUUCAUCCAAUUCCUGCUGCUCUUUCUAACCCUAAUUCUGCAAUUACGAUCCAAAACAUUGGAUCCAUGGUUCCAAUCAAGCUUACAACGACGAACUACCUGACCUGGAGUGCUUUAUUCACUCCGAUUUUCCGCCGGUACAAUCUUACCAGAUUAAUUGACUGCACAAUGGCUGCUCCGUCGAAAUUCCUUCUCGAUGCAUCUGGAAAUUGCACCGCCACUCUGAAUCCCCAAUAUGUUGCGUGGUAUGAGAAUGAUCAGAACAUCUUGAUCUAGAUCAACUCUACGCUCUCGGAUGCAUUCUUUACACUGUUGGUGUUAAUUCGGCUCGGGAGUUAUGGUCCAAGUCAUGUAUUUCUCUUUCUAGUGUUUUAAAUAAAACUGUCUGCUCCAGCUGUGCUCUAGGCAAGUCUUCAAAAUUACCUUUUGUUUCUGUUUCCUGUACCUCCAAUAAACCUCUGGAAUUGUUACACACUGAUGUAUGGGGUCCAGCCCCUCUUCUUUCUAUCAAUGGACAUCGUUACUACAUCAUUUUUGUUGAUGAUUAUACCAAAUACACUUGGUUCUUUCCUCUUGCAUCCAAGUCUGAUGUCUUUGACACAUUUGUCAAAUUUAAAGCUCCCGUGGAAAAUCUACUCAGUUCUAAAAUAGUUACUAUAAGAUCUGAUUCUGGUGGAGAGUUUCUUAGUCUCAAGCUCAUCAAUUAUCUGCAAUUACAUGGCAUUUCACAUCAGUUAAGUUGCCCUCACACGCCUGAACAGAAUGGCUGUGCUGAACGCAAACAUCGGCAUCUAGUUGAAACUGCUAGAACUUUUCUAGCAGCCUCUCAAGUUCCUAAGCUCUAUUGGGAUGAUGAUUUUGCCACGGCUAUCUAUCUGAUUAAUAGAAUGCCAACAGCUACCAAGUAUUCUCCUUGGGAAUUACUCUUUCACAAACCUCCGGAUUAUUCCUCUCUGAAAGUGUUUGGCUGCAAAUGUUUUCCUUGGUUGAAGCCUUACAUUUCCUCUAAACUUGAUCCAAAGAGCAAAGUAUGUGUCUUUUUGGGUUAUAGUUUGAAUCACAAUGGUUAUAAAUGUCUCGAUCCUCAUACUGGCAGAGUAUAUCUUUCACGGCAUGUUAUUUUUUAUGAAGUCACUUUUCCUUUUGCUCAACAAGACUUAUCUCAGUCUCUCCCAUCUAGUUCUAGUUCUUCUAUACUGAGGAAUCAUCACACCAUUCCCACAACCUUAACUUUUCCCACUAUAUCUUCACCUUUACCAUCUCAUUCCCUUACUGCACCUAGUUCCCUUAUUGCAUCUAGUUCUCUUGCUGCACCUAUUUCCUCUUCCUCAUCUCCUCACCUUAUUUCUCAUCCCAUCUCUGCCCCUAAUCCACUUGCCGCACCCUCCAUACCUCAAAACACUCAUGCCAUGCAAACUCGUUCCAAAUCCAGUAUUGUCAAACUAAAGGUUUUUUUAGCAACCAAACAUCCCAUUUCCUCUGAGAUGUCACUGGACUAUAUACCAUCCACUUAUCUUCAAGCCUCCAAACACUCUCACUGGAGGCAAGCUAUGCAGGAAGAAUUUAAUGCUCUUAUUCAAACUGGCACUUGGUCUUUGGUCCCUUCUCAUUCUUCUCAGAAUUUGGUUGGUGCAAAAUGGGUAUUCAGAAAUAAACGCAAGCCUGAUGGUACCAUUGACAGGUACAAAGCAAGGCUUGUUGCCAAAAGAUUUCAUCAGCAACAAGGUUUGGACUACACUGAAACAUUUAGUCCAGUUGCAAAGCCGGUUACCAUUCGGCUUCUUCUCACUUUGGCUGCCAAGUUUGAUUGGUUCCUCAAUCAACUUGAUAUUAGCAAUGCAUUUUUGCAUGGUAAUCUCACUGAAUCUGUGUUUAUGGUACAACCACCAGGAUUUGAAGACCUUACAAUGCCUUCUCAUGUUUAUCAUUUGCAUAAGUCUUUGUAUGGUUUGAAGCAAGCCCUCAGGGCUUGGUAUGAGAAAUUAACAACUGCCUUAAAGUCUCUCGAUUUCUCUGGUUCUCAGAAUGACUAUUCUCUAUUUGUAAAACGGGAACCAGCUCUGGUCUUCAUUCUAAUUUUGUUGAUGACAUUAUUGUCACUGGUCCAAGUUCCCAUCUUUGCCAAGAGGUUAUAACUCAACUCGGUGUCUUAUUUCCUGUCAAAGAUCUUGGCCCCCUUUAUUACUUUCUUGGCAUUGAAGUAACAAGAUCAUCCUCGGGGAUAUUGCUUUCUCAGACCAAAUAUAUUCUUGAUCUCCUCACUAAAGCUCAUAUAGAGGGUUCCAAGCCUUGUGUUACCUCGAUUAGCACCACUAAAUUGGAUCAUAAAUCUCCUUUGCUUGAUAAUCCUGAAGAAUAUCGAUCUUUGGUUGGUGGUUUGCAGUAUUUAACUUGGACUAGGCCCGACUUAUCUUAUGCAGUGAAUUUGGUCUGUCAAUUCAUGCAUAGUCCUCGGCAAGCACAUUUCCAGGCCGUCAAGCGCAUUCUUCGAUAUCUUAAGGGUUCCUUGCAAAUUGGCUUAUGGUUUCCUAAGUGUUCCAAGUCUCUCACUCUCACUGCCUUCUCCGAUGCAGAUUGGGCAGGUUGCAGUAUUGACAGACGAUCCACUAGUGGUUUUGUAAUUUUUUUGGGAGACAAAGAGUGCAAAGAAACAGCCUACUGUGGCUCGAUCCUCAACUGAGGCUGAAUAUCGAUCUUUUGCAAACACUGCGGCUGAACUCACCUAGAUUUGCAAGUUACUGACUGAUGUUGCUCUUGUUCUUCCCUCUUAUCCACAACUUUGGUGUGAUAAUAUCUCUGCAAUUUCCUUGGCUAAGAACCCUAUUUUUCAUGCACGAACCAAACAUGUGGAGAUAGAUUAUCACUAUAUCCGCGCAAAAAUUGCUCGCCAAUCAAGUGCAAGUUCUUUUUGUCUGCACGGAGGAUCAACUUGCUGACAUUUGUACUAAACCUCUAUCCAAGCCUCGGUUCAUCUUCCUUCGCAACAAACUCUCUCUUCGGUUCCCUCAGUUAGGUUUGCAGGGGGGAUAAUAAGGAUAAAACUGUUAAAAGCACAGUUAGUUAGAAUUGUUAUAAGGUGGUUAUGACAGCUUGUAAUUAGUGAAUGUUUGUUUGGGUAUUUUUGUAAUUAGCUGGUUAGCUAAGACUAGUGAGUCACUAGUAUAUAUAUGUACAUACCAUUGUAUAAUUUUAUCUUGAUGAAAUGAAAAGAUAACAUUUCUAAUAAUAGCCACUUUAAACUAUAAUCAUUAAGUUCAUCUCCAACUGAACGCUGGCCAAAUGGCUUGUUUUAGCCAUCUGAUCCUCCAAGAAAUUAAUAUUUUAAUGAACUGUGCAUGAUCAUAUUCUUACCAUCUCCAACCGAGGGCCAAACAUAAUUUAUUAUUUAAAUUUAAAAACUACAACUUAAAUUAAAAAAACUACAACUAAAAUUUAAUAACUACAAGUAAAAUUUAUAAAAUACAACUUAUAUAUUUCAAGUCAAAUGUGAGAGGUUUUAUUUAGAGUAGCAAAAAAGGAAAUAAGUGGGAGAGGAAGUAGGAGAAACUAAAAAUGUGGAAGUGGGUGGGAGAGGAAGUAUAAAAAUAUAAAAAAAAUGGAAGUGGGUGGGAGUCCCACAUCGGUUGUGAGAAAGAUUUGAGCAAGUUCCAAAGCCUAUAAAAAGAACACCUAACAUUCAAUGAAACAUACUUUCUGGGCCUAUAAUUGAAUAUAUUUUUUUAAAAAUUUUGGCCAACAAAAAAAAAAUUCAAAUAACUGUAAAAAAAACAAAAAAAAGGGCUAGCUAACUUUAGCUAGUUGACAGUUGCUUUUGAAUUUUAGCCCGGCCAGUUGGCCCUUUGACCCUUUUUUAUCUAGUGGGGCCCACAAUCCCUUUGGUCUAGUUCUUGGUUUGAGGCAAUUUUAAGGUCAUUUUCGACCCUCUGACACCUUUUGGUUGAAGAUGACCUAACAGAAAAAAAUUGAACAUUUUAUGAGACUUCUCUCUCCGAAGAGGUCCCAAAUUUAAGUACUAGUAAACGGGUGCAUUUUUACUCACCCACAUUAACUUAGGUGUAUGCUCACCACACAACUCCAAGCUUGCCAAGUGUCCCUUUGCUUUAAUCCUAGUUAACAUUUUCAUUUGUUAUUAAUAUUUUACUAUAAUAAUACAUUAAUAAUCAUCUUAACAUUUAUCUUUGAACUUUUUAAUCAAUAUUUGUAUCUCAACCGUCCAUCUCCCCUCUUCCUCCCCCCUCCCAUCUCUCUCCUCUGUCACUUUUCCCCCUUUUCUGUCAUUUGGGUGAAUAUCCCAAAUCUAAAAUCUCAAAUUCUAAUACAAAUUUAAAGGGGAAUGGGUGAAUUGAUUUGACGGGGUGAAGUCCAUCAAUAUCGUGAGAAAGGAGCAUGAUGAGUAGAUUUUAUAUUAUAUAUGUUACCCUAAUCUUAGUAUAUUUUGGUUAACAUUUUGGAAGAAUUUUGAUACUUUGAAUUGUAUUUCCAAUAUAGGACUUUCGACUUCUUCUGGAGCAAAACAGAAUCAAAUGGACGAUUUUUUGAGUAAUUCUAGUUGGAGAACGUUCGUGAGUCACUUAUAUUGAUCGUAUCAAAAUCUGGGAUUUUUCCACUAAGCAGUUAUUUUCUGGCGAUAAAAUAAAGGAGCGAUGUGCAGUGCUGGAAAAUGACGUUUUUUGGCUUAAAUUACGUUUUUGUAGCCCAAGAUGACCUCGGAUGGGUUCGUGGCCUUCUGGAGAAGUGUUCAUAAUGUUCCAAACAUUAAAUUCAGCUAUAUUGGGCUGGUUUUGGAGCAGCUUAUGGGUCCAAAAUGUGGCUGUUCAGAUUUUAGGCGAAUUUUCCCAUUUAAUUUAGGAUUAUGUUUCCUAUUUUAUUUAUUGUUACUAUUAGUUUCCUAGAGGAAAAAAGGACCUGUUUUUAGGGUUUGUGUGGUGGUUUAGCAAAUAUAUUGCUUAGCCGUCUACCACAUUUUUCUCUACGCUUUAUUUUAUGCAAUUUUGAAGACAGAGAGAAGUGCUAGGGUUUUGGAGAUUUUCUACUUGAAGGUGUUUUCAAUCAUUUUCUUAAUAAUAUUUUCUAUGAUUUCAAUUAUGAAUAUGCAUAACUAAUUUCCUAUUGCUAGGGCGAAGCCUUGAGCCUUAACAUGAAUACGUGAUUUUUAUUUAAUUGCUUAUGAUUGAUUGCAUGCAUACUUUGAAUUGUUAAUCACCGGGAUAAAAACUAUCUAAUUAUCUUAAUGCAUGAUCACCAUUAUGAUCUUUAGAAAAGUAAUUUGAUGCAAUUUUGGUCGGAAGGUUCCCUGAAAUUGACGCUGGCUUCAUGUGAUUAAUAAUUGUAAUUUCACUUAAGAUGAACACCACGUCUUAAAGGUUGCAUGGUUUUUCAAAGGAUUUUCAUAAAGUAUAAUGAGUCUUUGAUGUUCAGAUUUGAUCUGAAUGUCCGGACAUGUUGCAUGUUAGAUAUACGUUCUAUGUUGGAGGUUCCAAGUAGAAUAUGAAUUAGGAAAAUCUAACCUUCAAAGUGGCAUGUGUAGAUCAUAAGUAAUUGGUAAAAAUUCAUAGGAUUGCUAGGUGAUGGUGGAACCCUAGUGUUUUCUUAAUUUGAUUCUUCCAAAACUGUUUUCUUUUUCCCCCAAUUUUAAUAUUGCAGAUUGUCUUAUUUGUUUUAAUUAAAUUCGUUUUUUAAUUUAAGUAGGCUAUAAAAUCAAUCAUCAUAAUUUCUACUUUACAAUAAUUAAUUGAACUUUGGUUUGUUUCAAAUUAUUUCAUAAUCUCUGUGGAGAACGACCUUGCGAGAUCCGUUUACACUACAACAACCUUGUGAUUCUUGCAAGUAUUAUAGGAAUUUUUAUCUCAUUCACAUGAUUAGUAAAAUCCCUAUCAGAGCACAGGUUGCCUCCAUUCACUCGAAGCAAAGAUGCACAGAUAAGUGAAGAAAAUUUGUACCUAGAAAACUGUUCCAAAUUGUGGGUGGUUGGCAUGGGGUGGUGAGAGGUGGGAGGGAGCAAAUAGCAAGUGAGAGGAAUAAAGGGUCGUCAUUGCUGCUUCAAAUGCUCGAGCAAUUUCCAUUAGAAUAUUAUACAUAAAUAAAAUUACAAUUAGGAGAUAAUUUCUGUGAUUCGAAACGCCAUGGAUGAUUUGGUGGAGGAGGACAAUUUCUUUGAAACUGAAUAAACGCUUCGGGAGGUGAGUUGCAGACGGUUUUUUAUUUGUCUAUUUUUAGUUUAUUUUUAUUUCUUUAUUAAAUUAAUAAAGAGUAAUUAAAUCACAGUUAACCAAGGUUAAGGCAAAGGGACACUUGGCAAGCUUGGAGAUGUGUGGUGAGCAUACACCCAAAAUGGGUGAGCAAAAAUGCACCCCUAGCAAACUUAUUCGGUUCUUUAAUUAUCAUCACAUCAAAUGCCCAGAAAGGUUUUGCCCACAUCAACAUUUUUCUAUUUUUUAAAUUACAUAUAAUUUGUUUAAAGCCAUCUUCACUUCACCUUGUAACUAAUUGCUUACAAUAUAGGAAAUUUUAUUUUCAUGGUCCUAUAAACUCCUACGUUUUAAUGACUCUUUUGAUAUAAAAAUAAUUCAUUAAAGUAAUUUAAACUUUUACAUUGUUAAACGACUCUUUCUAUAAAAAAAAAUAAGGGUAAAGUAUAAAAAACUAUCUCAACUAUUAGUGUCACGAUACUUUCAUAUCUCAUCUUUUAAAAUUGAUAAUGUCAUACUUCAUCUUUAGAAUUUGGUCCAAUAUUAUACCUUCUGUUACUUGGCUGUUUACUUUUCAAUUAAAUGUUGACGUGACUUGAUUCAGAGCCCACUUUCUAUUAGAAAAUCAUUAAAAUAUUAUUAAAAGCUAAAAAAAAUAUUUAAUAAUUUUAAAUAUUAAAAUAAUAAAAAAAGUAAAAAAAAAAAAAAAAAAACAACCCUAAGUUCGCCCCUCCCCUUCCCCAUCUUCAUCUUCAUCUUCAUCUUCAUCUUCAUCUUCUUCACCCCCCCCCCACCCAAAAAAAAUGAAUAAUAAAAAACUCAUAUCCCGUCGGCGGGAAGAUGAGUGCGCGGAGAAGGUGGAGGAUGGGUGUGGAAUAGGAUGUGGAGAAUGGAUGAGUGGUGGAUUUGGGGUUGGGUUUUUUUUUUUGGGGGGGGGGGACGAACUGGGUUCGCUUUGGAUUUUUUCUUUCUUUCCUUUUCUUCUUCUUCUUCUUCUUCCUCUUCUUCUUCUUUUUCUUCCUCCUUCUUCUUUCUGGGUUGUUGGGGGUUGAGCGAACUGGGUUGGGUUGGAAUUUUUUUUUUCCUCUUCUUCUUCUUCCUCCUUCUCCUUCUUCUUCUUCUUCUUCGGGGGAGGGGGGGUUCUUCUUCCUUCUGGAUUGUUGGGGGUUGGGCGAACUGGGUUGGGUUGGAAAUUUUUUUUUUCCUCUUCUUCUUCUUCCUCCUCCUUUUUUUUUCCUCUUCUUCUUCCUCCUUCUCCUUCUUCUUCUUCUUCUUCUUCGGGGGAGGGGGUUCUUCUUCCCCCUUCUUCUUUUUGGGUUGUUGGGGGUUGGGCGAACUGAGUUGGGUUGGAAAUUUUUUUUUUUCCUCUUCUUCUUCUUCCUCCUUUUUUUUUCCUCUUCUUCUUCCUCCUUCUCCUUCUUCUUCUUCUUCGAGGGAGGGGGGUUGAUGCGUUUUCAAAUUUAUUUAUUUUUGGUUGAAGAUUAAGCAGGGAAGAAGAUGAAGAUGGGAAGAGAAAGGGGGAAGGGACGAACAGAGGGAUUUUUAUUUAUUUUUUUACUUUUCUUUAUUAUUAAAAAAAUAUUAAAUAAUAAUUUUUUUAUUAAAAAUGAGCCCCGAAUCAAGUCACGUCAGCAUUUAACUGAAAAAGUAAACGGCCAAGUAACGGAAGAUAUAAUAUUAGACCAAAUUCUAAAGAUGAGGUAUGAAAGUGUCGUGACACCAAUAGUUGAGGUAAUUUUUUGUACUUUACCAAAAAAAAUAAAUAAUUAAAGUAACUUCUCAUUAUACCAUCUUCAAUGGUGGGCUAAAUACUAAAUUACCCCCCAAUUCCCCGCGUCGUGACACCAAUAAUUGAGGUAGUUUUUUGUACUUUACCAAAAAAAAAAAUAAUUAAAGUAACUUCUCAUUAUACCAUCUUCAAUGGUGGGCUAAAUACUAAAUUACCCCCCAAUUCCCCGCCCCCCCCCCACCAAACAAUCUCCAACCCAUGAUAAAACAUUGGGCUAAAUGCCAAAUGUUAAAGCUGGGCCAAAUACCCCCCAAAAUUCCCUCCCCAUGCGACUGGAUUCGCUAGCAAUUGGGCCAGUCUCAGCCCGGUCACGCUCCAACGCAUCCCACGCGGUGCGCUUGCAAACCUUUCCCAACAGGGGUGUGCCCCUCUGUCAGUCGUUCGUCUGCUACCCAAAAAUCCCAACAGCUAUAAUUUGAAUCCAAGGGCUUGGUUUAAUGGAUCGUUGGUUGAUCCAACAGUCCAGAUUCAAAUUUAAUUUUUUUAAAUAUGUUAUUUUAAAAUACAUUGAAUCCAAUGACUGAGUUCGAACAUCCACACAACUCAAUUUUCUCCUACUAUUAUCCAAUUUAUCUUUUUACCUUUUCUUUCCAUUUCCAAAUUGUUCAACAUGACAAGAGAGCAUAUUAGAGGUCGUAAUUGGACCUAUGAGGAAGAUGUUGCUUUAUGUUUGGCAUGAUUUUCUAUUAGCGAAGAUGGUGGAGUUAGCACAAAUCAAAAUAAGAAGGUUUUGUGGGAUAAAAUCAUUGCAAAGUUUUAAGAAAACUGCAAUGGCGGCGGGCAUGAUGGUGGUGGUGUUUAUGAUUGGUGGAAGACUAUCAACAAAGCAUGUACUUUAUGGAAUAUAAGUUUUGAGAGAGCCGUGGUGGGCAUGGCUAGUGGAAGAAGGGCCACAGAGAUUGUGAGUUUUGUUCUUAAUAUUUUAUUUGUCAUGUACAUAAUAUUAUUUUCCAACUAAGUAUUUUUAUGUAUUUUUUGCAUAAGGUGCCAAAGCAAUGAAAAUUUAUGAGGCCAUCUCUAACCGAAGGGUCCAGAGGGCCAGAUGGCCGUAAAUAGCCCUAAAACUGUCUCCAACUGAGGGCUAGGCUAGAGGGCUCUGGAAUCUGGGAGGGCCCCACGGGAUCAGAGAGGGCUGGCUAUUUUUUUUAAUGUUUUCCUAUUGCUGUCGGUUAUAACCGACAGCAUUAAAGAAGAAUUUUUUAAUACUGUCAGUUAUAACCGACAGUAAUAAUUAUUCAAAGCAAAAUUUUUCUUUUUAAUUACUAUUAGUGUCGGUUAUAACCGACACUAAUUGUUUGAAUUUUUUUUAAUAUAACGACUAGUAGCCGUUGUAUUAACUUUUUUUUUUUAUGAAUUUAAACUUCUUUUUUUUCCCUUUUUUUUCCUUUUCAUAUGAAUCAAAUUUUGUUUCAUAUUUUUUUUCAAUUCUAUUUUACAAAAUUUGUUUCAAUUUUUUUUUAAAUUCUAUUUUUUUCCUAUAACUUCUAUUUUACAAAAUUUGAUUCAUAUUUUUUUUCAUAUAACUUCUAUUUUACAAAAUUUGUUUCAUAUUUUUUUAAAUUCCAUUUUUUUCCUAUAACUUCUAUUUCACAAAAAAAAAUUCAUAUUUUUUUUCAAUUCUAUUUUUUUCCUAUAACUUCCUAGGCCAUUUAUACAACAUUAAAUUAAAUUAAGUAACAUGAAACAACAUUAAAUAACAUUAACCAACAUUAAACAAUUGUAAUUUUUAAAUAAUAAAUUAUGUUUGGCCCUAUGGCCCUUUGACCCUCGGUUGGAGACGAUUUUUGGUGACAGGGCUAAAACGAGCCAUCUGGCCCUUUAGCUCUCGGUUGGAGACGGAGGCCAAUAUGGCCCUGUACUGUUCAUUAAAAUAUUAAUAUCUUGGGAAAUCUUGGAGGGCCAGAGGGCUAAAACGAGCCCUCUGACCAGCGUUCGGUUAGAGAUGGCCUAAGACAAGAGCAACACCAGAAAAUCAAGUUUUAAGUUGCAACAUGCUUAGAACGUCCUCAAGGAUUGUCCGAGGUGGGGAACCGAUGCGGACCAAUAAUGGGAAAGAUUAUUUCAACGUGAAGCCGCACAGACAAAUGCCAGAGAUGAAGGUGUCGAUGAAAUGACCCUAUCUCCUUCUUUUGCAAGGCCCCCAGGAAGAGAUAAGCAAAAGGAAGCAAAGAGAAAAGGGAAGUCCCAAGAUCCGAUGAGUGGACACUUUGGUACUAGAAUUGCAAAAUUGAACGAAACUCAUAGCGCUCGCUAAGAAGAAACGGCCCGAAUGCGUUUGCAAAUGAAGGAAAUCUCAGAUCGGGAGCAAGAUAGGUUUGAAAUUGAAUUCAUGAUGGAGGAACUCAACAAAUACACUUUAAAGAGGAAGAAGUUCUUACGUGGUAAGCAAAAGGAAAUUUUGCAAAAGUCUGUCUCAAGGAGUAUGUUUCAAGAUGAUGAAUCCUCUGAAUCCUAUAUCCCAAGAUUUCAACAAAGUCCAUCACCAAGUGAAGAUGGUGGAUAUGAUUAUUAAGUUUAUGUAGUGUAUGAACUAUGUGCUUUAUUAAUUGAGUUUAUUAAUUGUCGAUUGUAUUAAGUUUAUGUGGUUUAUGAAUUAUCGAUUGUAUUAAGUUUAUGUGGUUUAUGUAUUAUCAGUUGUAUUGUUUCUAUUAAUUUAGAUGUCUUCAAUAAUUAUUGUACUUAUUAUUCCACACUUUGAUGUAGAAUAGAUGUCUUCAAUAAUUCAACGUACUAGACAAAAUACUUUGCACAAGAAGACACUUAAAUUUAUUACUAGAAAAUAACAACAUAGUACACUUAAAAUUAAUCUAGAUGCCUUCAAUAAUUAUUGUACUUAUUAUUCCACACUCUUCUAUAUCACGCUACACAUAUGAACGCUCCGUGACAGAACCACGAUGGUUAGAUUCACUAUGUGGUCAGAUUGCAUAAAUGAGUUGACAAGUUCAACUUUGGCGUUGAACAAUUAUGCAUCCUCAAUCUCGAUCCUUGCUUGGUAUUGUGUCAUCUGCAUUGUCAUGCUACAUAUUCUUUUAUCACCAAUUGAUGAGAUAUUGAGGAUUUUUAGGUAAUAAAAACUCUUUGAAAGUUGAAAGAUUAGUGAAUAUAGAGGAUGAUUGAAGGUUAAAAGGUUGUGUGAUCAACAAAUAGUGGUCAUAUGUUUAUAUAGAGGAUGAUUGAUGAAAGUUGAACAGUUGGUGAAAGUUGAAAGUUUGGUGUUGAACGAUUGGUGAAAGUUGAAAGUUUGGUGUUGAAGGGUUGGUGAAUUGAAAAUUUGGUAUUGAACGGUUGAUGAAUUGAAAGUUAGCACAUGGUUGAAAGAUUGAUGAAAGUUGAAGGCUUGCUUUGUGAAAAAUUUAGUGAUUUUUCAAUAUUUAUUGGAAUUUAAAUUUUUUUAGAUUAAAAUGUUCAUAAAAUUAAUUUACGAUAGUCUACAUAUUUAUUUAAAAAAAUUAAUUUAAGAAAAAUAAUCGCCUAAAUUUAUUCUUUAAUAAUCCCAGGCUAAAAUUUUAGGACAGAACAGUUGGAGCAGAAAAACUGUUUCUGAGCUAAAAUAUUUGGCUUUUAGCCCAACCAUUAGAGAUGGUCUUAUUAGGACAAAAAGUAUUAAAACUUAUGUUUUGAAAACAAAUGUACCAAAAAUUCAAGAAAAUUUUAACAAAAAACUCCCGGUACUGUUUACUUUAACUAAAAACCACAUUUUUGCACUAAAGAAUCAAUUCUGGUACUAUUCACUUUAUCUUUUAUUUUGUCCUUAUCGUUAAAACUCAAAGUUUUUAAGCCAAUUUCAUUAAUUUUCCUAAAAUUCAAAUGUACCAAGAAGCCAAAUGAACCAAAAAUUCAAAUGUAGCAAGUAACAACAUGUACCAUUAUAAUUAAAUGUACCAAUAUAACCAAACGUACCUAUCAACGAGUUUUGUUACAUUCUAUUUAAUUUACUAAAAUAACUAUUUUAAUAAAAAAUAAAAAAAUCUUAAAUCAUCAUAAUUAGAGAUACAUAAAAAUUGGAAGAAAAAAGAAAAUGCUAUCGUGAAUAGACUUUUAAUGAAAUAAAAUUAAGGGUAAAGUACAAAAAACUACCUCAACUAUUGGUGUUACGACACUUUCAUAUCUCAUCUUUUAAAAUUGACAAUAUCAUACCUCAUCUUACGAAUUUGUGUCAAUGGUAUAUCUUUCGUUAGGGUUGGCAUGAAUUUCUCAAUUAAAUGCUGAUGUGGCUUAAUCCAAGACCAAUUUUCUAUUAAAAAUUAUUAAAAAUUAAAAAAAAAUAAUAUUUUUUAAAUAUUAAAAAAAAAAAAACCAACACUCAGUUCAGUUCGUCCCCUCCCCCCUUCUCUCUCUUCUCCCCAUCAUCAUCUUCUUCCCCCUUCCUGCAACUGCAACCCAGAAAAAAAGAAGAGAAAAAAAAAAACCAAUUUGUCUUCCCCCCUCCCCACCCCCUCUUCACCCCGCACCCCCGCACCCCCGCACCCACUCUCCGCACCCAACCUCCCCACCUUUGCACCCAACCUCACACCCACUACCAGCAACCCAAAAAAAAAAAAACCCCAAAUCCUGUUGAGGUGGAAUUAGGAAACCUUCGCCAAGACGAUUUCGAAGGUUGAGACCCUAAGCGCGGAGAAAAUAGGGGGAAUGGGUGUGGAGGGAAAAGGGUGGGUGUCGCGGGGGGGGGGGACGGACGAACUGGGUUUCCUUUUUAUUUUUUAUUUAUUCUCUCUCUUCUUCUUCUUCUUCUUUCUGGGUUUGUUCGGGGGGAGGGGAUUGGGUUGGGUUGGGUUUUUUUUUUUUUUUUUUUUUGUCUUCUUCUGCUUCUUCUUCCUCAUUUUUUCUGGGUUGCAAGGGGUUGGGUUUGUGGUGGUGGGAGAGGGGACGAACUGGGUUUGGUUUGGGGUUUUGUUUUUCCUUCUUCUUCUUCUUCUUCUUCUUUCUGGGUUUGUUGUUGAGGGGAGGGGGAAUUGGGUUGGGUUUUUUUUUUUUUUUUUCCUUCCUCCUUUUUUUUUUUUUUUUGUCAAUCCUUUUGCUUGGGUUGCAGGAAGAUGGGGAGAGAGAGAGAGGGGGAAAGAUGAACUGACCUGAGGUUUUUUUUUUCCCCUUUAUUAUUUUAAUAUUUAAAAAAAUAUUAAAUAAUUUUUUUUUAGUUUGUAAUAAUUUUUUAAUAGAAAAUGAAACCGAAUCAAGCCACAUUAGCAUUUAAUUAAAAAAUUUACGAUCAAGUAAUAGAAUGUAUAACAUUAGCACAAAUUCGUAAGAUGAUGUAUGACAUUAUCAAUUUUAAAAGAUGAGUCAUGAAAGUUAAUGGUAAUUUUUUGUAGUUUACCUAAAAUUACGUACCAAAAAUUGUAGGAAAAAUGUUUAAUCAAAUUUGCAUAAUAGACGUUCAGUAACAUUUAAAAAGUUUUGCCCAACUCAAUAAACACGAGUCAACAACUUUCAAGAAUCUGUAUAAUGUGUUCGUCCCUUAGAGCAAAUCCACCCCAAAACCAACUCCCCAGCACCCAGCCAAAAAAAUAGGCCAGGCCCCUGUUUUUUUGCUCCAGCUCGUUACAUUGCCUGGCACCCAGCCCAUGCCAGGCAACAGCCCAGCACAUUUUGGACUGACCCAGAAGCCGGCCUGUUUCUCAGGCGCGUGCAACACAAGCGCGCAAGGCGCGAGUGGGUUUCAGGGAAACCUGAAAAGGUGUCAGCCCACUUGGGCUCAGUGACGUGGCUUCACGAUAGCCGUUGGAUUUCCAACGGCUAGUUUUUCUAGACCGUUGGAUUUCCAACAAUAAAAAAAAUUUAAAUUUUACUUUUAAACUGGACCGUUCGAUCAAAGAUCAACGGUCCAGAUUAAUUAACUUAAUUAAAAUUUAUUAAAAAAUACAGAAAAUUAAAAAAAAAAUUAUUUUUUUCUUUCUAUAGUUUAUUUGAUGAGUUUAUGUAAUUUUAUUUUAGUGUGUUUUUUUUUUAAGUUUAUUUGAUGAGUAUGUAAUUUUAUUUCAGUGUGUUUUUUUUUUAAGUUUAUUUGAAAUUUUAUCCAAAAUUGGUUAAAAAUCAUAUCCGAAAUAAACUUAAAAAAAAAAAAAACAUACCAAAUAAAUGCGCUGGGUGCCAGCGCAUUUUUUUAGGGGUGGAGAUGCUUUGGUCUGUUACUGUUCACUAGGGUCUAUUACUGUUCACUUGAGUGGAUAAAUGCGCUGGGUGCUGGCACAAAGUCCUUAGGGGUGGACUUGCUCUUGUAAAAACAUAUCACUUGAGGUGAUUAAUUAUACGAACAUAAUCAACUUCUAGAAACUUAAAAUUACAUGAUUAACCAAAAUCAUACUUAGGAAUCUAAGCAAAGAAUCAGAAGAAAUAUGAGAAAAAAGGAAUGGGGAACUUACAAGAUCUUUGAAAAUGAUAAAAGCGAUUACGAAGACAACAAAAGAAGAUUUCGAUCUCGGCGAAUGGAACGAACCGAAAGACCGACUUGACACCCUGAGUCAAUGCGGAUGCAUUUGAAACUCGCUUCGCCACGGCUGCGCGGUCGGGUUGGGCUUUGGAGUCGGAUUUAAUACCAUCGGAAUUAGAUCGGCGAUCAUCCGAUGAGCGAUGGUGGUCAGGUGGUGGUGUGAUUGGUGUCACGGAUGGGUGGAGCCGCGGAGAGCGGGAGGCGGAGGUGGAGGCAGGCAGGUCUGUGUGGACAGUUGGAUCUGGGUGUGGGUGGACGAUGCGGCCUUAGCCUGUAGUCUGGUCGCGAAGAACUUAUGAAGACGAAGAGAAAGGCUUGGAGCUUGGAAGACGGAGAGACCGAAGCGUCGAUGGUGAAGAUUCGAAGACGCAGGAGGGUGAAAAUUUGGUGCCCUCAGCAAUUUUGGGCCCAGGACAGGAGCCCUGUUAGCACUGGGCCAGGGCCAGGCCUGCUCCAAAGUGAAAAAAUGAUGCGAUGCUCUAAUGGCUCUAAUUCAAUGGUUUCUCAUGCUUCUCAGCCUCCCGUGCACUUUGAUUGUUGAUGUUACUCACUCUACUCCUAACGGCAAUGCCCGAAGGGCAUGCAAAAAUCUCUUUUCACUUGGAACAACGCAACAAGCCAAAGCGCGAGAUUUCCCCUACCACAUCGGAUGUUCAUGUAAACAUGCUACAAAUCCUAGUUUGCAGCAAUAUUAUUAGUCCACCACCCAUAAGAUGGAAGGGCACAUUCCAAAGCUCUGGUAGUUUUACUUGCGACAAGUAAAAUCAUUGGGGCACAGUAUUACCGUGCUAAUGGAUUUGACGUAGGUGAUGCCCAAUUUUCAAGAGACACUAUUGAAAAUGAAACUCAUGUUCAUGAAAAGAGAAAUUUUGCAUGAGCUUAUAAGAGGUUGGGCUACUCUCUAUAUUGCUAAUUGGUUUUGUAGUGGAAUCCCAACUUUCUUCAUGGUAUCAGAACAAGUUGUUUCAUGUGUAAAGCCAAAUGGCCACACGGGCUCCAUGUCACCCCGUUGUGCUGUGUACGUGUUAGGCUUGAAAAUUUGCCAAAGGUGAAAUUAGAGGAGGGACCUUGCAUUAGCUUAUAAGAGGUUGAACUACUCCCUAUAUUGCCAAUUGGUUUAAUUUUAAGGUGUGAAAUCAGAGGAGGGACCUUGCAUUAGCUUGUUUUUUUUUAUGAAUGUAUGUAUAGGUAUGGAUGGUGUGGUGUCCGUUUUCCCCAGUGAAAAGAAGAAGCUCCUCACAAGAACGUUAUGGGACUUCAUUGGCUUCCCGGAAAGAGAGUCGAGUAGCAACAAUCUUGACGAAAGCAAUAUCAUUGUAGGAGUGACUGAUACUGGAAUUUGGCCGGAAUCUGACCUAAAAAUGGGAAGGCACUUGACAAUCCUAAGCCAACAUUACUUGUAAUUUGUAUGGCAAACUAGUUUGUUGUCUGUUACUCCAAUCAUCAAUACAUCUAGAAUGUUUUUUAUUAAAUUUGAUCAUGUGAAAUGAUAACUUUUGAAAACAUUAGGAAAUAGGAAAAGCCUAUAGUUUUCAAAUAAGGAUUUGGAUCUCAUCUGGAUCUAAAUUGUGGGGAUCAUAGGGAUCCUCAUAUUCUAACUAUUUAUCGUAUAUCGUGCGAUCAGAAAUCAUUUUGAAUUUUUUAUUUAAAAAUUAAACGUAAAUAGUACUUAACGAAAACUGAUCGCACGUUAUACGAUGAACGAUUAUGAUGUGAGAAUCCUUAGGCCAUCUCCAACCGAAGGGUCAAAAUGGCUGAAAGUACCAAGAUGUUCAAUCUCAAUGACCUUCUCUUUAACUUUGUCUUGAACUUUCAGAUAUUCGAUGUCCAUUAGCCUCAAUGCUUUUGAUCUUCUUUUGGUACCUUGGAACUUUCUUUUAGAUAUUCGAUAUGAUUCAAUUAUUUGUCAAAUGAUUAUUAUUUUUUAUUUAUUUUUUUGAACAAACAAUAUAAUCUACACUAACAGGGAGAGGGUGUGCUUAGCCUCACAAUGGGUUAGCAAUAAUGUGAUUCAAUCAGUUAUUUAUUAAAUAUUAUUUUCUCUAUUUUUAAACACGUUCAAAACAUCUUAAGAGGUGCAUACCACCGAUGAUAAAAAAAAGGUCUUUCGCACGCGCACAAUAAUGUGAUUCAAUCAGUUGUUUAUUAAAUAUUAUUUUCUCUAUUUCUAAACACUUAAGAGGCAUGCAAUGCCGGUUAUAAAAAAGGCAUUUUGCACGCGCAUAACAAUGUGAUUCAAUGACACACCCUGACCCGGAAUGUCCACUAGGACUCCGAAUCGAGCUGUGUUGGUGGAAGGUGAUGAAGCCAUAAAGUAUAGUGAUGUGGAAAAUGUGAAUAAAUUAAAACCUAAAAGUGCCUAAACAUAAUAGUGCAUUGUGAGCGGGAAUGAACCCAUUUCACACGCGACGUCAAAGCAUAAGUAAAGUACAGUAGUGUGGGUAAGGAUCAUACCCUCAGAGGUAGCCACCUAUACUGAGAUUCCCCAAGAGUCCUCGUCGAUACAAACUUUCAGCAGCUAAAACCAGGAGGGGCAAAAAAUAAGGGUGAGUGAGCCUAAAAAUAAAGUUUUAAUAAAAAUCUUUUGAAAACGUUUUAACCCCUCGCUGUAAAACUUGUAUAGUUUCUAGAAAAUAAUACUACGUAUAUAUGUAAAACAAUGCACAAAAACAGUAUAAACCAAGUAUGAAGGUAAAAUAAUAUGCCAGUUGGAGUCACCUAACGUGACCUGUAUGGCUGAACCUAUAGCUCAUCAACCCAUGCCUGCACACGAGUCGGAACCACCUAAUGUGGUCUGUACGACAUGUUGGGUGUAAAUAAGUACGCUCAAGUGCUACGAUCACGUAAAGGCUGUGCGAAUAAUCGCAGGUCACCUAUGAGUCGGAACCACCUAUUGUGGUCUGUACGACAAGGCUGGCAUCAAACUUGGAUCCAAGGUGAACGUGCGGUGCGGGAGGUGAACAUCACGUGAAGGACUGUGCCCUGGCCUCGGGCGGGAGCACUAACACCAGAGUGCAGCAAUGAUGAGCUCUAAAUGCAUCUAUGCAUAACAAUGUGCAAUACAACCAAUACCAUUACAAUAUACUCACCUGAAGCUUACCUAAGCCUCUGCAGCAUCAAACGAUAUAAUGCAUAACAAUAGUAAUGAAAUACUAAAAAUAUAAUUCAUUCAUGACAUGGCAUUCAAAGCAUAGCUCAUAUAAAAAUGUUUCUAGAAACCGUAAAGCAUAUAUAUAAAUACUAUAAAAGGAAGAAGAUCCACUCACUUAGAGUCCGCGUUACAAUUCCCUAGCAUAAACAUCGAGGCAUCAUAAACGAUUGGCGCCUAGAACAAUUAUCAAACCACAUCUCAGAAUCCUUAUCAAUAGAACACGUAACUUGCAUAAAACACAUCCCCAAGGACGUUCUAGAGUGAUUUGAGGCCCAUUGACCACAAGUCAACCGUUGGUCAAAGAUUGACAGUAGGGUCUACAACCCUAGAUAAUUCGAUUUGGAAGAUCCGCACCUCAGAUUUUCCGAUUCGUAACUUCCAAAUAUCCACAUUAUGCUUCUAAAACAUCAUACUAAAUUUUCAUUACAAUCCAACCAUUGGAUCUUCGCCAAUUGCCCAAACCAAGUGGCGGCCAACGUUUUAUUUUACGAACUUACAAAUCCAAUUUGGAAAUACCCACAUUUCGGAUUCCUGAUCUGUAAAUUCUUAUGGUCCUUAAAUAUUACAUACUAUAAUGUACUAAAUUUUGGUGACGAUCUAACGGUCGGAUCGUCGAUUACUGUUCUAAUCAAGUGGUGGAUUUUAAUGGAACUAGGUUCAAACCAUAGAAAUUCGUCAAUCAGACUUCAAAAAUGGAAUCAGGGUAUUCAAAUUUAGCCUAAGAAGGUCAGGAGACGUCUCGGCCCACGCGCUGCCGCACGUGCCACCGCAAGUGGCGGUUGGCCGCCCCGACUCGCAGGAAAAAUCAACUAUUUCUAAAAAUUACCAAAUUUUACAAACAAGUAUAUCUCAGUAAGGGGAACAAUUUUCAUACCUGUGGCCAAGUCCAAUUUGGGCGGGAAGCACCUGAAAUCCACCUUGAUCCGUGAAAACCCUUGAAAUGGGUGUUCUUGACUCGACUCCACACAAGCUCCGACGACUCAACCAUUGCUUAGGCUUUGUUCCUGUAGUUAAGGGGAUUCUAUUGGUGGUGGUGGUCGACAGGAUUAGCUUCAAAUUUUGAUGAUUCGAACCCAAAACCGUCCCCCCUACCGUGCAGGUUCUCCCAAUAUCAAGGUCAAAUCCCUUGAUUUUUGGGGUGUAAUAGGAAGGGGGAAGGUCAUGAAGGGUUUUCCAAGUGGUGGUUUGAUGAAAUUCGCUGGAAAAACGGAUGAUUCACCGUUGAAAAACCUCCCAGAAAUGGGUCGGGUCACGGGUUAAGGGGAGGGUCUGAUUCUCUCUUUCUUUUCUCCCUCAUUUCCUUUCCUCCUGAUUGGCCGGUUCCCUCCCUCAUUUCUCUCAUUUCUCUUCUCUCCUUCUCAUCCCAGCCAUCUAUUUCUUCCUUCCCUUUUCUUUUCCUUUCAUCCCAGCCACACACGUGGCAUUUCACAUGGCUUCAGAUUUUCUGGAGCCUUCUAAAGAAGGUUAAAAUUACCAAAAUAUCCCUAACUUUAUACGUUAAUAUCUCCUUUGUUGUAACUCCAAAUUAUGUUCCGGUUGCGCCCACGCGUUCGUAACGACGAAUACUGCAAGGAUACGUUAAGAAAAUAGAUCUUACAUGACAUGACGAGGCGGUAAAACAAAAUCAACGUAUUUUCCUCAAAGGGCAUUUCCGUACAUUCACUCAUUAAAAUAAAAAAAAAACUAUAAAAUUGGAAAUGGAUCGUUACAUUCAAUUAGUUAUCAAAUGAUCGUUUUUUUUUUUAACAAACGAUAUUAUCUACCCUAAGGAGGAGGAGGUGAGCUUAGCCUCACAAUAGGCUAAUGUCAUUCAAUCAAUUGUUUAUUAAAUAUUAUUUUCUCUAUUUUUAAUGUAAAUUCAAUAGAAUGUAGAUAAAAAUUGAAAGACCGAUUUUAUUAUGUGGAUUUAGCUGCUUUGAUUGGUUUAUGAGGGGUUUCUUAUAGUGUUGUCUAAUAUUAUUCAUUUAGUCCAAAUAUUUGACUUUCUUUUUGUCAUGAAAAUAAAAAUAUUGAAGCAAUUCACGCAUAUAAAUGCAUUUAAAAUGUGUAAGUAGCACGUAGGACACCGUAUUCAAAUAUGCCUUCUGGACGUGUGUAAGCGCUUGCAUUAAGGCUAGUGAUACGAAAUGAAAGGACAAGUUUGAAAAUAAACUAUUCAAUAUUUGUGGUAAUCUUUAUUCAGUAGAAUAUCCAAUAGUUCUCAUUCUCCAAUGCAUCUACCAUUUCAUCUCAAAUACGCUACAAAGAAAGGUAGGCCUACAAAUAACAAUCAGAGGUAGUACAAAAGGUGACCAAAAUAUAGCCACAUCUUCAAUUAUACAUGAAUUAAAAUUUCCACUGAAUGUGUUGACUUCAUGACUUAGUAAUUUAAAGUCUUGGUCCUUGGAAUUAUUAGUUCAUAAAAUACAAUAUUUGUUAACUUGAAGUGCAUGCAUAAAGUUGGAUAAAAUCUAUAUGGUCUUUUAAUCAAUCAGCUGUAGCAAAUAAAUAGACAGUUCAUAAUACUUAAUCUCAGUUGACUACCCUCGAGUUUUUUGGUUUUUGACAUUUGGUACAUCAAAUUUUUUUUCAUCCCAGAAUGGUACUUGAAGUCAUAAUUUAGAGAAACUUUCAUACAUAUGUUAAGGUUAAUGUUAAAUCAAUCGUUGACCAGUGAUGUGAUGCCCACAUGGACAAUACCUGGACGUGUGAUUUACUCGGGAUUUUAUUCGUUUUAAAUGUUGUUUGCCUUAGUCCUUUGGCAUGUGUGAUUUACUUGUUGUGCAUGUGUAAAGUUGGAUAAAAUCUAUAAGGUCGUUUAGUCAAUCAGCUGUGGCAAAUAAAUAGACAGUUCAUAAUACUUUUACUCAUUUGUUUUUAUAUAGUUGAAUGACUUAAUGAUUUCAUAUUUUAUUAUUAUUAUUUUUUAGAUAUGACAUUUACAAAGUAUUUUAUAAUAUGAAUAAUUUUGAUCAUAAACACGAAAUUUCGUGAAUUGAAAACUAAGUAUUUUGAGGAAGUUAAUUUAAUAAAAAAAAUGAUACUAUUGUAUAUAAUGACAAAUAUAGGCAUAGUUGUGGGGAUGGUGGCAACAACAGCAGUGGUAGGGGUAGCGGCAGUGAUGGUAGCGGCAAAUGUGGGGGCUUUGGUUGUGACAAUAAUAGGGUGUGGUGGUUGGGUUGUAGAGGUAAUAGUGGUGGUAGCGGUAGUAGUGACGAUUGUGGUGGUGGUAAUGGUGGUGGUGAUAUAAGGUUAAUUGUUGUAGUGGUAGGUGGUGGCGGUCUUUGUUCUCCGAGGGCAAAAAUAUAUGUAAAAGGAUAAAUAAUGUCAGUUUUCAUUAAUGAGGGUAUUAUAAGAAUUAAAAAAAAAUAUUCAUUAAACGCUUAGCUCCGCUUUUUAUAAAAGCAAGUUUUAAAAGCAACCUAUAUGUUGCUUUUAAAAGCUGUUGACUGGAUGUGACUGUAUUAAAAAUAGGUAUGAUAUAGGUGUAGAGAGUAAGUUAGGUGUAAAAAAAGGUUAUAUGAGUUCAAAUAAAAUUUCUCAUUUGUUUUUGUUAUGAAUAAUGCUAGGAAGACUAAAUUUUUAACAAAAUGCUACUUUUAUCAUCUAAUUGUACCAUCGUUUGUAUCAUAUCUCUAAUAGAGAUGGAACCCAUAUGUGUUGACAGACCUUACCUCUAUUAGAAUUAGAAAGAUGGUACAACUAGGUGGUAAGUGUAACAUUACUCAAUUUUUAAUCAAAUUUGCAAACCAAAUGACGUGUACCAAUAAGAAAUAAGCAUAUUAAUUAACAUUUAACUAAUAAUAACAAUCAUGUCAUUUGGUUAGUAAAUUUGGUUUAAAAAUUUGGUCUUCCUAGCAUUAUCCUUUUGUUAUUGUGCGGUGAUUUGUGGUUUGUGUUAACCUAAAACAAGAUCCAUUUUUUGUCCGUAAUUAAUAUCAAAUCCAAUAGUGAAUGACCAUAUAUUUCUUGGUCACCACAAGAGAACAUUUUUGGAUUUUGGUCAUCCAAAUUUUGUGACACUAGGUUCAAAGUACUCAAUGCCUAAGCUGGAGCAUAACAAAAUCAUGCACAUGGAAGUAGUUUACAUCUCAAAAUACAAGAUUGCAUCAGAUUUAUAUAGACAAGAAAGUCUUUGCAAAUUUAAAGAGAAAAAAAAAUGAGGAGCAAAAAUAUCUGCUACAAGGUAUGGUGGACUUGUAUUUGCACCAUUAGUGUUACAAUCAUAUCAAUUUUAUAUGAUGGCGAAUUUCUUUGGGUUCUUAGUCAUCUCAGCAAAAUUUCGGAUGUCAUUUCGUCUCAAACACUGUACAAAAGAGUAGUUGACUUAACGUAAUUAUUUGAGUCAAAUCUAGGUUCUACUCCUCCAGUUGGCUUGCAAUUUCGUCCUCUGUGCACUUCAUCGUCAUUGUAGCAUCCCCAUGUCAAAAUUCACAUGUAGGACGAUGACUAAUGGUAAAAUGACAAAAGCACAAUAAUUCCCCAUCUUAAAAACAAUUACAAUCAAGAUCAAGUGGCAGAAACACAAUUAAUCAAGAGUGCAUUGCCUUUGUCCCUGUCAAGUCUAGUUUUGAAAAGUCAAUACGUCGAGUUUUUUUUGUCCAACCGUGCAAGUGGGUAAGGGAGGGUCCGCUUUCAUUCGGUUUGGUUUUUUUUUCGGUUUUCAGUCUUUUGAAUCCACCCCUACAAGUGGGUCGAAAUUUCAAUGGUGGUGUUGUCGUAGAGUCUUUUCAUAUGUAACAAGUCUAUUAACUUUACCUGCGUAUGCUCACGCAAACUUUCAUAACACAUCUGUGUGGACAAUAUCAGCCAUUAGAAACAGAUCUUGCAACCAUAUAAAUUUGAACUUUUUUCAUUUAUUUUCUACGCGCAACGAAAUGUCUUUCAUUUGCUCAUUUCUCUUGUUCCUUCAUAUUCUUUCUAUGGUAAUACCGAUCAAUGUCACCGACUAUAUAUUUGGGUGGAGAAAUUUCAAGUCAUGGGACUAAAAACCAAAUUAUAAAAAGAGAAUACCACAAAAUGAGAAAAUUCUUCAAGGACACGUAAUAAUGAAAGAUGCGGAAUGAAUGAAUAAGAUUGAAAAUAGACUAUUCAAUACUUGUGGAAAUCUUUGUACAAUAAAAUAACUAAUGGUUCUCCUUCUCCAACGCAUUUUCCAUUUCAUGUGCUACAAACAAAGGUAGGCCUACAAGUAACUAUCAGAGGCAAUUCAACAAGUGACCAAAACAUGGCCACAUUUUUAAUUAUAUAGGAAUUAAAGUUUCCACAAUUCAAGUGGGAAUGUAUUGACUUCUUUAAACUCUGGUCCUUGAAAUUAUUAGUUCAAAACAUACAAUAUUUGUUGACUUAUCGUGCAUGCAUAAAGUUGGAUAAAAUCUAAUACUCAAUAUUUAUUAUCCGUUUUAAAUGUUGUUUGCCUUAUAGCCCUUUGGCAUGUGUGUGGUUUACUUGUAUUGCAUGCGUAAAGUUGUACAAAAUAUGUAAGGUUGUUUAAUCAAUUAGCUGUAGCAAAUAAAUAGACAGUUUAUAAUAUUUUUAUUUGUUUGUUUUUAUAUAGUUGAAUGACCAAAUGAGGCCUUAGUGUUACAAGUUUACACCAAGGGUGGAGAGAAUAAAUUUGUUAUAUUUACACCUUUUUCUUAAUACUUUUUCUUUAAUACUUUUUGAAUUCCUUGCUAUAUUUACAUCAAGGAUUGAUGAGAAUGAAUUGAUUACAAAAUCGUAAUACACGAUUCGAACCUAAAUUUUCUUUUAUUUCAAGUAGAGAAAAUGGAGCUUUAUAUAUAGAGACAAAAAACCUUCACUAUAUUUCAAGGAACUCCACUAAUUUUUAAACAUGUUAAUGAGAGACAAAAAUAUUAAAAAAAAAUAAACCCCAUCUCAAUAACAUGGAACAAUGCUUUAAAAUAGCAAUCAUACCUUUGAAGCUUUAGGGUUGUUAAUAGAACACAACCCUCACAAUUCCAACAAAAUUAAUAUGUGACAUAAACUCAACUCAUCAUCAACUAUUUCUGCAGAAUCAAUUUUGAAACUAUAUGUAGAAUCAGUUUGUAUCCUUUAUUACUAGAAAUAGUUUACUAUGUCCUCGAUCAUUUUUGCAGAAUCAGUUCAACCCGUCAUCGACCAUUUUUGCAGAAUCAGUUCAACUCGUUCUCGUCUAUUUUUGCAUAAUUAGUUCAACCCGUUCUCGACCAUUUUUGCAGAAUCAGUUUAACCUGUGGUCGACCAUUGUUGCAGAAUCAGUUCAACCCGUCUUGGUCAUUUUUGCAAAACCAAUCCAACUCGUCCUUGACCAUUUUUGCAGAAUCAGUUCAACCCGUCCUCGACCAUUGUUGCAGAAUCAGUUCCACAUGUUCUCGACCAUUUUUGCAUCAUCAGUUCAACCUAUCUUUGACCAUUUUUUCAAAAUCACUUCACCAUUUUUGUAGAACCAGUUUAACUUGUCCUCUGUCAUUUUUGCAAAAUCUGUUUAACCCGUGCUCGACCAUUGUACAAAAUCAGUUUAACCCGUCCUCGAUCAUUUUUUGCAGAAUCAGUUCAACCCGUCAUUGAUCAUUUUUGCAAAAUCAGUUCAACCUUUGAGUGCAAAUCUUAACCCUAAAGCCGAAAUCGCAUACGGUGUUGGCCUAAUAAAUCCUAGUAGGGCUCCGUAUCCUGGUUUGGUAUACGAUGCUGCUGAAAUCGAUUAGGUAAAUUUUUUGUGUGCACAUGGCUAUAGUACCAGAUUAUUGAAAGCUCUUAACGGGGAUAGCUGCUCAUCAUCACAAUCUAAUCAUGGAACACUCAGUGAUCAUCCAAACUAUCCUUCUGUUGCACUUUCCACCUCAAACCCUAAAUCCGUCAAUGGCAUUUUCAAAAGAACCGUCACAAAUGUUGGAUCACCAAAGUCCACAUAUAAAGCUAAAGUGAGUGCACCACCAGGACUUGAAAUCAAAGUUAAUCCAAGCAUUUUAAAGUUCACAUCUCUCGGGCAGAAGCUAUCGUUUAGUCACGGUGAAAGGGUUGAUUGAAAAAACCAUAGUCUCUGGUUCUCUGGUGUGGGAUGAUGGUAAUUUCCAAGUGAGGAGCCCCAUUGUUGUGUAUUUUGUGUUUUGAGAAUAAGGUAUGUGUGGAGCCAAAAAUAAUCAUAAGGGGACAUGUGGAUCUUUGGAUAUAAAAGCACAAAAAUACCCUUGAGGCAUAUCAGGAUUCCUACGCGCGAGCAGCGGACAAUCAUCCCUCAACCAAGUCAAAAGUGCCCAAAAUAGGUAUUUAUUCAAAACUUAUUUCAUCCAUCUUCUCCACAAGGUAACCCCCAAAAAAUUCCUUUUAAAUUAUGUUAAUUGGCUAAUUAAUGGAUUUAUUACCCAAUUAAUCUAUUAAUGGCCAAUUAAACUACCAAUUACACCAAAAAAACACACAAGAGGUCGGUCACCUUCUCUUCCAAGGGAACUGGUCAUGCCUUAUAUAUUCUACCUCAUUUUCUCUAAAAAGCUAAGUCUACACUCUUACUAAAUACUCAAAAUUCUCCAAACACUUUUCCCUCAAAAUUCUAACUUUGGCAUCGAAGGUUCUUCGGCCAAAGCCCCCCUCUCCCAAAUUCAUCGUGGGCGCGUGAGGCUUUUGGCCUUGACCUAAGGUGUUAUUUGUUUUGUAGGUGCAAUUUUGUCCAAGAUCAAGGAGGAAGAAAUAUGCAUCGACAAAUUGGUGCUUUCAUUGAAAGUUGAGUCACACACUCGUAGAAGACUCUUGCAUCAAGGUUUUUUCUAUUUUCUUAUCCAUUUGUAGAUUUUUCGUACGUUUUUAUUAUUAGAUUUUUUUUAUUUGAAAAAAUUCUUUGAUAAAACGUAAAAGAGAAGUACAAUGACAAGAAAUUUAGAAAAUUCAACAAGUGAAAAUUACAAUAUUCAAGAAAUAGGACUGCGGUGAUCCACGAGGCUAAAUGUGACAAUAAGUGGAGCGGCACCACCACCACGGUGAGGUCCAUAGUGUCACCACCACGGCCUAAGCCGUGCCAUCCAAGGCUCACGGCACCAAGGCCACAACCCAAGCCAUGUCACUUCAUGCCCAAUGCGAGCCCAACACGUUGCCAAGCCGAGCCUAAGCCUCGUACCCGCGUGCAUCACACGACUAGCAGCCCACUCCCGUGGCCCAUCCUGCUUUCAUAGCCCAGCUUGUUCCCGUGGUGUCCCAAGCAGCCCAAGUCAGCCCAAGACUAUCUCAACCAUCUGGACCUACCAUCGAAUCGGAGGCAUUCUCACCACAUUUCUCCGCAGAUUUGACAUUUUCCAACUCAAAUCUCGUGCCCAAAGUCUACCACCCUUCCACUGCUCAAUAAGGCACAUUCCUUCCAAGCUCUUCCAAUUCGAAUGACGAACAACACUUGUCCCGACAAGUCAUAGAGUUGACGAGCGCCCUUGCACAACAGACGACCUUGAUGAAUCAGUUCUUGCAACACACCGAGAUCCAAUGCGCCCUAGAUGAGGUGUCAUGAAGUAGGACAAGGGCAGACGAGGAACCUUUCAACAGCGUCCCGGCAAGCAGCCACUCAACCAGGCACGAACCGAGCAUUCGGGCAGUUUACACUUCCUAUUGGGCCCCCGAGAUAGCGUAUACUCCCGCCUUAGCGCGUGAAUGAGUGUGCACUCUCGACUAAGCCCAUAGACAAGUAUACACUCAUGGCUGGGACCACACACUGAUGAUCAACAUGAGCAGCCUUCCAGGCAAAGCGUUCAUUCGUUGCUAAGCCCACAAGAAAGAGCUUCCACAUCUCAUCGGAGUAGGCAACACGGCGGACAGAGAGAAGUAGUCACUCAAUUUGGCUCAAGUUCAACUGGCAGCCUGCAAAGAAUUCCCCUGCCUACUAGGAAUGAACCACAUGCAAUACCGCCAUAACAUGGACAAGCCGAGAACAUAGAAGAGCAACCUAGACCAGCAGGUCAAGAACGAGAGCAGCCGAGAGCUCCGCUACCCCAACAAAAGCAAAUCCAAAAAGAGGUAAAAAAGACUCAUCAACGAAUGAUUGUGUGAUUUUCAAUGCAACAAAGUGGCCGAUGAAGCACUACAGUGAGAUAUAACCAACAUGAGCAGCUUACCCUUUAUGGAUGAGAUUGAGCAGGCAAAGCCUCCACAUAAGUUUAGCAUGCCACACUUCACAUCUUUCAAAAGAGAUGGAGAUCCGGAGAAGCACAUGAAGCACUACCGAAGUGCGAUGGUCCUUUAUCAGAACAACGAUGCCAUUAUGUGCAAAAUAUUUACCACUACUUCAAAGGCGAGGCGCAAGAGUGGUUUCACACCUUGCCACCAAGAUCUAUCCGAAGUUUUGAUGAUAUUUCCUUGGUUUUCACCAAAGAUUACUCAUCUUAUCGUUCGAUCAAGAAAAAGUCCGACCACUUGUUCAAUGUGAAGAAAAACCCAAAGGAGUCACUUUGCGAUUACGUGAAGAGGUUCAAAGCAGAGAAGGCAAAUAUCGUCGAAUGCGACGACUCAAUAACAAGUACAGCCUUCCAAAAAUGACUCCCAGCAGACCACCCACCGUUCGAAGAAAUGAUCAUGAAAUAAGACUUAACUCUAGCAGACUCUUUUGCUUUGGCAGAGAAGCAUGCACUUUGGGAUGAGGCUCGACGAGCAGACAAGGCACCCGAGCAGCCUCGAAAAGAGUCGGCAGUGGCUUAAAGAAAGGAGGACGGGAAGUAGUCCAGCAAAAGCAAACAGGAGGCCAAACGUAAGGACCGACCCACGACCAAAGAAAGCUUGACGACCAAGAACUACUCUAAGUUCUCAAUUCUGAUCCAUCAAAUCUUUCACAACAUAAAAAACGAGCCAUUAUUCAAGUUGCCGAAACAAUCAAAGGGAUAUACUUCUAAGUUGGAUCACACCAAAUACUGCGCAUUCCACCAAGGUCUUGGUCACACAACCGACGACUGCUACACUUGGAAGAACUCCCUAGAGAAGCUCAUGAAAGAAGGCAAGGUCGAUAGAUACUUGGACAAGCUAGUUGCGCAGCCUAGAAGGAAUGUAGACAAUGACGAGAAGCCGUCAACCAAGACGAUUUGAGUUAAUGGUAUCUUCGUCGAAUUCGAACACUUGGGGGCCACCAACAACUCUAAAAAAAAGAAAGUUCCAACAGGCUCUACUAGUCUCACAGGUUCAAACAGUCGACACCCAACCUAGACCCAUGAUUGGCUUCACCGAGCAGGAUGCAGAAGGCGUCAAUUUCCCACACGAUGACGCACUAGUAGUAUCUGUCCAACUAGACCAUGCUAUAGUUGAUAGAAUGAUGGUUGACAAUGGAAAUGCAAUUAACUUACUUUAACUCUUAGUCAUUCAGGAGAUGAGCCUGAAAAACACAAUCAUACACCGAGCAGAGGUACUCACCGGAUUCAACCGGCACACCUCAACUAUCAUUGGUCACAUCACACUUGACGUAAAAACACCGCCAGUUGUCUCAAAACAGACGUUCACGAUCGUAAGUGACCUAUCUCCCUGCAAUGGGAUUCUUAGGAGACCUCGGUUGAUUAAGCUGGACGCCGUCACUUCCGUCAAGUCUAACCAGGCCGCACUCUGACGAUGUACUAUGCAAGUGUUGAAUGAAUCAAAGAAGAAGGCCUUUACCCCCGUGGAGGCUACCGAAGUCCAAAGGGACGAAGAGGCUACUAAAUAACAAUUACAGUAAGCGGAUCAAGAAUGUGGUGCCCAAGCAGACAAGAUAGGAUGGAAAUCUGAAUAGGACAUCGAAGACAUCAUUCUUGAUCCCCAGCAGCCAGAAAAGAUAGUUAAAAUCGGCUCACGUCUAAGCCCAGCCGAGAAGGAAGAACUCACGGCUUUCCUUAGGGAAAACCGAGACAUCUUUGCAUGGUCAUCAUCAAACAUGCCUAGCAUCGACCCCGAGGUAGCUUACCACAAGCUGCACGUCAACCCUGCUACCAAACCGGUAAUCCAAAAGAGAAGACAUUUUGCACCCGAACGAGUAACGAUCAUUGAGGCAUAAAUUGACAAGCUACUGGAGGUCGGAUUCAUUGAAGAGGUAGCACACUCAGCAUGGCUUGCUAACAUCAUGCUAGUCGUAAAGAAAGAGAAGAGCAAAUAGAGGGUUUGCGUAAACUACAUCAACCUCAACAAAGCAUGCCCAGGAUAUCCUUAUCCGCUUCUCCGGAUUGAUCUAUUGGUAUAUUCGACUUCUGGAAACCAGCUACUCAGCUUCUUGGGUGCAUGCUCUGGCUACAACCAAAUAGCCAUGUCGACCGCGCAUCCAACUACAAAGGCUCAAGGGUAGGCGUGGUCAUUGUCACCCCAAACGGUUCAAUCACAAUUCAUUCCGAUUCCCAGCUAAUCACCAGCCAAACUACUGGGGAGUACACGGCAAAACAUCCAAGGAUGACGUAGUACCUAGAGAAGGUAUGCAAGCAGCUUGAGGCAUUUUAGACUUACACUCUCACUCAAUUUCUACGGGUAGACAAUGCCCACACAGAUGCGCUAGCCGGCCUAGGCUCUGCCCUCGACCAUCAACUCAAAUACUCUGUUCUAGUGGAAUAUCUAGACAAGCCAAGCAUAACGACGAAGCCGACAGCCGAAGUGUCACAAGUUAGUAUAACUCCUAACUGGCAAAGUUAUAUUAUAUACUACUUGGUCAACGACACACUCCCCCCAGAAAGAUUGGAGUCUAUGAAGCUCCAAAUCAAGGCAGCACGCUACUAAAUGUGGAACGACAUUUUCAUCCGAAGAUCCUACACCAAACCACGUCUCUGCUACCUAGUGCCUCCCGAUGAGUUGAAGGUUCUAAGCUCAAUCCACGAAGACGUUUGUGGAAAUCACUCUGGAGGUCGAUCCUUAGCACAUAAUGCUCUUAACACAGGCUACUACUAGCCUACCAUGUACCAAGAUGCUAAGGAGUUAGUACAAAAGUACGACCGUUGCCAACGCUACAAGCCGGUACCAGCACUGCCUGCCAGCAAGCUAUACCCACAGACGAGUCCUUGGCCAUUCAUGUAGUGGGCAAUCAACCUGGUAGGACCUAAGCCACCUGCUACUGGGGGCAGAUGCAUGAUGAUCGUGGCAACUAACUACUUCACCAAAUAGGUAGAAGCAAAGCCUAUGACAACCACAACUCAGACGGACAUAGAGCGCUUCAUAUAGAGGAACAUCAUUUACCGAUUUGGCAUCCCUCAGUCUAUCUUCACCAACAAUGGCCCGCAAUUUUUGGGUAAAGAUUUGGUGAAGUUUUUCCAAAUGUAUGGCAUCAAGCAGCACAUGUCCACCCCAAGAUAUCUUCAAGGCAAUGGGCAAGUUGAAGCAUCUAACAACACGAUCGUCGACUUCCUCAAGAAAUCCCUCAUGGACAAGAAAGGAAAAUGGCCAGACGAACUCAUGGGCUUAUCACAUCACCAAAAGAUGAGCAACUGGUGAGACACAUUUCUCUUUAGCAUUUGGUUCGGAAGCAAUCAUUCCUCCCAACAUGUUAUGAACGAGACUUUAGUCGGAACCUUCCUGAUUAAAAACAAAGAUCGAAAAACUUCGGUGGAGACAUUUGCAAAUAACUACGUAAACACAUGAAAAAUAUCAGAGUAGCAUCAAGAAUCGGUGGCAUAAAAAUCUUUACGCACCCACUUGUUCCAGAUGUUGGCACAUGAUCAUGCAUCGAUAGAUAUAUGUAUGGACAAUGGAUGCCCUACCUUGCAAAUUAUGCCAAGAACAACAAUCGAUCGAGUGACCAGCGGUGGGACUUGGGAGAGCUAGGAAUAUUAGCAAGCUGCAUUUUCUCAAUUCCCACUCUCACUUGUUUGAGCAUACCAACUAAUAUGCUUGUUUCUUGACUUAUGGAUGUAUCCAAAGUUCAAUAUGGAUGCAUGACAUGUGAUGUAGGUCAGGAGGUUUUUCUUCUUUUCAAAAGUAGUAUAUGUUGGAAAAGUUAGACAUGGAAUUGAUACCAGAGUUAAUAUGCUUUUGUACCGUCAUUCCCUAUAACCAAGGAAGAAAAAAUCGAUAAUAUCAGCGAUAUUAUCGUUUUUUUUUUGUCCGAUAUUUUUUUAACUAUCCAAAUGGUUUUGUCAAAAUAUCGCGAUAUUAUCGAUAAUAUCGUGAUAUUUUCGAAACUAUCGUGAUAUUUUGGCACUGUGCUAAUCGGAGAAGAACGCCGGAGCAAAUUAACCGAAUCCCUAAAUCCCCAAAUUCGAAUUCAAAGCAAAUUAACUGAAUCCCUAAAUCCCCAAAUUCGAAUUCAAAGCAAAUUAACUGAAUCCCUAAUUCCUAAAUCCUUAAAUUCAAAUUCAGUACAAAAAUGAAAUUACAUGCAGAAAAUUCGAAUUUUGUACAAAAAUGAAAUUACAUGUCGAGAAGAAGAGAAGUAGGAGCCUGGGAACGUCGUCUUCCUCACGAAUCCAAGAUGGCUGGGACAACGUCGUCCUCCUCAUCGACGACUACGAUGAGUUCCGGUCCAUCAUUUGGUGUCCGCUGCCUCGCUCAGUUUCUCCACAACCAUUGAUUUGCGAUGACGCGAUAGUUACGACUCGACGACUGGGACUAACGACACGGCUUCUCCAUGGAACAAGGUUGUUUACAAGGCGGUUAUGGAGUGGCGUCGACGGCUAGGUUUAGGGCGGGUGAGAUGGGAGGAGCAGAGGGAAACGCGGACGAGGAAGAUCGAGAGAUGGAUCGAGAUUCGAGAGAUGAUGUCUGUGUGUGCAUGUGGAAGAACUGGAGAAGGGGGAAGGGAGAAGACUGAGAAAAGAGAAUGAAGGGAGAAGACUCAGAAGAGAGAAGAGAGAGAAGGAAGGAUCGAGAGAGAGAUUGAGCCCAGUCUCUGUGUGCGUGUGUGGUGUGGUGUGGGGGGUCUCGAAGUGCGUGUGUGGUGGAAUGUGAGUGUGACUCACUCUUUAACUGUCUGUGUGUGUGGUGGCGUGUGAGAAAAAAAAAAGCAUCUUGAGUGUGACUCACAAUGUUUGCCAGCUCGCUAUAUAAUCAACUUGAUAAUGUUAAAUUCAUCAUGCAAUGCAUUUCCUUCCAAUUUUUUGUGAUAAACUAAUAGAUAAUUGACUAAAUAAAUAUCCUGCAAAGUUUCAAUAAAAAUUUCCAAGUUUUUCUUACAAUUUCCGUGGUUUCCAUGUAAUUUUUAUCGAUAUCGAUAUUAUCCCGAUAUUUCCAUCGAUAUUUCCAUGUUUUUGGACUACCGAUAUUUCCGAUAUUACCAAUAUUUUCUUCCUUGCCUAUAACCAAAAAUUCCUUAUUGUCAUUAAAAAAAAGAGAAUUUUUUAUUUCUAUUAUUAUAUUUAAUUAGUCUCUUGCUACAUUAAAUAAAAGUUAUUAAUACUUCCAUAAGAAAGCUUCAUUAAUUUGGUAAAAUUUUACAUAUAGUUAUAUAAAUGUAUUUAAAACUUAUGAUACAUUUGAAAAUAAACAUACUGAUUUUGGGUAAGUUUAGAUUUUAAAUGAACUAAUAAACAAAUGUACCAUAAAACUAAAGUGUAAAUUGUAGUUAUGGUCCCUUAACUUUAACUCAAUUGGAGCAAUGGUCCCUCAACUCAUCAAAAUGUGCAGCUAUGGUCCCUCAACUAAAAAUCCAUUACUAUUGGUCCCUCAACUUUAAUUCAACUGGAGAAAUGGUCCUUUAACUUUAACCCAAUUGUAGCAAUGGUCCUUCCAACAUAACUCAUUUUGACAAAAAAUCUAAUGCAGUUGACGAAAAUGACCAUAAUUACACACUCUGAUGAGUUGAGGGACCCUAAUUAUAUAAAUGGUUCUUCCAACAUAACUUAUUUUGACAAAAUUUUGACAAAAUUGAUGAAAAUGAUUAUAACUAUACAUUUUGAUAAGUUGAUGGACCAAUGGUAAUGGAUUUUUAGUUGAGGGACCAUUGCUCCAAUUUGAUUAAAGUUGAGGGACCAUUGCUACAAUUUACUUCUAAAACUAAAAUUACCCAUAUUUUAGGUAAUCAAUUGUACCAAUACAAUCAAACGAUCAUACAAUCAAAUGUACCUUUACUAUGAUUAUGUAUGUGAUAAUGAGUUUUGAACCUUCUAUUUAAUUCACUAAACCAAAUAUUAUAAUAAACAAUAAAAAAUCUAAAAUCUCCAGAACGAGAGAUGCAUAUAACUAUAACAGAUUCAUAGGUAAGGAAUUAUAGGGUAAAAAGGAAAACGAAAGUAAAGAUGUAAUGUGAAAUUUUUUAGGGUGGCUAGCAAACAAUUUCACGAAAAUAAAGGUAAAAAGAAAAAGAAAAAAAGGAACGUUUAAAAUUGAACUUUUAAUAAAAUGAAAUUAAGCACCAAAACUGUACGAAAAAUGUUUAACCAAAUUCUUAAAAGUAAUAGAAGUUUAAUCACCAAAAUUGAAAAACAAGGCAUUUAUAUCAAAACGCCCCCAAACUAUGUAAAAUAAUCAUGGGAACACAAACCAUACCCCUAAGAAUAAAGAGAAAUUGCAACCCGUGAAAUGCAUGGCUUUUCAUUUUUAGUAUAAACAGGGUUGUUCUGAAAUUUCGGGGAUCCUGUGCAAAUUUAUAAAAGGGCCAUUCUUAAGAUAAUCUUAAAAAAAAAUUAAAAAAAAAUUUGAACUUCGUGGUUGUUUUUCUUUAACAAAAAACCUAUCAAUAACUCGUUUUUUAGACGAGUAAAUUGUUCAACUUUUUUUUCUUUGGCGUUUCAAGUAGCCACAUAAAUAUUUUUUAGUAGGUGUCAUCUUUUAUAUCUCAAACAAUAUCAUAAUUAAAUUAUACUAAGUAUAUACAAUAAAACCUGAUAGUUCGCAAUGCAUGUGCAUCUAGUGGUUUUUGUUUACUGCUCCCCUCUUGCUAUGACAAUUACUUGAUUGAUUUUUAUGAGUUUUGCCCUAAAAAGUACAAAAGGAAAAAAAAUAUCAUUAUUAAUAAAAAUACCUAAAUCUUCUAAUUCCAACGUAAUAUACUUGAACUAGUAAUACCUUAUUUUAAUCGAAGUCUACACCACUAUGACCACUUCAAUUGUCUUCGUGAUUUGGACAAUUUUCUUCAAUGACAGGAAAUUUUGAAUUUAGGGUUUAAUGGUCUAUGUAAAAAAAAGUAGUGAGGAUGGGAGAUACAUGGGAAGUGGGAGAGGGGGUGUCUCGAUGAGAGAAAGAAGUGGACCAUGACUCUUGGAGUGAGAAUUGAGAAACAUUGUGAGGAAUAUCAUUAUUUUAUAAUUUUUAUAAAAUUUCUUACAAUUUGAUGACUUAUGUAGGCAUUCAUGUAGCUUGUGGCUUGUGGGCCCACUAGGAUUUUUAUAACUUUUAUUGAGUUCUGAUUAGCCUUUUUAUUUAUAUAAAUAAUAUAAUAUUAUUUCAUAGGAUAUCCGAUUAGAUAUAAACUAUUUUGGCCUCUUAAAUUUUGUGGCCCUGUGCCAUUGAACCGAUAGCUCCCCCUCAAUGCCGGCUCUAAGUAUAAAUACAUGAUGGUGUUCUUGGAUGAGAUUCUCCAUCUUUUACAUGCUUUCUAGAACUUCGCUACAAUGGCUUUAACCCCAUGGUUUCUCCUUCUCAUCAGCCUCAUAUCUACUCUGCCAGUUGAUGUCACUCUAUCUGCUGCUCACCAGGAUACCCGGAAGGCAUUCAUAAAAUAUGCAUUUUGAACAAUUCCGUUUCUCUGCUCUAAAUAUGUUCAUUAAUUAAUUUAAUCUUCUGAUCUUGGAUAUAUUAACUGCAGGAUUAUAUUGUGUAUAUGGGUGACAAGCCAAAGCCAGAGGUUUCCACCACUACCACAUCAGCUCUUCAUGUAAACAUGCUACAAAACGUCAUCGAUGACAGGUUUAAUUAAUUAUCACAUAUGAUAGUGAGCUUAAUUAUAUAUUCUGAUCAGUGUUUUAAAAUACUCGCAUCGAGGGCCUUAGAGUAUGGACGGGUGGCUUGCCGUCUCUAUUUUGUGGGAGUCGGCGAAAAACUCACAUAGCUUCGUCGGGGCGUGCCUCAGGACGUUUGAUUGGGCGUCAGUUUUGUAUAAAGGUUGUCGAAAUCUGAAAAAAAAAUUUGAUUGAAAUCUGGGUUUUGUUUUCAGUUGCAUAGCAGUCUGAAGAAGAUGAAGACGCCAACUUGUAGGCUGAUUUUUCUUUUCUUUUUUUUUUUAUUAUUUUUUUCACUUUAUUAACCGCUGUUAAAUCAUAUCUUUUAGCAUAUUCUAUUUUUUAAGUUUUUGUUUUUUAUAUUAUUUUAUAGAUAUUAAAAAAAAUAAAAGAUAAACAGAAAGAAAAUAUUUUUAUACUUUUUAUGAAGUAUAUAGACCUAAAAAAACCUCAAAAGACCCUAAAAAACCUCAAAAUAUAUCUUUACUUUUUAACGUUAUAUAUUACCCUUUCCUUUUCUUUUUAAGACUCCACAUCCACAUAUCUCAUCAAAAUAUUAUGUAUAUGUAUGUAUGUAUUGUAUAUAUAUUAAAAAAUUUAAGUUCCAUGAGAUUUCGCCUCAAGGCUUUCGGCUAGGCAGAGCUAUCCAUAACACGCCUCACCUACGCCUUCGCCUUUUAAAACAUUGAUACUGAUUAACAUUAUUCGUGACAAGGGUACCAUUUAAUUUAGUCAUCUCUCAUACAUACACAUCUUCUCUUUGUUUUUCAAGCUUAAUUAUCGCAGAGUUUGAAAGUGUCAAAUUUUUGAAGAUUUUGAUUUUUGACGUUUAUUUAUCCAGCAAUAUUGCGCACGAAUCUCUGCUUCUGCACAGCUACAAGAGAACCUUCAAUGGCUUUGCUGCCAAGCUAACAGAGGAAGAAGCACAGAAGUUGGCUGGUUGUCUUAUGAACCCAACUUAAUUUUAUUUUUCAACUUGAAUAAACAUUAAAAGUGACCAUUGUAUGACUUGAAAAAUAUAUGCAGGAAUGGAUGGUGUGGUGUCAGUUUUCCCUAGUGAAACUAAGAAGCUCCAAACAACAAGGUCAUGGGACUUCAUUGGGUUUCCUGAAAUGGUGAAGAGAAGCGCCAUUGAAACUGAUAUCAUUGUCGGGGUAAUUGACACUGGAAUUUGGCCUGAAUCUGCCAGCUUCAGUGACGCCGGGUUUGGUCCACCCCCCAAAAGGUGGAAAGGCGCAUGCAAGGGCGAAGGCAAUUUUACUUGCAAUAAGUAAAGCAAACCAGUUUAUUUCAACCAUCCACUGCACAUUUCAAAAUAAAAAAAUAAAAAUUCACGUGUUGUUGUUAAUUACACUUGGACAGAAAAAAAAAGAAAAAAAAAGUGCGAACUUGAUUAUAAUUUAUAUGAUAUGUUGUCAAAUUGUAACUCUGACUAAAAUAAUGACAUAUUUGUUACACUUGGACAGUAAAAUUAUCGGAGCACGGUAUUACCGCAGUCAACCCUCCCCCCAAAAUAGCAGUGAUGUCAUGUCUCCGAGGGACACGGAAGGCCAUGGAACCCACACUGCAUCAACAGCAGCAGGGAACUUAGUUAGCAAGGCAAGUCUGUAUGGUUUAGGGUUGGGGACAGCAAGAGGAGGGGUGCCAUCAGCACGCAUUGCGGUGUACAAAGUUUGUUGGUCAGACGGGUGCCCGGAUGCUGAUAUUCUAGCGGCAUUCGAUGAUGCCAUAGCUGACGGUGUUGACAUACUCUCUGUCUCCAUUGGGGGGUUUAAACCGUAGAUUAUUUCAGAAAUUCCAUUGACAUUGGAGCUUUUCACGCUUUAAGAAAAGGAAUAUUCACUUCCGCGUCUGCUGGUAAUCAAGGUCCAAACCUGAAAACCAUUACAAACUUUGCACCAUGGUCUCUUGCUGUAGCUGCUAGCACCAUAGAUCGCCACUUUGAUACCAAGGUUCAAUUGGGAAACCACAAAAUUUAUGAGGUAAUUGAUACAGAAUCUAACCUUUGCUCAUUUAGGGCUUUGUUUGGCAGUGAUCCUGGUUGGGCAAUAUAUAAUCACUUAUGGAGAAUCAACAAUAUAUAUGCUGAAGAUGCACCAAAAUACUAGAGAAGUGAUUAACAUGAGAGUUGAUUAUGAUUUGUUUUUGCUUCCUUAAUUGGUAGGGAAUAGUAACAAACACAUUUGAACUCAAGGGUAAAUUCUACCCCAUAGUAUAUGCUGCAGACGUUCCAGAUAGGGCAGCAGGUUUCGAUGGGGAAAUUUCCAGGUAUGUGUACGCAUUUUGAGAGUAUAUAUUGUAAGAACUUGUAAACAAACAAACACCAAGACCAAAACAUGAACCACAAACAAAAGGAAACCAACCCAGUUAUGUGCACAUAAAUAACCAGAAAGGAAAACAUACCUGCAGCUGCACCAGAACUCCUAGCCAUUGCAGCAAACUUUCAGUGAUCCUUCUCUUCUCUUGCAGAUUGUCAAGAGCUCGACUCACAGAUAGGUUAUGGUCCAAUAUGAGCGUUAGUUCUAUGAGAAGAGAGGUCACUGUAUAUAUACAUAUAGACUUCACCAAAAUAGAUCAGGAUUUCCUAUCAAAAUGCUCAUCGGAAACAAACACUUGUUUCCUGAUGCUAACCAAAAUCCUUUUCAGUCAAGGAUCAGCAUUCCUUUCAUCAAUAGGACUUUCUAUCCAAAUUGAAUACCUAUAACCGGUCCUAAUACUUCUCUAUCUCAUACUCAUAUUCUUACAUUCUCCCACUUGAGUAUGAGAACAAUUUCAAGUACUCAGUUUAUCCAAUCAUACUUAGAUAGAAGUAAUCACUAACAGAUAAUCAUCUCAAAUUAUUAUAAAGGUGAUCACAUAAUUAAGUCAUUCACCAACACACAAGUACAUAGACACAACCAGCUUACAUAAACCAAAACAAUGAAUGUAUAAUUGCCUCUGCAACACAAAAUACAGAUUUAACUUACAAAUCACAAUGUCCAGUUCAUGUUCAUAGCAAUGUAUCUAAGCUCAAAAGUAAACCAAGACGUCUACUCCCACUCAUAAAGCCACCAAAUCUUUUGGAUAACAAAAGCUUAACCUCACAUACAACUUACCCAUGCAUUUUAAAGUAUUGAACUUAAGAAUUUUUUCUGUUACAUCGCAGAAUUAAUUCAAAAGUCACAACAUACUUAAUUUGCACUUUGUAAUUAUGUGAACCAAUAUAGCAAAAACCAAACCAAUUUGCUCCCACUUAUCUAGGAUAUACUUAACACAAACAAGUUAAGUAUAAGUUAAUAUCAACUGUAUUAACUAACAGUCAUUGCAAUACACUGAAUGUCUUAUCAAUGUGAUCAAUUGCCGCAACCAAUGCAAACAAAUUCCAUGAUCACAUUCAUCCAAUUUGUAUUUACAACAAUGUGAUUUUACUUGACCAGAACAAACACAUAAAUUGAUUUGCUCCCACUAUAUCAAGUUAAGUUUAGUUCCAGCAAAUAGCACUAAACUUCUCAUUACUUAAACAAAUUAAGUAACAUAAAUAAUUACCAAUUGCUUCAAUAAAACCAUAAUCUGGUUUUCAAGCAUCCAAAUGAAUUAUAAUGGCCGGCCUAAAUAACCUUAUGCUUACAUUCGAACAUAUGAUUCUCCCACUUAAGCAUAAGCAGAAUGUACUGCACAACCAAUAAAGAAACCGGAGAUAUGAACCAAUUGAUUCCCGAUUCCUUACCAAUUGCAUAAUCUCAGUUUAGUCAAAUACACCUAAACCAUUAUGCAAACAGUCUAUGUAUCAAAAGAUAGUCACAAUCCAUUCGAUUUGAUCCUAACUAGUUUCAACAAUAAUCAAAAUCAGAAUAGCAAGCACAAUAUUCUUGCAUUCAAUUUGAUCCUAACUAGUUCAAUACCCAUCGAGCAAGAUCAACUAAAAUUUGAUAAUGUCUGGAUAUAAAGGCACAAGUCAUCUUGAUUAAAACAAGAUAAUCAAGAUGAUCAUCCAAUAAAAUUUAGUGUACUUACAGAUUUAAUACAUAAUAUCAAAUCUCUUACACUUACAAUAUAUCAAGUGAGAUGAGUUUCAGAAUACAUUCUUGCCAACAAGGUUUCACUAAACAAUUUAUACCAUUUCAUACAGGUACUAACACAAGAGCCUUCACAUGUUUUUGGUUAUACAGUGCACAUAUUGGCAUUAACGAACCCAAAAAUUCCGAACUACAUCAUUCACAUAUAUGGCAACACCCCCAAAACCUAUUAUAUAUAGUCUAACCAAAAUUGGGAUAUGAAUUACACUCAUAAUUUUAAAAACGUCAUUAUGGAUACCCGUAUAAUCCAAUUUUGCUUUUCUAGAAUAAUUCAAACCAAUUAGACCCACAUAAAAGCCACAGGUAUUUGGUAGCAACAAUAAGUCAAAUUCUAUUAUCAUAAUUCAUAAUGGAAAAUCAUGAUGCAAGCUUCCAAGUUUCAAGCAAGUUAAUGAGAAACCUUACAUUUGCUUGAGACAACAAAAUAGCAACAAAACAAUAUUUUCCACCCAAUCUAAUUACACAGGCUCUAACUCAAAAAUAGAAGAGCAAUGUGUACACCAAAUAUUAGUCUAAUGAAUCUUUAUGCAAAAAGAAUGAUUCCAGUCAUCUCACAUAAAUCAUAAGUUGGCAUUUAUAGGGAUUUCGAGUUUAAUUGUGCCUUCACAAAAUAAACAAGCAUACUCGGAAUAGCAAAAGCCCUAAUUCAUUAUGCUCCAACUCAUCGCACUAUAAUCACGCAUAUAGGAGAACAAUUAAUUAUGCAUGAAACAGUGAACUGAGUUACCUGAAUGCAUCAUUGGACUCGUAUUCGACAACCCGAUUGCAAUUCCACGGCUCCAAAUCAACGAAACAAAUUAUCCAUCAAUGCUCGAGACCCAUCCAUACGGAUUGCCAUGGUUACAGACGCGCCGAACCAAAAUCAUCGCCAAAGCAACGACUAGAAUCCCGUGGACCCAAAUUCCCACAAAAAAAGACAAACCAUGAAUGUUAAUAUCUCUUAGACAAACAAAAACUUAUUAAUGUCGCCAUAAUCAAGAUUUCAUCUUUCUUUUAUCUUACUAAUAUUUGGUGAGGCAUAUUUUAUGCACAUCUUUAUUCAUAUAAAGGAUUAAGAAACCACAACUACCUCAAUCUUCAGACAUCAUAAUGAACACAGCGGAAGCAAUAAUUCUCAAAAUUAGAACUAUGAUGUUUAAGAUAAAUGUGUUUUGCUAAAUCACUUUAUUGAUCUCCAAAGAAGCAAGCAAGAAUAAGUUCACCCUUUCCCACGUGCAGCAUAAUAUAAAUUGUUAUCAUACCAGAUUCACAUAAUUUGCAGAAGCAAAGCAGAUUCAUAUGCGCUAAAACAUACACAGGUAUUGAAAGAAUUAAAAGCAAUCAUACCUUUUAAUCACUGCAGACUUAUAGACAACAUAUGCAACAAUAGGCAUCAACAGACGUCUCAUGCAUAAUGAUCAUUUUUCAUGGUUGUUUAAGAAACACAAAACCAUCAGUAGAAAAUGCAAAUCAAAAUUUUUCCGCAGAUAUGGAAAAAUUCAGCCUUGAUUAUCAGCUCUAAUCAGAAAUAUCAACACAUACCUCCUGCAGAUUUCAAUUUGGAACAGCGCAACGGAAAUAAUUAUCCAAAUUGAAAAAAAUUAAUUUAAGAGUUGAGAGAAUCACAAAACCCAAAAAAUGUUUUGAUCGAUGAAGUUGCUAAUCAAAACCCCAAAUUGAGAAAACAACCUCAACCAAUAGAUUUGCAGAAAAAAAAACCAAUGGUAAUAGUUUAAAUAUAUUUUGUCAUUAUCUGGAGAUCACAUACCACCGAUGCAUCUAAGAUGAAAACAUUGAGGUUUGCACCAACAAUUGGCCCGAUAUCAAUCCCCAAAAAUCCUAACGGUCAAUUUUAUUUUAUUAAUUCUCUGCUUAUUGAAAACGCAAUGUCGUUUUCGUGAAACUCUUUUCCAGCGAAUUCGUUUAAACCAGUUUCGAAACCUGGAAGUCGCAAAAUUUAUUUAUCUAUUUAUAAACACAUUCGACUUUUCUCCUUUACAGAUUUGAACUCAUGUUUGUGUCUUGUGGCUCUGAUACCACAUGUAAGAACUUGUAAACAAACAAACACCAAGACCAAAACAUGAACCACAAACAAAAGGAAACCAACCCAGUUAUGUGCACAUAAAUAACCAGAAAGGAAAACAUACCUGCAGCUGCACCAGAACUCGUAGCCAUUGCAGCAAACUUUCAGUGAUCCUUCUCUUCUCUUGCAGAUUGUCAAGAGCUCGACUCAUAGAUAGGUUAUGGUCCAAUAUGAGCGUUAGUUCUGUGAGAAGAGAGGUCACUAUAUAUAUACAUAUAGACUUCACCAAAAUAGAUCAGGAUUUCCUAUCAAAAUCCUCAUCGGAAACAAACACUUGUUUCCUGAUGCUAACCAAUCCUUUUCAGUCAAGGAUCAGCAUUCCUUUCAUCAAUAGGACUUUCUAUCCAAAUUGAAUACCUAUAACCGGUCCUAAAACUUCUCUAUCUCAUACUCAUAUUCUUACAUAUAUACCAUUUAUAUUGAAGAACCACGGUAGUCUAGCGUAAGUCUAACCAGGUGCUAAUAACAUGGAUAUAUAUGGAACAGGUUUUGCAUAAUAGGCAGCACGUUAGACCAAAAGCUGGUGAAGGAUAAAAUUGUUCUUUGCGAUGGGCCUACUGGGGAUGGGGCUGUAGAGGCAGGCGCAUCUGGUUAUGUUUUGACAAGCCGAAAUGCAGCAGAUGUAAUCGAUCCUGUUCCUGUACCAGCAGCUUCCGUUUGGUUCCAUGUUGGUAACGAAAUUGCCCAUUACAUAAACUCAACCAGGUAUCAAUAUUUGAGAAUGAUAGUGCGAGAUUGAUUUAAAAUAUUGCUAAUGUGCGAAACUAACAUAAAUCAAAAGACCCCUUAUUAUGUUAUUGCUAAUAAAUCCUGAAUCCCUGUAAUGAUUCGUAGGAACCCAACAGCAACAAUUUGGAAAAGUACUGAGGGUAGGGAUGCACUGGCCCCAUACGUACCUUCAUUCUCAUCAAGGGGUCCAAAUCCAAACACUCCUAACAUUCUCAAGGUAACUUCAAGGCCCUGUAGGUGUGUGAAUGCUGACUUAAAAAAUGAACAAACCGAAUCAUGAAUAUUGAGGGGUCUUAAUUUUCCUCCUUGUUUUCUCCUAUAUGUUGCAGCCAGAUAUCGCUUCUCCUGGAGUUUCCAUUCUAGCCGCAUGGUCUCCAAUUGCCCCAGUUUCAGGUUUUGAAGGUGAUGACAGGGUAACUUCAUACAAUAUAAUCUCGGGGACAUCAAUGGCAUGCCCACAUGCUGCGGGCGUGGCUGCAUACGUCAAAUCAUUUCACCCCAAUUGGUCACCUGCUGCAAUCCUGUCAGCUCUUACAAGUACUGGUAUAGAUGCAUUUUCAUAAAUGUACCCAUUACAAUACAACCGUUCUCUCACAUAUUUGAUGAGUUGUGUGACCAAUUAUUAUCAGAGAUCAUGUGACCAAGUCUUGUGAGAGAGACCCUACAUAUAAUAAGACUUUGUCCAUGAUGUACAUUGUAUUACCUAAGAUUUAUAUGUUUGAUUAAUUUGUAACGAUUUUGCAGCCAAACCUAUGAGUACAAAUCUUAACCCUGAAGCCGAAUUCGCGUACGGUGCUGGCCUACUAAAUCCUAGUAGGGCUCCGUAUCCUGGUUUGGUAUACGACACUGCUGAAAUCGAUUACGUAAAUUUUUUGUGUGCACAAGGCUAUAGUACCAGAUUAUUGAAAGCUCUUACCGGGGAUAGCUAUAGCUGCUCAUCAUCACAAUCUAGUCAUGGAACACUCAGUGAUCAUCUAAACUAUCCUUCUGUUGCACUUUCCACCUCGAACCCUAAAUCCGUCAAUGGCAUUUUCAAUAGGACCGUCACAAAUGUUGGAUCACCAAAGUCCACAUAUAAAGCUAAAGUGAGUGCACCACCAGGACUUGAUAUCAAAGUUAAUCCAAGCAUUCUAAAGUUCACAUCUCUCGGGCAGAAGCUAUCGUUUCAAGUCACGGUGAAAGGGUUGAUUGAAAAACCAUAGUCUCUGGUUCUCUGGUGUGGGAUGAUGGUAAAUUCCAAGUGAGGAGCCCCAUUGUUGUGUAUUUUGUGUUUUGAGAACAAUAUGUGUAAUAAUGUAUGAUGCAUGAAUAAGCAAUUGCAUGAAACUAGAUAGGGCUUCAAUGAAACAAAAUUGCAACAUAUUGAUCACGAUGAUGUAUUUUAAAUGAAAACUAAAUUAUUAUAUAUUUAUGAACCUUUAAUAUGAUGUAGUACAUCGAAGUACAUCGAAAUUUGAAACGUACCCAUUUAAGGAUAUUUUAUAGCUCUCUAUGCAAUCUAAUUGUAUAUUUGAUAGUUCAUUUUUGGUCUGCAUGGGAAAUAUGGAUUUUCUCCUAUGUUGAUUACUUGAUUGAAGGCCCCAUCCCUCGUUGCCCGUGUAUACAGGUUGUACCUAUCACUACAUCAAGUUAUCAACGAGACUUUAGUCGGAACCUUCCUGAUUAAAAACAAAAGACCGAAAAACUUCGGUGGGGACAUUUGCAAACAACGACGUAUACAACAACAACAACAACAAAGCCUUUUCUCACUAAGUGGGGUCGGCUAUAUGAAUCCUAGAACGCCAUUGCGCUCGGUUUUGUGUCAUGUCCUCCGUUAGAUCCAAGUACUCUAAGUCUUUUCUUAGAGUCUCUUCCAAAGUUUUCCUAGGUCUUCCUCUACCCCUUCGGCCCUGAACCUUUGUCCCGUAGUCACAUCUUCAAACUGGAGCGUCAGUAGGCCUUCUUUGCACAUGUCCAAAUCACCGGAACCGAUUUUCUCUCCUCUUUCCUUCAAUUUCGGCUACUCCUACUUUACCUCGGAAAUCCUCAAUCCCAAUCUUAUCUUUUCUCGUGUGCCCACACAUCCCACGAAGCAUCCUCAUCUCCGCUACACCCAUUUUGUGUACGUGUUGAUGCUUCACCGCCCAACAUUUUGUGUCAUACAACAUCGCUGGCCUUAUUGCCGUCCUAUAAAAUUUUCCCUUGAGCUUCAGUGGUCUACGACGGUCACACAACACGCCGGAUGCACUCUUACACUUCAUCCAUCCAGCUUGUAUUCUAUGGUUGAGAUCUCCAUCUAAUUCUCCGUUCUCUUGCAAGAUAGAUCCUAGGUAGCGAAAACGGUCGCUUUUUGUGAUCUUUGCUAGAUUGCUCCGGUCAUUAGUGUGGAUAAGUAUAUAAAUGGAUAGAGAUAGGAAAGCAAACACAAGAUGUACGUGGUUCACCCAGAUUGGCUACGUCCACGGAAUAGAGGAGUUCUCAUUAAUUGUGAAGGGUUUACACAAGUACAUAGGUUCAAGUUCUCCUUUAGUGAGUACAAGUGAAUGAUUUAGUACAAAUGACAUUAGGAAAUAUUGUGGGAGAAUGAUCUCGUAAUCACGAAACUUCUAAGUAUCGGAGUGUGGUAUCGUCUUGACUUGCCUUAUCUGUCUCAUAGGUAGAUGUGGCAUCUUCUCUGGAAGUACUCUUCCUCCAUCCAGGAGUGGUAUCUUUAACUGGUGGAGAUGCACAAGGUAAUGUAUCAAUUUCACUUGAAGCUUACUUGUAGUUUCAGGCUUGGUCAAGCGCGAUACAAACCAUGUAGUAGGAGUCCCCCAAGUCGCCGAGCUAGGGGAUUUGCUGAAAGAGGUGACAGACAAGGUAAGCAAUCAGAGCUCCGGCUGAUUGUUCACAUUCUCCCUAUCUUGCAGGCAGCAUGAAGGAUAAAGAGAAGAAAAAUGAGAAGGGGUGAUAUGGGAUACUUUUGCUUUUGAAGAAGUAACUUUCCACAGGUUUAUUCUUGAACUGAGCUGGAGGGUUUUCUUGUUUCCUCCAGAGUAUAAGGCCAACUGAAGAAUUUGAGGGUCAAAACAAGUCCAUCAAAUCUAGAGUACGUUCGACCCUGCUAAUAUGGGAUACUUUUGCUUUUGACAGAGUAGUGGAUGUAUCGACACGUGUGCUGUUACGCUUGUCUCCACAUGCUUCCUUGUAUCCUUCUCACUUGCCCUAUCUGUUCCUCAGGCAGAUGCGGUAUCUUCCUUGGAAGCAUAAGAUGUUGAAGAUGAGUACUCGAGAGCAAUGCCAGGUAAGUAAUCAGGUAAGAGGUUCCAGGCAGUCAGUUCCUGGCUGGAAUCUUGAUUCCAAGUGCUGACUGAUUGCUCUCUUUCUCCUUGUCUUGCAGGUAAGAAUAAGGCCAAAGGAAAAAACAGGGAAAAAGCAUGAUAUGGGAUACUCUUGCUUUUAACCUUGAUGAUAUGAGAUAUUCUUGCUCUAGUAUAGCUUGUUUGCAGAGGUAUUAUCCGGGGGAAAGAAAGCUGAAUAUUUCGAAAGGCUUCGUUGGGAGUGCCCUCUCAGAUAUGAGGAAGGGUUGAGCAUUUUUGCAGGUCUGCCUGUCCGUUGGGGAUGGAGGUCGACAUAUAUAGGAGUAUCCCUAACAACAAGUAGUAAUGCUAUUCCUUUACCCUGCUUGGUCAUAGCACGGUAGUGGGGGCUGCCAGUUUACAUGUUUUAACUCUGUCAGAGCACUUUGAAAAAGUGGUCUGUGGUAUCUGGAAAGCUGAUGUUGCGUGUGAAGAUUACAGACAAGCUUUAUCCAAGGAUAUCCGGCUCUUGAAGUUGGGAAAGUGGUGCCUCUUCGGUUUUCGAACAAGCAAUCCUAUCGGGGAUCUGGCUCACGAGAUUCAGAGAACGAUGCCUCUUCGAUUUUUGAGAAAGCAAUCAUGCUGGAGGUCUGGCUCUCGAGAUUCGGAGAGCGAUGUCUCUUCGAUUUUUUAGAAAGUAAUCAUGUUGGGAGUCUGGCUCUCGAGGUUCGGAGGGCAGUGCCUCUUCGAUUUUGGAGCAAGCAAUCUUGUUGGGAGUGUUUUCUCGAAUGUAAGUAAAGGUUGGGCAUGUUUGCUAGUCUACCUUGCCACGAAGCACAAAGGUUGACACACAGGGACUUUCCAAUUAUCCAGCAAUGGUACUGUUCCUUUACCCUCUCUUCGAUUUUUGAGAAAGUAGUCAUGUUGGGAGUCUGGCUCUCGAGAUUCGGAGGACGGUGCCUCUUCGAUUUUGGAGCAAGCAAUCUUGUUGGGAGUGUUUUCUCGAAUGUGAGUACAGGUUGGGCAUGUUUGCUAGUCUACCUUGCCACGAAGCACAUAGGUUGACACACAGGGACUUUCCAAUUAUCCAGCAGUGGUACUGUUCCUUUACCCUUGUGGGUAAUAAUAUGGUAGCUAGACCUUCAAAAUUUAUGUGUCUAAACUUUGUUAGUGCUAUUUCUUUGCUAUUCUUUUACCCUUCUUGGUCAGAGCGAUGUAGUGGGAGCUGCAAGCUUCACGUGUCUCAACUUUGGCAGAGAACUUUGGCAAAGUUAUCUAUGGUACCCAUGAGCUACUGUUGCGUGUGGGAAGUAGGUGAUUGAACAAUAAGAUUCAUGUGCUUUCUACUUCACCAGAAGUCUUCGACAGAAUGCCCAUAAUUUCCGCAAAGCUGAGUGUGCGUGUGACAGAUGCUGACAAGGCUGGAAAAGUAGGUGCCUCUUCGAUUUCUGAGAUCGGCCUUCGUGGUCUCUGAGCAGCCCAGCUUUUGAGAAAGCAAGCGCCUCUUCGAUUUCUGAGAUCGGCCUUCGUGGUUUUUGAGCAGCCCAGCUUUUGAGAAAGCAAACGCCUCUUCGAUUUCUGAGCAGACGCCUCUUCGAUUUCUGAAGCUCUGUCAAGUGCAGAUUUUUAUAGGGGCUGGCAUUAAGUUCCAAAGCACACUUGAAUCUCCACCAGUAGAAGCUCUACUCUUGCACUUCUAAGAUCUUGAUUUGUCCGACCUUUUCUCUCUUCAACACCUUUGAAAAUGUCUGGCCCCUCCGACCGUCGUUUUGACUUGAACCUUGUUGAAGAGGCAGCCCCGCCUUCUCCAGACAACAUAUGGCGCCCCCUUCAUGGUCCUCUUCCGUUGGGGAUCCCUACUGAUGAAGAAUCUUACCGUUGGGAUUCCGGAUGAAGAAUGAACCCGCUGCGGUGGUGGCCAGGAACCUUCUCACUCCCAAAGAUAACAGACUACUUUCCAAACGGUCUGAUGAGUUAGCUGUUAAGGAUUCUCUGUCAGUGUUCAGUGUGCAGGUUCUGUGUCUAAUAUGGCCCAACGCCUAUUUGCUCGAACCCGCCAAGUUGAAUCAUUGGCGGCUGAAGUGAUGAGUCUCAAACAGAAGAUUAGAGGGCUCAAGCAUGAGAAUAAACAGUUGCACCGGCUCGCACAUGACUAUGCUACAAACAUGAAGAGGAAGCUUGACCAGAUGAAGGAAUCUGAUGGUCAGGUUUUACUUGAUCAUCAGAGAUUUGUGGGUUUGUUCCAAAGGCAUUUAUUGCCUUCAUCUUCUGGGGUUGUACCGCUUAAUGAAGCUCCAAAUGAUCAACCUCUGAUGCCUCAUCCUUCUAGGGUUCUGUCCAGUACUGAGGCUCCGAAUGAUCCCCCUCCGGUGCCUUCUCUUUCUGGGGCUCUACCGACUGCUGAGACUUCUCCUAAGCAACCUUUGUGAAGGCUUCCUCUUGUUUGUUUAUUUUGACUUAUGUAUAUGUACAUAUUUGUAACUUAUUGGGGAUAUCAAUAAAUAAGCUUUCCUUCAUUUCAACGUAUUGUGUUAAAUACACCAAAGCCUUCUUCGCUAAGUUCUUUGAAUUUUCUUUUGUUGAAGCUUGUAUGUUGAAGCUUGUAUGUUGAAGCUUUGUGAGUGGAGCAUGUAGGUUGAGGUAGUGUUCCCUUAAUUUCCCGAGUGAGGAAAACUUCUCGGUUGGAGACUUGGAAAAUCCAAGUCACUGAGUGGGAUCGGCUAUAUGAAUCUUAGAACGCCAUUGUGCUCGGUCCUGUGUCAUGUCCUUCGUUAGAUCCAAGUACUCUAAGUCUUUUCUUAGAGUUUCUUCCAAAGUUUUUCUAGGUCUUCCUCUACCCCUUCGGCCUGAACCUCUGUUCCAUAGUUGCCUCUUCUAAUCGGAGCGUCAGUAGGCCUUCUUUGCACAUGUCCAAACAACGACGUAUACACAUGUAAAAUAUCAGAGUAGCAUCAUGUAUCGGUGGCAUAAAAAUCUUUACGCACCCACGUGUUCUAGAUGUUGGCACAUGAUCAUGCAUCGAUAGAUAUACGUAUGGACAAUGCAUGCCCUACCAUGCAAAUUAUGCCAAGAACAACAAUCGAUCGAGUGACCAGUGGUGGGAGAGCUAGGAAUAUUAGCAAGCUGCAUUUUCUCAAUUCCCACUCUCACUUGUUUGAGCAUACCGACUAAUAUGCUUGUUUCUUGACUUGUGGAUGUAUCCCAAGGUCAAUAUGGAUGCAUGGCAUGCGAUGUACGUCAGGAGGUUUUUCUUCUUUUCAAAAGCAGUAUAUGUUGGAAAAGUUAGACAUGGAAUUGAUACCACAGUUAAUAUGCUUUUGUACCUCAUUCCCUAUAACCAAAAAUUGCAUCAAGUAAAAAUUACCUUAUUUCGCAACAUUUCUUCAACUGGCUACUGGCUCUCUAGUUUUUCAAUUGUCAUCAUGGUCCAAGUACCUAAGCUGGGUCGGAUCAUUUUCUUCUUUGAGCAGAAGGACGUUAACCAUCGGAUUACCAUCGAUGAUUGCACAUGUUAUGCACUAAGAAAAGGUUGCAAGCGGUUAUUUGCUUGUAGAGCUACCGGCUGCCUUAUAGUACAAACUAGAAAAAGUUCUACCCGAACCGUAACGAACGUUGCUGCAGGAUUAAAAAUUGUGUAAAAAAAAUUAUGUUUCAAAGGUAUAAACCUAUCAACUUGUAUCACAUCUAACUGAACUACAACAACAUAUUGAAGCACUUAAUAUGAAAUUUCAUAAGCUAUUUGACAAUAUGAAAUCAAGCAAUUAUUGAAAAUCAGAAACGGAGCUUAGAAAGUAAAAAAUCCUACCUCAUUAUAUUAAAACAAUUAACAAAUUCUCAGUGAAUGAUCACAAAAAAGGCUCAGUUCUCACCAUAAUGAAAAUUAUGACAUCGUUUUAACAUGAACUUGAGUUCAUUUCAGUCACCAGCAUUAAUAAAACCAGUGACUUCAACCUGUGCAAGGAAACAACUGACUUAGACGCAAGCCAACCAACUUUGAAUCUAACCAAAUAAAAAAAGUAAUCACAAUCGAACUAACCUCUUCUUCCCAAAUGAAGUAGAAGAUGUCCCCUGUUUUGCCAUUGUGAACAGUGUACUCUACUCUCAACACACAAAAAGAACACACUCAAAAUGCUGAGCAAUAUUAUAAAAGCUACACAUACAUCAUUGUAUAUAUAUUUGGACAUAAAGUAUAAAGAUCUGCUGACAGUAUCAAGCUUAAAUUUAACAAAAGCAGUAAUUACGAAUUGAAAUCAAACGAUAAUAUAGUUGUUAAAAAAAAUUCUAACUAAAUUUUACAAAUAGCAUCAUAAAUGUUAAAAAAAAUAACACCAUUGAAAAAACUCAUUACUCAAAUCUGUAAUUCUAUAAAAGCACAUCACUGAAAACUUCAAUUUCAUCAAAACAUGUCAACCUAUAUCACAUCCAAAACCCAUUAAUAAUCUCUUCUUGUGUAUAGCUUGUCCUCAGAAUUCGCAGCUGAAAACGGAAUGUAAGUUCAGAGUAUGAUGAAAAAGAAGAAAUGAAAGAGUUGUGUCAAUGAAAAAGAAUGAGAGAGCGGGUAUCAGAACAAUCUACAAAGAAGAAGAAUUUGAGAUGAAUAAGUGGAUAAAUUGCUUACAUGAAGAGCUGAUUUCAAAUCGAUGAUCCAUUUCUCACCCUAAUAAUAUUUAACAAUUGCAAUUAGUAAAAUUUUCUUGAUAAGAUGAAAUCUAGGAGCAUAAUAAUAAGCAUUAGAAAUAGAAAAGCCUUAUAUAGUGAUUAAGGCCCUUAAUUAACUUGCGAAGCUUGAAAAGUCAUUCUCUUCACGUGGUUAAUUUGGAAGUUAUCCAAUGUAUGUAAAAACAUGAAUCAGAAGCAAAUUGAUGAAAUCGGAGGGAAAAAAUGUUACUUAGUAAUUGUAUAUGUUAUGAAGGCAUCAAAUAAAGUCCUGAUAAAAUACCAGCAUCUUUAUAUUAACCACUUUACAUAUAAAUUAUAAAUGAUUAUCACAGCCUUAAACAAAUUUCAUUUAGGGAAGACUGAUGAGGGGAUAUACGACUCACAAACAACUGAGACUGUCCUUUUUUUUUUCUUUUUUUUUUUUCAUAUCAACAAACACACAAAUUCUUAUAUUUCCGAAAGCACCUGCAUCCCAACAUAAAAACUUAAAUAAUACAUGAAUCAUCGAUGUUUUGCUUUGCAAACAGCCAAGGGGAUAGGAACUAAAAUAAAUUUCGUGACCAAGAACCUCUUAAAAACCAAGCUUGAAAGCAUAAAAACAAAGCUUUCAAUCUUUCUGUGCAAAUUAAUAUCACAAUCAAUUCAACCCCAUUUCCGCAAUCCAAAGCUUCAAACUUCAUACAAAAAUACAAUAAUUUUUAGAAUUUCACCCAAACAUAAAGAGAAUAAUAUUGUUAGGUGCGGAGAAGAAAAAACCAGGGAAAAAUGGAAGAUGGAUUUUAGCAUGGAAAAGCAAUUCACAGCAACAAUAAAAAGGUGAAAUUAAAAACUCAAUUGAAUCAAAUGAAGAAUUUUCUAGUGUGCAAACAAUUAGUGUUAUCAGCAAGAAGUUUCAGACCUUAAAAUGCAAAAGCAUGUGCCCAAAAUGCAAUCCUAUAAAACAUGAAACAACAGCCAUAAGAUAAUCGGAAAUUUUCUAAUAAAAUGAACCGAAGACCAACUUUGAAUAAUUGGUAACGAUGACGCUUUGACAUUGAUAGAGUGUAUGUAUGUGAGAGAGAGAGAGAGAGAGAGAGAGAGAGAGAGAGAGAGAGAGAUGGAAAUAGAGUUAGAAUUAGACCAAUUCAGAAAUCAACCUUAAGAUUCCCUCUGGGUCAACUGGUUGCACCAUUGAUGAGAAACAGUCGGUAGAGGUUGAUAGUAGGAGAACUAACAUUGCAUUCCUGAAACACAAAGGAUUAACCUUUUUCAAUUAUCAUCAGUGAAUGCACUAAUACAGGACUUAAAUUCUGAUAUAUUCAAUAAUCUAAUUACCAGAGAAGGACUUUUAUCCUUCUAUAAAGAGGCAGUUGAUAAAGGUGACUCUGGCCCAGUAUAACUUGACUCAUAAACUGGAAACUUUGAGGCUUCAAACUCUGAGCUAAAAGUUGAAGCUUCUCACUCAACAAACAAAAAUUACAAAUCCAAAACUAAAAAGAAUCAGAAACAAACUAAAACAUGGGAUUGGUGAAGGCCAUACCUUCGAAAGCAUAGACGCAGGCAGCUCUACGAGAGUGAUCCCAACUCCGGGGUCGGAGGCGGAAACAGAGGCCAAUAUCCUCAAGAUUUUGCGUUGAUGAUUGUGAGAUCGGGAUAAAACGGUCGAAACCAAAUUUGCAAGUUUUGAAAAAACGUUAAGGAAUCUGGGUUUCAAUGAAUAAGGAGGCUGCAAAUAAAAUCCCCAAAGAAACAAAAAAAGGGUCUCCCAUGUCGGUAUUUUGUGAGAGAAAAAGCGCAAGAUUCGAGAGCGAGUUCAACAGCGGCAGAAGCACAGAUUUGUGAGAAAGAAGAAACCGAAGGAAAAAUCGAGAAGAUGCAAGAGAGGCUUGAGGCAAGCAUGGACAAAUAGGUAAUCUUACGUGUAAAGAGGAGAAAGAACGGAGCAGGAAAACUGUUUGACAGGGCAAUAUCGCUAAUUUAAUUCUGGUGAGCAACGCUUUUCCACCAGGUGGAUGGCAAGGGCAAAAACGCCUUUUUACUGUGAAAAAGACGCAAAAAAAAAGGCACAUAAAAAAGCAUUCAGAGGGCAUUUUCGCCCGUUUACCACUGGUGAACAGUGUUUUUUUGCUUGAGUUUUAGUAUAGGUUCAACUAAAAAUUGUUAUCCGCGUGAUUAGAAAUUGUUAAAAAAAAAUUAUCAUAGACUAUUAAUAUUAUUUACAUUAAAAAUGUUACACGAUUUUAACAAACAAAAAAUUUAAUCUAUACAGUAUACACACAAACAAUUGUAGAACUUUUGUCUCUACAUAAAAAAAAAAAUAAAAAAAUCUAAGUUAUUCACUGAAGCACCUAAAGUUUCUUGAUUGUGAAGAAAGCAACCUCAGCAAGGAAAAAUAUGAAAUAUUAAAAUACAUGCAAUUAAUUUAUACAUCAACGGGCUUAUAUUACAAAAAAAUAAGGAUAAAGUAUUGCUACCUAGUCUUUUUUUUUUUGGAGGAAAAUAAUCUGAUUUUAUACCAAUUAGAGAGAACUUUUUUCAGCAAUUUAAUAGUCUAAUAAAUUGAUUAUACAAAAAAUCCAUUAAAAAAACCUAAAAACAAUAAACUAUUCACUAAUUUUUCAUACGAAAUAGAACAAAGCUAUAGAAUAUACCUUUUCAUGGUGAGUAUUGUGAAAAAUACAACAUAGCUUGAGACAAUGGUAAUUAACGUGUUUGGAAAAGUCUACCUGCGUGGUGGUGUAAUCGUCACACAGAUAAACUUCAAUGCCAAUUGAUUGAACUAAGUUUUUUUUUAACAAACAAUAUUAUCUACACUAAAGAGAAAAAGGUAAGCUUAGACUCACAACAAGAGAAGCCUUGCGCAGAGCUCUGCCUCUAACAACUCAAUUAUAUCUUGAAAUCGGCUAAGUUGGUAUUGUAACACGGUAAGGUUGGGUAGAUUUUAGAUCCAAAUGUCACCAAACAAUAUUCUGCAGAAUGGCAGUGUUCUAUCUAGAUUGUCCAUGGCACGGGCGUAAACUGGAUGAUAACGCAGGGCAACACUGGUACUAUACCCUAAACAUCCACAAGCUAUAAACAAAUAGUUAAAGUUGAUAUGCACCAAGGGUACUAAAACUCAAUCCAUUGUUUAGUAAGAAGAACCACAAAAACAAAUUAGUAAAAACCGAAAUGGUUAUCAGAUGGACACAAAGGUUUUUGUACUACGUGAAACUUUGCGUCGAGAAAUUGAAACAACUAUCAGGAGACAGUUAUACGGAUUUCCUACAAUUCUAUAAAUAAUAUAUUCUUUCACCAUUGUUUCAAUUCAAACAAAAAUUAAAGAACAGAAAAGCUAGAAGCAGGAAAAUUGCAACUGAUCAAUAUUUUCCAAACAAAACCAACCUGCAAUGUCCUAGUUGCAAAUUCAACUCCAAUGGUGGACUUAGACUCCAAAGAAAACUCAUUCCUCGUAAACCUCAAAAGAAUGUUCGAUUUUCCAACACCCGAAUCUCCAAUCAAUACAAUCUUGAAGAGGUAAUCGUAUUCGUGAUCCACCUUGUACGCCAUACGUUCUACUCCUCACACACACACCCCACAACACCUGCCCAGAUCCAGAAUUCACCAAACAAAAAGCUGUUAGCAGUCAAAAAACCAAAAAAAUAAACCCAUUCUCUUGUUUUGACAGAAGGGAUGAGAAAAGUGCUGAUCAGAGAGCAUUUUCUUUACCCACGGUUUCUUUCCAAUGUGAUUUUCCCGAGAAACAAACGGAAAUUGGGUAAUCAUAAAACAAUGGCGCGUAGAAUGGUGAUUAACAAAAUAGAGGAUAUUUUGAAUGUUGGGUUUUGUUAUGUUUGCAUUGAAGUUUGUGGAAACAGAGGAGAGGAGAAAAGAAGAAGAAAAGGAUGGCGUUGUACAAAGUUAGAAACAGAACAAUUGAUGAAAAUGCACUUAAAACGGCCUUUCACGAGGGAAAUGACGCGCCGAAUUCGGAGUCUGUGUAAAGUAAACGACCCUUCAUAAGACAUGCCGCAUAAAAUUUAAGCCCAUUCUCAAUGUGGGCUUAGGGCAUAUGUUUGUAACCCACUGAAAAGCUCCAUUAGGGUUUCCUAUCACACACUAUUUAUCUCUCUACACACUUAUGUCAUGUAGUCAUGUUUAAUCAUAUCGGUUGACUAUUGAUUUUAUCAACUUGGGUUACUAAAAAUUAAGAAAUGAGUGCAAUUAUCAUUUCUAACUGUUUUAAAAUGUUAGGAUGAUUCAUAAACAAAUUGGAAGUUCAAAAGAUAAGUCGGAAUGAGCCCCUAAAUUCAAAGGGUAUUUGCCAUGUCUCUCCGUUUUGUGAAUCAUUAAAAGUGACAUUAUUUAUCCUUACAUAUUUUGUCUUUGGUGCACAAAGUGACUACUACUGCCAACCACUACAAACCUAACCUCUUACACCACCAUUGUUACCACCAAGCCACCACCACGACCAUAACACAUAAGCGUCACCACUACCACCACUUACCUCUGUAGCUCAACCACCACACCCCUUAAUCAGCAGCACCACCACCACCACUACUAUCACAACCAUUGUCCUAGCCACCGUUGUCAACGUCAUCACGCAAAUUAUCAUGUCCAUUUUUGUUAUUAUAUACAAUUAUAUCAUUUUACAUUAAAUUUUACCAAACACGCUUUUACAAUGCUUUUCAUACUCACAACACUUAUAAAAAUACAGUUAUCAAACACUCAGCUACUUUAUUUUGUAGCUGAUUAUUCUUAAAGCACAACAUAAACAAUUUUUUUUAAAGCAUAGUACUCCCCAACUGGCCCUAAGUCCACAAAUGAGUCAUCCAAAGCAAAGCCGGUCUUGAGUUUUUUGGUGCCCGGAAAAGGAUCAGAAAGUGCCUUUUCUUAAUACACAGGUAUAUAUUAAAAAUAAAUAUUUAAAAAGGGUGGGCCAAGCCCUUCUUACAUAUUAUAUUACUCAAGUGCAAAGGUAAACGUUCAUAGCUAAUAAGGAUAAAACUGUUAAAAGCAUAGUUAGUUAGAAUUGUUAUAAGGUGGUUAUGAUAGCUUGUAAUUAGUGAAUGUUUGUUUGGGUAUUUUUGUAAUUAGCUUGUUAGCUAAGACUAGUGAGUCACUAGUAUAUAUAUGUACAUACCAUUGUAUAAUUUUAUCUUGAUGAAAUGAAAAGAUAACAUUUCUAAUAUGGUAUCACCCGCCUAAAAGUCUCACGACAUUUUCGAUCCUAUUUUUCCCGCCUCUCUCUCUGCAUUGUCUCCUAGGGUUUGCUUCUUCUUCUCCGAUCAAUCGAUCGCUUCAACGCUCUUACUUCUUCUUCUUCAAGCUAUGACGACCUCUGCAACUUAGUCUUCUUCCGCUUCGGAUUCUCCUAUUCAUCCAAUUCUUGCUGCCCUUUCUAACCCUAAUUCUGCAAUUACGAUCCAAAACAUUGGAUCCAUGGUUCCAAUCAAGCUUACAACGACGAACUACCUGACCUGGAGUGCUUUAUUCGCUCCGAUUUUCCGCCGGUACAAUCUUACCGGAUUAAUUGACGGCACAAUGGCUGCUCCGUCAAAAUUCCUUCUCGAUGCAUCUGGAAAUCGCACUGCCACUCUGAAUCCCCAAUAUGUUGCGUGGUAUAUGAAUGAUCAGAACAUCUUGAUCUAGAUCAACUCUACGCUCUCGGAUGCUCUCAUUCUUUACACUGUUGGUGUUAAUUCGGCUCGGGAGUUAUGGUCCAAGUCAUGUAUUUCUCUUUCUAGUGUUUUAAAUAAAACUGUCUGCUCCAGCUGUGCUCUAGGCAAGUCUUCAAAAUUACCUUUUGUUUCUGUUUCCUGUACCUCCAGUAAACCUCUGGAAUUGUUACACACUGAUGUAUGGGGUCCAGCCCCUCUUCUUUCUAUCAAUGGACAUCGUUACUACAUCAUUUUUGUUGAUGAUUAUACCAAAUACACUUGGUUCUUUCCUCUUGCAUCCAAGUCUGAUGUCUUUGACACAUUUGUCAAGUUUAAAGCUCCCGUGGAAAAUCUACUCAGUUCUAAAAUAGUUACUAUAAGAUCUGAUUCUGGUGGAGAGUUUCUUAGUCUCAAGCUCAUCAAUUAUCUGCAAUUACAUGGCAUUUCACAUCAGUUAAGUUGCCCUCACACACCUGAACAGAAUGGAUGUGCUGAACGCAAACAUCGGCAUCUAGUUGAAACUGCUAGAACUCUUCUAGCAGCCUCUCAAGUUCCUAAGCUCUAUUGGGAUGAUGAUUUUGCCACGGCUAUCUAUCUGAUUAACAGAAUGCCGACAGCUACCAAGUAUUCUCCUUGGGAAUUACUCUUUCACAAACCUCCGGAUUAUUCCUCUCUGAAAGUGUUUAGCUGCAAAUGUUUUCCUUGGUUGAAGCCUUACACUUCCUCUAAACUUGAUUCAAAGAGCAAAGUAUGUGUCUUCUUGGGUUAUAGUUUGAAUCACAAGGGUUAUAAAUGUCUCGAUCCUCAUACUGGCAGAGUAUAUCUUUCACGGCAUGUUAUUUUUGAUGAAGUCACUUUUCCUUUUGCUCAACAAGACUUAUCUCAGUCUCUCCCAUCCAGUUCUAGUUCUUCAAUACUGAGGAAUCAUCACACCAUUCCCACAACCUUAACUUUUCCCACUAUAUCUUCACCUUUACCAUCUCCUUCCCUUACUGCACCUAGUUCCCUUGCUGCAUCUAGUUCUCUUGCUGCACCUAUUUCCUCUUCCUCAUCUCCUCACCCUAUUUCUCAUCCCAUCUCUGCCCCUAAUCCACUUGCCGCACCCUUCAUACCUCAAAACACUCAUUCCAUGCAAACUCGUUCCAAAUCCGGUAUUGUCAAACUAAAGGUUUUCUUAGCAACCAAACAUCCUAUUUCCUCUGAGAUGUCACUUGACUAUAUACCAUCCACUUAUCUUCAAGCCUCCAAACACUCUCACUGGAGGCAAGCUAUACAGGAAGAAUUUAAUGCUCUUAUUCAAAUUGGCACUUGGUCUUUGGUCCCUUCUCAUUCUUCUCAGAAUUUGGUUGGUGCAAAAUGGGUAUUCAGAAAUAAAUGCAAGCCUGAUGGUACCAUUGACAGGUACAAAGCAUGGCUUGUUGCCAAAAGAUUUCAUCAGCAACAAGGUUUGGACUACACUGAAACAUUUAGUCCAGUUGCAAAGCCGGUUACCAUUUGGCUUCUUCUCACUUUGGCUGCCAAGUUUGAUUGGUUCCUCAAUCAACUUGAUAUUAGCAAUACAUUUUUGCAUGGUAAUCUCACUGAAUCUGUGUUUAUGGUACAACCACCAGGAUUUGAAGACCUUACAAUGCCUUCUCAUGUUUGUCAUUUGCAUAAGUCUUUGUAUGGUUUGAAGCAAGCCCCCAGGGCUUGGUAUGAGAAAUUAACAACUGCCUUAAAGUCUCUCGGUUUCUCUGGUUCUCAUAAUGACUAUUCUCUGUUUGUAAAACGGGAACCAGCUCUGGUCUUCAUUCUGAUUUAUGUUGAUGACAUUAUUGUCACUGGUCCAAGUUCCCAUCUUUGCCAAGAGGUUAUAACUCAACUCGGUGUCUUAUUUCCUGUCAAAGAUCUUGGCCCCCUUCAUUACUUUCUUGGCAUUGAAGUAACAAGAUCAUCCUCAAGGAUAUUGCUUUCUCAGACCAAAUAUAUUCUUGAUCUCCUCACUAAAGCUCAUAUAGAGGGUUCCAAGCCUUGUGUUACCCCGAUUAGCACCACUAAAUUGGAUCAUGAAUCUCCUUUACUUGAUAAUCCUGAAGAAUAUCAAUCUUUGGUUGGUGGUUUGCAGUAUUUAACUUGGACUAAGCCCGACUUAUCUUAUGCAGUGAAUUUGGUCUGUCAAUUCAUGCAUAGUCCUCGGCAAGCACAUUUCCAGGCCGUCAAGCGCAUUCUUCGAUAUCUUAAGGGUUCCUUGCAAAUUGGCUUAUGGUUUCCUAAGUGUUCCAAGUCUCUCACUCUCACUGCCUUCUCCAAUGCAGAUUGGGCAGGUUGCAGUAUUGACAGACAAUCCACUAGUGGUUUUGUAAUUUUUUUGGGAGACUCUCUUAUUAGCUGGAGUGCAAAGAAACAGCCUACUGUGGCUUGAUCCUCAACUGAGGCUGAAUAUCGAUCUUUUGCAAACACUGCGGCUGAACUCACCUAGAUUUCCAAGUUACUGACUAAUGUUGCUCUUGUUCUUCCCUCUUCUCCACAGCUUUGGUGUGAUAAUAUCUCUGCAAUUUCCUUGGCUAAGAACCCUAUUUUUCAUGCACGAACCAAACAUGUGAAGAUAGAUUAUCACUAUAUCCGCGAAAAAGUGCUCGCCAAUCAAGUGCAAGUUCUUUUUGUCUGCACGGAGGAUCAACUUGCUGACAUUUGUACUAAACCUCUAUCCAAGCCUCGGUUCAUCUUCCUUCGCAACAAACUCUCUCUUCGGUUCCCUCAGUUAGGUUUGCGGGGGGGGGGGGAUAAUAAGGAUAAAACUGUUAAAAACACAGUUAGUUAGAAUUGUUAUAAGGUGGUUAUGGCAGCUUGUAAUUAGUGAAUGUUUGUUUGGGUAUUUUUGUAAUUAGCUGGUUCGCUAAGACUAGCGAGUCACUAGUAUAUAUAUGUACAUACCAUUGUAUAAUUUUAUCUUGAUGAAAUGAAAAGAUAACAUUUCUAAUAAUAGCCACUUUAAACUAUAAUCAUUAAGUUCAUCUCCAAUUGAACGCUGGCCAAAUGGCUUGUUUUAUCCAUCUGAUCCUCUAAGAAAUUAAUAUUUUAAUGAACUAUGCAUGACCAUAUUUCUUACCAUCUCCAACCGAGGGCCAAACAUAAUUUAUUAUUUAAAUUUAAAAAUUACAACUUAAAUUAAAAAACUACAACUAAAAUUUUAAAAAUACAACUUAAAUUUAAUAACUACAAGUAAAAUUUAUAAAAUACAACUUAUAUAUCUCAAGUCAAAUGUGAGAGGUUUUAUUUAGAGUAGAAAAAAAAGGAAAUAAGUGGGAGAGGAAGUAGGAGAAACUAAAAAUGUGGAAGUGGGUGGGAGAGGAAGUAUAAAAAUAUAAAAAAAAAUGGAAGUGGGUGGGAGUCCCACAUCGGUUGUGAGAAAGAUUUGAGCAAGUUCCAAAGCCUAUAAAAAGAACACCUAACAUUCAAUGAAACAUACUUUCUGGGCCUAUAAUUGAAUAUAUUUUUUAAAAAAUUUUGGCUAACAAAAAAAAAUUCAAAUAACUGUAAAAAAAAAACAAAAAAAAGGGCUAGCUAACUUUAGCUAGUUGACAGUUGCUUUUGAAUUCUAGCCCGGCCAGUUGGCCCUUUGACCAUUUUUUAUCUAGUGGGGCCCACAAGCCAUUUGGUCUAGCUCUCGGUUUGAGACGAUUUUAGGGUCAUUUUCGACCCUCUGACACCUUUUGGUUGAAGAUGACCUAACAGAAAAAAAUUGAACAUUUUAUGAGACUUCUCUCUCCGAAGAGGUCCCAAAUUUAAGUACUAGCAAACGGGUGCAUUUUUGCUCACCCACAUUAACUUAGGUGUAUGCUCACCACACAUCUCCAAGCUUGCCAAGUGUCCCUUUGCUUUAAUCCUGGUUAACAUUUUCAUUUGUUAUUAAUAUUUUACUAUAAUAAUACAUUAAUAAUCAUCUUAACAUUUAUCUUUGAACUUUUUAAUCAAUAUUUGUAUCUCAACCGUCCAUCUCCCCUCUUCCUCCCCCCUCCCAUCUCUCUCCUCUGUCACUUUUCCCCCUUUUCUGUCAUUUGGGCGAAUAUCCCAAAUCUAAAAUCUCAAAUUCUAAUACAAAUUUAAAGGGGAAUGGGUGAAUUGAUUUGACGGGGUGAAGUCCAUCGAUAUCGCGAGAAAGGAGCAUGAUGAGUAGAUUUUAUAUUAUAUAUGUUACCCUAAUCUUAGUAUAUUUUGGUUAACAUUUUGGAAGAAUUUUGAUACUUUGAAUUGUAUUUCCAAUAUAGGACUUUCGACUUCUUCUGGAGCAAAACAGAAUCAAAUAGACGAAUUUUUAAGUAAUUCUAGUUGGAGAACGUUCGUGAGUCACUUAUCUUGAUCGUAUCAAAAUCUGGGAUUUUUCCACCAUGCAGUUAUUUUCUGGCGAUAAAAUAAAGGAGCGAUGUGCAGUGCUGGAAAAUGACUUUUUUUGGCUUAAAUUACGUUUUUGUAGCCCACGAUGACCUCGGAUGGGUUCGUGGCCUUCUGGAGAAGUGUUCAGAAUGUUCCAAACAUUAAAUUCAGCUAUAUUGGGCUGGUUUUGGAGCAGCUUAUGGAUCCAAAAUGUGGCUGUUCAGAUUUUAGGCGAAUUUUACCAUUUAAUUUAGAGUUAUGUUUCCUAUUUUAUUUAUUGUUACUAUUAGUUUCCUAGAGGGAAAAAAUGACCUGUUUUUAGGGUUUGUGUGGUGGUUUAGCAAAUAUAUUGCUUAGCCGUCUACCACAUUUUUCUCUACGCUUUAUUUUAUGCAAUUUUGAAGACAGAGAGAAAUGCUAGGGUUUUGGAGAUUUUCUACUUAAAGGUGUUUUCAAUUAUUUUCUUAAUAAUAUUUUCUAUGAUUUCAAUUAUGAAUAUGCAUAACUAAUUUCCUAUUGCUAGGGCGAAGCCUUGAGCCUUAACAUGAAUACGUGAUUUUUAUUUAAUUGCUUAUGAUUGAUUGCAUGCAUACUUUGAAUUGUUAAUCACCGGGAUAAAAACUAUCUAAUUAUCUUAAUGCCUGAUCACCAUUAUGAUCUUUAGAAAAGUAAUUUGAUGCAAUUUUGGUCGGAAGGUUCCUUGAAAUUGACACUGGCUGCAUGUGAUUAAUAAUUGUAAUUUCACUUAAGAUGAACACCACGUCUUAAAGGUUGCAUGAUUUUUCAAGGGAUUUUCAUAAAGUAUAAUGAGUCUUUGAUGUUCAGAUUUGAUCUGAACGUCCGGACAGGUUGCAUGUUAGAUAUACGUUCUAUGUUGGAGGUUCCAAGUAGAAUAUGAAUUAGGAAAAUCUAACCUUCAAAGUGGCAUGUGUAGAUCAUAAGUAAUUGGUAAAAAUUCAUAGGAUUGCUAGGUGAUGGUGGAACCCUAGCGUUUUCUUAAUUUGAUUCUUCCAAAACUGUUUUCUUUUUCCCCAAAUUUUAAUAUUGCAGAUUGUCUUAUUUGUUUUAAUUAAAUUCGUUUUUAAUUUAAGUAGGCUAUAAAAUCAAUCAUCAUAAUUUCUACUUUACAAUAAUUAAUUGAACUUUGGUUUGUUUCGAAUUAUUUCAUAAUCCCUGUGGAGAACAACCUUGCGAGAUCCGUUUACACUACAACAACCUUGUGAUUCUUGUAAAUAUUAUAGGAAUUUUUAUCCCAUUCACAUGAUUAGUAAAAUCCCUAUCAGAGCACAAGUUGCCUCCAUUCACUCGAAGCAAAGAUGCACAGAUAAGUGAAGAAAAUUUGUACCUAGAAGAUUGUUCCAAAUUGUGGGUGGUUGGCAUGGGGUGGUGAGAGGUGGGAGGGAGCAAAUAACAAGUGAGAGGAAUAAAGGGUCGUCUUUGCUGCUUCAAAUGCUUGAGCAAUUUCCAUUAGAAUAUUAUACAUAAAUAAAAUUACAAUUAGGAGAUAAUUUCUGUGAUUCGAAACGCCAUGGAUGAUUUGGUGUAGGAGGACAAUUUCUUUGAAACUGAAUAAACGCUUCGGGAGGUGAGUUGCAGACGGUUUUUUAUUUGUCUAUUUUUAGUUUAUUUUUAUUUCUUUAUUAAAUUAAUAAAGAAGAUGUCGCACUUGGUGCGAUGGCAAGUGCCUUCGCCCAUGAGCGGUAAGUCUCGGGUUCGAGACUUGGGAGCAGCCUCUCCAUAAAAUGGGGGUAAGGCUAGCCGACAUUCACCUCUCCCAGACCCUGCGUAAAGCGGGAGCCUUGUGCACUGGGUAUGACCUUUAUUAAAUUAAUAAAGAGUAAUUAAAUCACAGUUAACCAUGGUUAAGGCAAGGGAACACUUGGCAAGCUUGGAAAUGUGUGGUGAGCAUACACCCAAAAUGGGUGAGCAAAAAUGCACCCCUAGCAAACUUAUUCGGUUCUUUAAUUAUCAUCACAUCAAAUGCCUAGAAAGGUUUUGCCCAACUCAAUCAACACGAGUCAACAAAUUUCAAGAAUAGUAUUAAGUAUAAAGAGAAAUUAGAAGCCCCUGCAUUUUUCAAAUACAUUUUAGAUCAAACAUUGGUUCUUCUCUAAGAUUUGAUUAAGAAGCUUUGACCAAUUGCCACAUCAACAUUUUUCUAUAUUUUAAAUUACAUAUAAUUUGUUUAAAGCCAUCUUCACUUCACCUUGUAACUAAUUGCUUACAAUAUAGGAAAUUUUAUUUUCAUUGUCCUAUAAACUCCUACGUUUUAAUGACUCUUUUGAUAUAAAAAAAAUAAUUAAUUAAAGUAAUUUAAACUUUUACAUUGUUAAACGACUCUUUCUAUAAAAAAAAAUAGGGUAAAGUACAAAAAACUAUCUCAACUAUUAGUGUCACGAUACUUUCAUAUCUCAUCUUUUAAAAUUGACAAUGUCAUACUUCAUCUUUAGAAUUUGGUCCAAUAUUAUACCUUCCGUUACUUGGCUGUUUACUUUUCAAUUAAAUGCUGACGUGACUUGAUUAAAAAAAAUUAUUUAAUAAUUUUAAAUAUUAAAAUAAUAAAAAAAAGUAAAAAAAAAAAAGAAAACAACCCUAAGUUCGUCCCUCCCCCUCCCCAUCUUCAUCUUCUUCGCCCCCCCCACCCAAAAAAAAUAAAUAAUAAAAAACUCAGAUCCCGUCGGCGGGAAGAUGGGUGCGCGGAGAAGGUGGAGGAUGGGUGCGGAAUAGGAUGUGGAGAAUGGAUGGGUGGUGGAUUUGGGGUUGGGUUUUUUUUUUGGGGGCGGGGGGGGGGGGGACGAACUGGGUUCGCUUUGGAUUUUUUCUUUCUUUCCUUUUCUUCUUCUUCUUCUUCUUUUUCUUCCUCAUUCUUCUUUCUGGGUUGUUGGGGGUUGAGCGAACUGGGUUGGGUUGGAAUUUUUUUUUUCCUCUUCUUCUUCUUCUUUUUUGGGGGAGGGGGGUUCUUCUUCUUUCUGGAUUGUUGGGGGUUGGGCGAACUGGGUUGGGUUGGAAAUAUUUUUUUUCCACUUCUUCUUCUUCCUCCUUUUUUUUUUCCUCUUCUUCUUCCUCCUUCUCCUUCUUCUUCUUCUUCGGGGGAGGGGGGUUCUUCUUCUUCUUCUUCUUCCUCUUCUUCUUCUUCCUCCUUCUUCUUUCUGGGUUGUUGGGGGUUGGGCGAACUGGGUUGGGUUGGAAAUUUUUUUUUUCCUCUUCUUCUUCUUCCUCUUCCUUUUUUUUUCCUCUUCUUCUUCCUCCUUCUCCUUCUUCUUCUGCUUCUUCUUCGGGGGAGGGGGUUCUUCUUCCCCCUUCUUCUUUCUGGGUUGUUGGGGGUUGGGAGAACUGGGUUGGGUUGGAAAUUUUUUUUUUCUCUUCUUCUUCCUCCUUCUCCUUCUUCUUCUUCUUCGGGGGAAGGGGGUUGAUGGGUUUUCAAAUUUAUUUAUUUUUGGUUGAAGAUUAAGCAGGGAAGAAGAUGAAGAUGGGAAGAGAAAGGGGGAAGGGACGAACAGAGGGAUUUUUAAUUUUUUUUUUACUUUUCUUUAUUAUUAAAAAAAUAUUAAAUAAUAAUUUUUUAUUAAAAAUGGGCCCUGAAUCAAGUCACGUCAGCAUUUAACUGAAAAAGUAAACGGCCAAGUAACGAAAGAUAUAAUAUUAGACCAAAUUCUAAAGAUGAGGUAUGAAACUGUCGUGACACCAAUAGUUGAGGUAGUUUUUUGUACUUUAACAAAAAAAAUAAAUAAUUAAAGUAACUUCUCGUUAUACCAUCUUCAAUGGUGGGCUAAAUACUAAAUUACCCCCCAAUUCCCCCCCCCCCCACCAAACAAUCUCCAACCCAUGAUAAAACAUUGGGCUAAAUGCCAAAUGUUAAAGCUGGGCCAAAUACCCCCCAAAAUUCCCUCCCCAUGUGAUUGGAUUCGCUGGCAAUUGGGCCAGUCUCAGCCCGGUCACGCUUCAACGUGUCCCACGCGGUGCGCUUGCAAACCUUUCCCAACAGGGGUGUGCCCCUCUGUUAGUCGUUCGUCUGCUACCCAAAAAUCCCAACAACUAUAAUUUGAAUCCAAGGGCUUGGUUUAAUGGAUCGUUGGUUGAUCCAACAGUCCAGAUUCAAAUUUAAUUUUUUUUUAAUAUGUUAUUUUAAAAUACAUUGAAUCCAAUGACUGAGUUCGAAUAUAAUCAAAUCUAACGGUAAAAAAUAAGAUCUAACGAUCCAAAUUUAAAUUCAACGGCUAAAAUAAUUUUAAAAAAUCAUUUAACUCAAAAUUCACCAAAAAACUCUAUAAAUACCUAUGUGUUUGUUCAAACAUCCACACAAAACUCAAUUUUCUCCUACGAUUCUUCCAAUUUAUCUUUUUACCUUUUCUUUCCAUUUCCAAAUUGUUCAACAUGACAAGAGAGCAUAUUAGAGGUCGUAAUUGGACCUAUGAGGAAGAUGUUGCUUUAUGCUUGGCAUGAUUUUCUAUUAGCAAAGAUGGUGGAGUUAGCACAAAUCAAAAUAAGAAGGUUUUGUAGGAUAAAAUCAUUGCAAAGUUUUAAGAAAACUGCAAUGGCGGCAGGCAUGAUGGUGGUGGUGUUUAUGAUUGGUGGAAGACUAUCAACAAAGCAUGUACUUUAUGGAAUAGAAGUUUUGAGAGAGCCGUGGUUGGCAUGGCUAGUGGAAGAAGGGCCACAGAAAUUGUGAGUUUUGUUCUUAAUAUUUUAUUUAUCAUGUACAUAAUAUUAUUUUCCAACUAAGUAUUUUUAUGUAUUUUUUGCAUAAGGUGCCAAAGCAAUGAAAAUUUAUAAGACAAGAGCAACACCAGAAAAUCAAGUUUUUAAGUUGCAACAUGCUUAGAACGUCCUCAAGGAUUGUCCAAGGUGGGGAACCGAUGCGGACCAACAAUGGGGAAGAUUAUUUCAACGUGAAGCCGCACAGACAAAUGCCGGAGAUGAAGGUGUCGAUGAAAUGACCCCAUCUCCUUCUUUUGCAAGGCCCCCGGGAAGAGAUAAGCAAAAGGAAGCAAAGAGAAAAGGGAAGUCCCAAGAUCCGAUGAGUGGACACUUUGGUACUAGAAUUGCAAAAUUGAACGAAACUCAUAGCGCUCGCUAAGAAGAAACGGCCCGAAUGCGUUUGCAAAUGAAGGAAAUCUCAUAUCGGGAGCAAGAUAGGUUUGAAAUUGAAUUCAUGAUGGAGGACCUCAACAAAUACACUUUAAAGAGGAAGAAGUUCUUACAUGGUAAGCAAAAGGAAAUUUUGCAAAAGUCUGUCUCAAGGAGUAUGUUUCAAGAUGAUGAAUCCUCUGAAUCCUAUAUCCCAAGAUUUCAAGAAAGUCCAUCACCAAGUGAAGAUGGUGGAUAUGAUUAUUAAGUUUAUGUAGUGUAUGAAUUAUGUGCUUUAUUAAUUGAGUUUAUUAAUUGUCGAUUGUAUUAAGUUUAUGUGGUUUAUGAAUUAUCGGUUGUAUUAAGUUUAUGUGGUUUAUGUAUUAUCAGUUGUAUUGUUUCUAUUAAUUUAGAUGUCUUCAAUAAUUAUUGUACUUAUUAUUUCACACUUUGAUGUAGAAUAGAUGUCUUCAAUAAUUCAACGUACUAGACAAAAUACUUUGCACAAGAAGACAUUUAAAUUUAUUACUAGAAAAUAACAACAUAGUACACUUAAAAUUAAUCUAGAUGCCUUCAAUAAUUAUUGUACUUAUUAUUCCGCACUCUUCUAUAUCACGCUACACAUAUGAACGUCCCGUGACAGAACCACGAUGGCUAGAUUCACUAUGGUGGUCAGAUUGCAUAAACGAGUUGACAAGUUCAACUUUGGCGUUGAACAAUUCUGCAUCCUCAAUCUCGAUCCUUGCUUGGUAUUGUGUCAUCUGCAUUGUCAUGCUACAUAUUUUUCUAUCACCAAUUGAUGAGAUAUUGAGGAUUUUUAGGAAAUAAAAACUCUUUGAAAGUUGAAAGAUUAGUGAAUAUAGAGGAUGAUUGAAGGUUAAAAGAUUGUGUGAUCAACAAAUAUUGGACAUAUGUUUAUAUAGAGGAUGAUUGAUGAAAGUUGAACAGUUGGUGAAAGUUGAAAGUUUGGUGUUGAACGGUUGGUGAAAGUUGAAAGUUUGGUGUUGAAGGGUUGGUGAAUUGAAAAUUUGGUAUUGAACGGUUGAUGAAUUGAAAGUUAGCACAUGGUUGAAAGAUUGGUGAAAGUUGAAGGCUUGCUUUGUGAAAAAUUUAGUGAUUUUUCAAUAUUUAUUGGAAUUUAAAUUUUUUUUAGAUUAAAAUAUUCAUAAAAUUAAUUUACGAUAGUCUACAUAUUUAUUUAAAAAAAUUAAUUUAAGAAAAAAAAUCGCCUAAAUUUAUUCUUUAAUAAUCCCGGGCUAAAAUUUUAUGCCAGAACAGUUGGAACAGAAAAACUGUUUCUAAGCUAAAAUAUUUUGCUUUUAGCCCAACCAUUGGAGAUGGUCUUAUUAGGACAAAAAGUAAUAAAACUUAUGUUUAGAAAACAAAUGUACCAAAAAUUCAAGAAAAUUUUAACAAAAAACUCCCGGUACUGUUUACUUUAACUAAAAACCACAUUUUUACACUAAAGAAUCAAUUCUGGUACUAUUCACUUUAUCUUUUAUUUUGUCCUUAUCGUUAAAACUCAAAGUUUUCGCCAAUUUCAUUAAUUUUCCUAAAAUUCAAAUGUACCAAGAAGCCAAAUGAACCAAAAAUUCAAAUGUACCAAGUAACAACAUGUACCAUUAUAAUUAAAUGUACCAAUAUAACCAAACGUACCUAUCAACAAGUUUUGUUACAUUCUAUUUAAUUUACUAAAAUAACUAUUUCAAUAAAAAAUAAAAAAAUCUUAAAUCAUCAUAAUUAGAGAUACAUAAAAAUUGGAAGAAAAAAGAAAAUGCUAUCGUGAAUAGACUUUUAAUGAAAUAAAAUUAAGGGUAAAGUACAAAAAACUACCUCAACUAUUGGUGUCACGACACUUUCAUACCUCAUCUUUUAAAAUUGACAAUGUCAUACCUCAUCUUACAAAUUUGUGUCAAUGGUAUACCUUUCGUUAGGGUUGGCAUGAAUUUCUCAAUUAAAUGCUGACGUGGCUUGAUCCAAGACCAAUUUUCUAUUAAAAAAUUAUUAAAAAUUAAAAAAAUUUAAUAUUUUUUAAAUAUUAAAAUUAAAAAAAAAAAUAACUCUCAGUCAGUUCGUCCCCUCCCCCCUUCUCUCUCUUCUCCCCAUCAUCAUCUUCUUCCCCCUUCCUGCAACUGCAACCCAGAAAAAAAAGAAGAGAAAAAAAAAACCAAUUUGUCUUCCCCCCUCCCCACCCCCUCUUCACCCCGCACCCACUCUCCGCACCCAACCUCCCCACCUUUGCACCCAACCUCGCACCCACUACCAGCAACCCAAAAAAAAAAAAUCCAAAUCCUGUUGAGGUGGAAUUAGGAAACCUUCGCCAGGACGAUUUCGAAGGUUGAGACCCUAAGCGCGGAGAAAAUAGGGGGAAUGGGUGUGGAGGGAAAAGGGUGGGUGCCGGGGGGGGGACGGACGAACUGGGUUUCCUUUUUAUUUUUUAUUUAUUCUCUCUCUUCUUCUUCUUCUUCUUUCUUCUUUCUGGGUUUGUUCGGGGGGGGGGGGGAGAAGGGACUGGGUUGGGUUGGGUUUUUUUUUUUUUUUUUUGUCUUCUUCUGCUUCUUCUUCUUUCUCCUUUUUUCUGGGUUGCAAUGGGUUGGGUUUGUGGUGGGGGGAGAAGGGACGAACUGGGUUUGGUUUGGGGUUUUUUUUUUCCUUCUUCUUCUUCUUUCUGGGUUUGUUGUUGAGGGGGGGGAAUUGGGUUGGGUUUUUUUCUUCCUCCUUUCUUUUUUUUUUUUUUUUGUCAAUCCUUCUGCUUGGGUUGCAGGAAGAUGGGAAGAGAGAGAGAGGGGGAAAGAUGAACUGAUCUGAGGUUUUUUUUUUCCCCUUUAUUAUUUUAGUAUUUAAAAAAAUAUUAAAUAAUUUUUUUUUAAUUUUUAAUAAUUUUUUAAUAGAAAAUGAAACCGAAUCAACCCACAUCAGCAUUUAAUUGAAAAAUUUACGAUCAAGUAAUAGAAUGUAUAACAUUAGCACAAAUUCGUAAGAUGAUGUAUGAUAUUGUCAAUUUUAAAAGAUGAGUCAUGAAAGUUAUGAUAAUUUUUUGUAGUUUACCUAAAAUUACGUACCAAAAAUUGUAGGAAAAAUGUUUAAUCAAAUUUGCAGAAUAUACGUUCAGUAACAUUUAAAAAGUUUUGCCCAACUCAAUAAACACGAGUCAACAACUUUCAAGAAUCUGUAUAAUGUGUUCGUCCCUUAUAAAAACAUAUCACUUGAGGUGAUUAAUUAUACGAACAUAAUCAACUUCUAGAAACUUAAAAUUACAUGAUUAACCAAAAUCAUACUUAGGAAUCUAAGCAAAGAAUCAGAAGAAAUAUGAGAAAAAAGGAAUGGGGAACUUACAAGAUCUUUGAAAAUGAUAAAAGCGAUUACGAAGACAACAAAAGAGGAUUUCGAUCUCGGCGAAUGGAACGAACCGAAAGACCGACUUGACACCCUGAGUCAAUGCGGAUGCAUUUGAAACUCGCUUCGCCACGGCUGCGCGGUCGGGUUGGGCUUUGGAGUCGGAUUUAAUACCAUCGGAAUUAGAUCGGCGAUCAUCCGAUGAGCGAUGGUGGUCAGGUGGUGGUGUGAUUGGUGUCACGGAUGGGUGGAGCCGCGGAGAGCUGGAGGCGGAGGUGGAGGCAGGCAGGUCUGUGUGGACAGUUGGAUCUGGGUGUGGGUGGACGAUGCGGCCUUAGCCUGUAGUCUGGUCGCGAAGAACUUAUGAAGACGAAGAGAAAGGCUUGGAGCUUGGAAGACGGAGAGACCGAAGCGUCGAUGGUGAAGAUUCGAAGAUGCAGGAGGGUGAAAAUUUGGUUUGGUUAUUCUCUAUAUUGCUAAUUGGUUUUGAUGGAAUCUCAACUUUCUUCAUGGUAUCAGAACAAGUUGUUCCAUGUGUAAAGCCAAAUUGCCACAUGGGCUCCAUGUCAUCCCGUUAUGUUGUCCACAUGUUAGACUUGAAAAUUUGCCACAAGUGAAAUCAGAGGAGGGACCUUGUAUUAGCUUAUAAGAGGUUAUAUUGCCAAUUGGUUUAAUUUUAAGAUGUGUUAUCCACACACAUUUUUUCACUUUUCACACACCUUAAUUUUUUGUCUUCAGAUCGAAUAAGUUGAGGAAGAUCAACUAAAUUAAUAAAGGAUGUCUGAGAAGUCCACACAUCCCUUAAUUUAUGAUAGAACCUCAACUUUCUUCAGACACCCAUGGCCAUGAGACUCACACUGCAUCAAUAGCAGUAGGGAACUUGGUCAGCAAUGCAAGUCUUACCAUUUAUAUUGGACAAGGAGUUUAACCAUUUAUGCUUAGUACUGAUCACUUCGGUUCUUUGGAUGAAUGUAUGUAUAGGUAUGAAUGGUGUGGUGUCUGUUUUCCCCAAUGAAAAGAAGAAGCUCCUCACAAGAACGUUAUGGGACUUUAUUGGGUUCCCGGAAAGAGAGUCGAGUAGCAACAAUCUUGACGAAAGCAAUAUCAUUGUAGGAGUGACUGAUACUGGAAUUUGGCCGGAAUCUGACCUAAAAAUGGGAAGGCACAUGACAAUCCUAAGCCAACAUUACUUGUAAUUUGUAUGGCAAACUAGUUUGUUGUCUGUUACUCCAAUCAUCAAUACAUGUAGAAUGUUGUUUUAUUAAAUUUGAUCAUGUGAAAUGAUGACUUUUGAAAACAUUAGGAAAUAGGAAAAGGCUAUAGUUUUCAAAUAAGGAUUUGGAUCUCAUCCGGAUCAAAAUUAUGGGGAUCAUAGGGAUCCUCAUAUCCUAACUAUUUAUCGUAUAUCGUGCGACCAGAAAUCAUUUUGAAAUUUUUAUUUAAAAAUUAAACGCAAAUAGUACUUAACGAAAACUGAUCGCACGUUAUACGAUGAACGAUUAUGAUGUGAGGAUCCUUAGGCCAUCUCCAACCGAAGGGUCCGGAGGGCCAGAUGGCUGAAAGAACCAAGAUGUUCAAUCUCAAUGACCUUCUCUUUAACUUUGUCUUGAACUUUCAGAUAUUCGAUAUCCAUUAGCCUCGAUGCUUUUGAUCUUCUUUUGGUACCUUAGAACUUUCUGAAUCAAAUGAUUGUUUUUUUUUAAAUUUUUUUUUUUUUUUUUUGAACAAACAAUAUUAUCUACACUAAGGGGGAGAGAGUGUGCUUAGCCUCACAAUGGGCUAGCAAUAAUGUGAUUCAAUCAGUUAUUUAUUAAAUAUUAUUCUCUCUAUUUUUAAACACAUUCAAAACAUCUUAAGAGGUGCAUACCACCGGUGACAAAAAAAGGUCUUUCGCAAGCGCACAAUAAUGUGAUUCAAUCAGUUAUUUAUUAAAUAUUAUUUUCUCUAUUUCUAAACACUUAAGAGGCAUGCAAUGCCGGUUAUAAAAAAGGCAUUUUGCCCGCGCAUAACAAUGUGAUUCAAUGACACACCUCGACCCGGAAUGUCCACUAGGACUCUGAAUCGAGCUAUGUUGGUGGAAGAUGACAAAGCCAUAAAGUAUAGUGAUGUGGAAAAUGUGAAUAAAUUUAAACCUAAAAGUGCCUAAACACAAGGGUGCGCUGUGAGCGGGAAUGAACCCAUUUCACAUGCAACGUCAGAGCAUAAGUAAAGUACAGUAGUGUGGGUAAGGAUCAUACCCUCAGAGGUAGCCACCUAUACUAAGAUUCGCCAAGAAUCCUUGUCGAUAUCAGUAGCUAAAACUUGGAGAGGCAAAAAAAUAAGGGUGAGUGAGCCUGAAAAUAAAGUUUUAAUAAAAACCUUUUGAAAACGUUUUAACCUUUCGCUGUAAAACCUGUAUAGUUUCUAGAAAUUAAUACUAUAUAUAUAUGUAAAACAAUGCACAAAGACAGUAAAAACCAAGUAUGACAUGUCAUAACGUUUCAACAUUGAAAUAUGUGAGCCAGGUGUGAAAAUCAAGGUAAAAUAAUAUGCCAGCUGGAGUCACCUAACGUGACCUGUAUGGCUGAACCUAUAACUCAUCAAUGUAUGCUUGCACACGAGUCAGAACCACCUAAUGUGGUCUGUAUGACAUGCUAGGUGUAAAUAAAUACGCUCAAGUUCUACGAUCACGUGAAGGCUGUGCGAAUAAUCGCAGGUCAGCUACGAGUUAGAACCACUUAUUGUGGUCUAUAUGACAGGGAUGGCACCAAGUUUGGAUCCAAGGUGAGCGUGCGGUGCAUGAGGUGAACAUUACAUGAAAGAUUAUGCCUGGCCUAGGGUGGAAGCACUAACACCGAGGUGCAUCAAUGAUGAACUCUAAAUGCAUCUAUGCAUAACAAUGUGCAAUACAACCAAUACCAUCACAAUAUACUCACCUGAAGCUUACCUAAGCCUCUGCAGCAUCAAACGAUAUAAUGCAUAACAAUAGUAAUGAAAUACUAAAAAUAUAAUUCAUUCAUGACAUGGCAUUCAAAGCAUAGCUCAUAUAAAAAUGUUUCUGGAAACCGUAAAGCAUAUAUAUAAAUACUGUAAAAAGGAAGAAGACCCACUCACUUAGAGUCUGUGCUACAAUUCCCUAGCACAAACAUCGAGCCAUCAAGAACGAUCGGUGCCUAGAACAAUUAUCAAACCACAUCUCAGAAUCCUUAUCAAUAGAACAUAUAACUUACAUAAAACACAUCCCCGAGGACGUUCUAGAAUGAUUUGAGACCCAUUGACCAAAAGUUAACCGUCGCUUAAAGAUUGACAGUAGGGUCUACAACCCUAGAUAAUUCGAUCUGGAAGAUCUGCAUCUCAGAUUUUCCAAUCCGUAACUUCCAAAUAUCCACAUUAUGCUUCUAAAACAUCAUAUUAAAGUUUCAUUACGAUCCAACGGUUUGAUCUUCGCCAAUUACCAAAACCAAGUGGCGGCCGACAUUUUAUUUUACGAACUUACAAAUCCAAUUCGGAAAUACCCACACUUUAGAUUCCAUAUCUGUAAAUUCCUAUGGUCCUCAAAUAUUACGUACUAUCUGUAAAUUCCUAUGGUCCUCUUUAUUCAGUUGAAUAUCCAAUAGUUCUCAUUCUCCAAUGCCUCUAUCAUUUCAUCUCAAAUACGCUACAAAGAAAGGUAGGCCUACAAAUAACAAUCAGAGGGAGUACAAAAGGUGACCAAAAUAUAGCGCCCGAGCACAGUGAUAAGUGAGCAAGGGUCGCUGUAUCUCCAUCGGCACCCGGAUGCAGUGUUAAAUGAGCAAGGGGGCCAUAGAAACUUCUUUUCGAACGACUCCACUCAAAGUUGUUUGGGAGCAUAUGCUCCUAUCAACUUUACCCGGGACACACAAAAGAAGUACUUUGAUCCUAUUAGACGGGGGAGGGUGAAGAAGCUAGGACAGAAGGGUAGAGUUCAAGAGAGCAAAAUGCGUUUAGGAACGUGGAAUAUAGGAACCUUAACGGGAAAAUCUAUGGAAGUAGUGGAAGUUAUGGUGAGGAGAAGGAUAAAUAUUAUGUGCCUACAAGAAACUAAGUGGGUUGGUAGUAAGGCAAAGGAUCUAGAAAACUCAGGGUUUAAACUUUGGUAUUCGGGCACAAAUAGAACGAGAAACGGUGUUGGCAUCAUCGUGGACAAGACCUUGGUACAAGAUGUUGUAGAUGUCAAGAGGGUAGGAGAUAGAAUCAUGGCAAUCAAGAUUGUAAUAGGACAAGAACUUAUCAAUGUGAUUAGUGCGUACGCACCUCAAGUAGGGUUGGAUACGAGUUCGAAGGAGAAAUUUUGGGAAGAUCUUGGAGACUUGGUGCAAGGAAUUGCUCAGACGGAGAAGUUAUUUAUAGGAGGAGAUUUAAAUGGACACGUGGGCAGGGAGACAGGCAACUAUGGAGGUUUUCAUGGUGGCCAUGGUUUUGGGGAGAGAAACGAGGAUGGGGAAGCUAUCUUGGAUUUUGCAAUGGCAUAUGAUCUCUUCUUAGCCAACACCUUCUUUAAGAAGAGAGAAGAACAUGUGAUCACCUACAAGAGUGGGUCGUCAAAAACACAAAUAGAUUUUCUUCUAAUGAGGAAAGGGGAUCGUAUAACUUGUAAGGAUUGCAAAGUUAUACCAGGAGAGAGCGUGGCUAAUCAACAUCGCUUGUUGGUGAUGGAUGUACAUAUCAAAAUAGUAAGACAAAAGAACAAGACUUGGAAGUGCCCAAGGACUAGAUGGUGGAAUCUAAAAGAAGAAAAACAAGUUAUUUUCAAAGAGAAGGUAAUCACCCAAUGUGUGUGGGAUAGAGAGGGGGAAGCUAGCCAAAUGUGGGAUUCCAUGGCUAGUUGUAUCCGAAAAGUAGCAAAAGAGGUAUUAGGAGAGUCCAAGGGCUUUGCCCCACACCAAAAGGAAUCUUGGUGGUGGAAUGAGGAGGUACAAACAAAGGUGAAAGCUAAGAAGGAAUGUUGUAAAGCCUUAUACAAGGAGAGGACCGAUGAAAAUGGUGAAAGGUAUAGAAAAGCGAAGCAAGAGGCGAAGAAAGCUGUCAGAGAAGCUAAGUUAGCGGCUUACGACGAUAUGUAUAAACGACUAGAUACCAAAGAAGGAGAGUUGGAUAUCUAUAAACUAUCUAGAGCAAGGGAAAAGAAGACAAGAGACCUAAACCAAGUGAGGUGCAUCAAGGAUGAGGAUGGAAAGGUUCUUGCUACAGAGAACGCGGUUAAAGACAGAUGGAGAGGUUAUUUUUCAUAAUCUUUUCAAUGAACGACAUGAAAUGAGUGCUUCUUUAGGGGAGUUGAGUAACUCAGAAGAGUGUAGAAACUACUCUUUUUAUCGUCGAAUCCGGAAGGAAGAAGUGGUUGUAGCUUUGAAGAAGAUGAAGCAUAAAAAAGCAAUAGGCCCAGACAAUAUACCAAUCGAAGUGUGGAAACUUUUGUGAGAGACAGGUAUAACAUGGCUCACUGAUCUUUUCAAUAGGAUUUUGAAAACGAAGAAGAUGCCAAAUGAGUGGCGAACGAGCACUUUGGUGCCUAUCUACAAGAAUAAGGGCGACGUACAAAAUUGCAUGAACUAUAGGGGUAUUAAGCUAAUGAGUCAUACAAUGAAGCUCUGGGAGAGAGUCAUUGAGCAUAGAUUGAGGCAAGAGACACGGGUUUCGGACAACCAAUUCGGGUUCAUGCCAGGCCGCUCAACCAUGGAGGCAAUCUAUCUCUUACGAAGAUUGAUGGAAAAGAUAUAGAGAUGGGAAAAAGGAUUUACACAUGGUCUUUAUAGAUUUGGAAAAAGCGUAUGAUAGGGUCCCAAGAGACAUUCUUUGGAGGAUUUUAGAGAAGAAAGGAGUACGAGUAGCAUAUAUCCAAGCUAUAAAGGAUAUGUAUGAAUGAGCAAAGACUGCCGUAAGAACUCAUGAAGGACAAACCGAAAGCUUUCCCAUAACUGUAGGAUUACAUCAAGGCUCAUCCUUAAGUCCUUACCUUUUUGCGUUGGUAAUGGAUGAGUUAACAGGACAUAUUCAAGAUGAUAUUCCUUGGUGUAUGCUUUUCGCAGACGAUAUAGUGUUGAUAGAUGAAACUCAGGAAGGGGUAAAUGCAAAGCUUAACCUUUGGAGAGAAGUGUUGGAAUCUAAAGGUCUUCGCCUAAGCCGAUCAAAGACAGAAUAUAUGGAGUGCAAGUUCAGUGCAAAUGGAGGCCAAAACGAGUUAGGGGUGAGGAUCGGAGAUCAAGAAAUACCAAAGAGCGACCGUUUUCGUUACCUAGGAUCUAUCUUGCAAAAGAAUGGAGAAUUAGAUGGAGAUCUCAACCACAGAAUACAAGCUGGAUGGAUGAAGUGGAAGAGUGCAUCCGGCGUGUUGUGUGACUGCCGUAUGCCACUGAAGCUCAAGGGAAAAUUUUAUAGGACGGCAAUAAGGCCGGCGAUGCUGUAUGGCACAGAAUGUUGGGCGGUGAAACAUCAACACGUACACAAAAUGGGUGUAGCGGAGAUGAGGAUGCUUCGUUGGAUGUGUGGGCACACGAGAAAGGAUAAGAUUAGGAAUGAGGAUAUCCGGGGUAAAGUAGGAGUAGCCGAAAUUGAAGGAAAGAUGAGAGAAAAUCGGUUACGGUGGUUUGGACAUGUGCAAAGAAGGCCUACUGACGCUCCGAUUAGAAGAUGCGACUAUGGGACAGAGGUUCAAGGCCGAAGGGGUAGAGGAAGACCUAGGAAAACUUUGGAAGAGACUCUAAGAAAAGACUUAGAGUACUUGGAUCUAACGAAGGACAUGACUCAGGAUCGAGCACAAUGGCGUUCUAAGAUUCAUAUAGCCGAUCCCACUCAGUGACUUGGAUUUUCCAAGUCUCUAACCGAGAAGUUUUCCUCACUCGGGAAAUUAAGGGAACACUACCCCAACCUACAUGCUCCACUCAGAAAGCUUUCAACAUACAAGCUUCAACAAAAGAAAAUUCAAAGAACUUAGCGAAGAAGGCUUUGGUGUAUUUAACACAAUACGUUGAAAUGAAGGAAAGCUUAUUUAUUGAUAUCCCCGAUAAGCUACAAAUAUGUACAUAUACAUGAGUCAAAAUAAACACACAAGAGGGAGCCUUCACAAAGGUUGCUUAGGAGAAGUCUCAGCAGUCGGUAGAGCCCCAGAAAGAGAAGGCACCGGAGGGGGAUCAUUUGGAGCCUCAGUACUGGACAGAACCCUAGAAGGAGGAGGCAUCAGAGGUUGAUCAUUCGGAGCUUCAUUAUGCGGUACAGCCCCAGAAGACGAAGGCAAUAAAUGCCUUUGGAACAAACCCACAAAUCUCUGAUGAUCAAGUAAAACCUGACCAUCAGUUUCCUUCAUCUGGUCAAGCUUCCUCUUCAUGUUUGUAGCAUAGUCAUGUGCGAGUCGGUGCAACUGUUUAUUCUCAUGCUUGAGCCCUCUAAUCUCCUGUUUGAGACUCAUCACUUCAGCCGCCAAUGAUUCAACUUGGCGGGUUCGAGCAAAUAGGCGUUGGGCCAUAUUAGACACAGAACCUGCACACUGAACACUGAGAGCCAGUGAAUCCUUAACAGCUAACUCAUCAGACCGUUUGGAAAGUAGUCUGUUAUCUUUGGGGGUGAGAAGGUUCCUGGCCACCACCGCAGCGGUCAUAUCAUUCUUCAUCACGGAAUCCCCAACGGUAAGAGGACCAGUAGGGGAGACGAAGGAUGGGCACCAUAUGUUGUCUGGAGAAGGCGGGGCUUGCCUCUUCAACAAGGUUCAAGUCAAAACGACGGUCGGAGGGGCCAGACAUUUUCAAAGGUGUUGAAGAGAGAAGAGGUCGGACAAAUCAAGAUCUUAGAAGUGCAAGAAUGAAGCUUCUACUGGUGGAGAUUCAAGUGUGCUUUGGAACUUAAUGCCAGCCCCUAUAAAAAUCUGCACUCGACGGAGCUUCAGAAAUCGAAGAGGCGCCUGCUCAGAAAUCGAAGAGGCGUUUGCUUUCUCAAAAGCUGGGCUGCUUAGAGAUCACGAGGGUUGAUCUCAGAAAUCGAAGAGGCGUUUGCUUUCUCAAAAGUUGGGCUGCUCUAAGACCACGAAGGUCGAUCUCAGAAAUUGAAGAGGCGCUCGCUUUCUCAAAAGCUGGGCUCCCCAGAGACCACGAGGGCCGAUCUCAGAAAUCGAAGAGGCACCUACUUUUCCAGCCUUGUCAGCACCUGUCACACGCACACUCAGCUUUGCGGAAAUUAUGGGCAUUCUGUCGAAGACUUCUGGGGAAGUAGAAAACUCAUGAAUCUUACUGUUCAAUCACCCACUUCCCACACGCAACAAUAGCUCAUGGGUACCACAGAUAACUUUGCCAAAGUUCUCUGCCAAAGUUGAGCACGUGAAGCUUGCAGCUCCCACUACAUCGCUCUGACCAAGAAGGGUAAAAGAAUAGCAAAGAAACAGCACUAACAAAGUUUAGACCCAUAAAUUUUGAAGGUCUAGCUACCAUAUUAUUACCCACAAGGGUAAAGGAACAGUACCACUGCUGGAUAAUUGGAAAGUCCCUGUGUGUCAACCUCUGUGCUUCGUGGCAAGGUAGACUAGCAAACAUGCCCAACCUUUACUCACAUUCGAGAAAACACUCCCCAAUAAGAUUGCUUGCUCCAAAAUCGAAGAGGCACCGUCCUCCGAAUCUCGAGAGCCAGACUCCCAACAUGACUACUUUCUUAAAAAUCGAAGAGAGGGUAAAGGAACAGUACCAUUGCUGGAUAAUUGGAAAGUCCCUGUGUGUCAACCUCUGUGCUUCGUGGCAAGGUAGACUAGCAAACAUGCCCAACCUUUACUCACAUUCGAGAAAACACUCCCAACAGGAUUGCUUGCUCCAAAAUCGAAGAGGCACCGCCCUCCGAAUCUCGAGAGCCAGACUCCCAACAUGAUUACUUUCUCAAAAAUCGAAGAGACACUGCUCCCCGAAUCUUCCAGAGCCAGAGCCCCAGCAUGAUUGCUUUCUCAAAAAUCGAUAAGGCAUCGUUCUCCAAAUCAAUCGAAGAGGCGCUCGCUUUCUCAAAAGCUGGGCUGGUCAGAGACCACGAGGGCCGAUCUCAGAAAUCGAAGAGGCACCUACUAUUCUAGCCUUGUCAGCACCUGUCACACGCACACUCAGCUUUGCAGAAAUUAUGGGCAUUCUGUCGAAGACUUCUGGUGAAGUAGAAAGCACAUGAAUCUUACUGUUCAAUCACCCACUUCCCACACGCAACAAUAGCUCAUGGGUACCACAGAUAACUUUGCCAAAGUUCUCUGCCAAAGUUGAGCACGUGAAGCUUGCAGCUCCCACUACAUCGCUCUGACCAAGAAAAGGUAAAAAGAAUAGCAAAGAAAACAGCACUAACAAAGUUUAGACACAUAAAUUUUGAAGGUCUAGCUACCAUAUUAUUACCCACAAGGGUAAAGGAACAGUACCAUUGCUGGAUAAUUGGAAAGUUCAUGUGUGUCAACCUCUCUGCUUCGUGGCAAGGUAGACUAGCAAACAUGUCCAACUUUUACUCACAUUCGAGAAAACACUCCCAACAAAAUUGCUUGCUCCAAAAUCGAAGAGGCACCGUCCUCCGAAUCUCGAGAGCCAGACUCCCAACAUGACUACUUUCUCAAAAGCGAAGAGAGGGUAAAGGAACAGUACCAUUGCUAGAUAAUUGGAAAGUUCCUGUGUGUCAACCUUUGUGCUUCGGGGCAAGGUAGACUAGCAAACAUGCCCAACCUUUACUCACAUUCGAGACAACACUCCCAACAGGAUUGCUUGCUCCAAAAUCGAAGAGGCACCGCCCUCCGAAUCUCGAGAGCCAGACUCCCAAAAUGAUUACUUCCUCAAAAAUCGAAGAGACACUACUCUCCGAAUCUCGAGAGCUAGACCCCCAGCAUGAUUGCUUUCUCAAAAAUCGAAGAGGCAUCGCUCUCCGAAUCUCGAGAGCCAGAUACCACAGACCACUUUUUCAAAGUGCUCUGACAGAGUUAAAACAUGUGAAACUGGCAGCUCCCACUACCGUGCUAUGACCAAGCAGGGUAAAUGAAUAGCAUUACUACUUGUUAGGGAGACUCCUAUAUAUGUCGACCUCCAUCCCCAACGGACAGGCAGACCUGCAAAAAUGCUCAACCCUUCAUCAUAUCUGAGAGGGCACUCCCAACGAAGCCUUUCGAAAUAUUCAGCUUUCUUUCCCCCCGAUAAUACCUCUGCAAACAAGCUAUACUAGAGCAAGAAUAUCUCAUAUCAUCAGGGUUAAAAGCAAGAGUAUCCCAUAUCAUGCUUUUUCCCUGUCUUUUCCUUUGGCCUUGUUUUUACCUGCAAGACAAGGAGAAAGAGAGCAAUCAGUCAGCACUUGGAAUCAAGCUUCCAGCCAGGAACUAACUGCCUGGAACCCCUUACCUGAUUACUUACCUGGCAUUGCUCUCGAGUACUCAUCUUCAACAUCUUAUGUUUCCAGGGAAGAUUCCGCAUCUGCUUGAGGAACAGAUAGGGCAAGUGCGAAGGAUACAAGGAAGCAUGUGGAGACAAGCGUAACAGCACACGUGCCGAUACAUCCAUUACUCUGUCAAAAGCAAAAGUAUCCCAUAUCAGCAGGGUGGAACGUACUCUAGAUUUGAUGGACUUGUUUUGACCCUCAAAUUCUUCAGUCGGCCUUAUACUCUGGAGGAAACCAGAAAACCCUCCAGCUCAGUUCAAGAAUAAGCCUGUGGAAAGUUACUUCUUCAAAAGCAAAAGUAUCUCAUAUCAUCUCUUCUCAUUUUUCUUCUCUUUAUCCUUCAUGCUGCUGCAAGAUGGGGAGAAGGUGAACAAUCGGUCGGAGCUCUGAUUGCUUACCUUGUCUGUCACCUCUUUCAGCAGACCCCCUAGCUCGGCGACUUGGGGGACUCCUACUACAUGGUUUGUAUCGCGCUUGACCAAGCUUGAAACUACAAGUAAGCUUCAAGUGAAAUUGAUACAUUACCUUGUGCAUCUCCACCAGUUAAAGAUACCACCCCUGGAUGGAGGAAGAGUACUUCCAGAGAAAGAUGCCACAUCUACCUAUGAGACAGAUAAGGCAAGUCAAGACGACACCACACUCCGAUACUUAGAAGUUUCGUGAUUACGAGAUCAUUCUCCCACAAUAUUUCCUAAUGUCAUUUGUACUAAAUCAUUCACUUGUACUCAUUAAAGGAGAGCAUGAACCUAUGUACUUGUGUAAACCCUUCACAAUUAAUGAGAACUCUUCUAUUCCGUGGACGUAGCCAAUCUGGGUGAACCACGUAUAUCUUGUGUUUGCUUUCCUAUCUCUAUCCAUUUAUAUACUUAUCCACACUAAUGACCGGAGCAAUCUAGCGAAGAUCACAAAAAGCGACCGUUUUCGCUACCUAGGAUCUAUCUUGCAAGAGAACGGAGAAUGAGAUGGAGAUCUCAACCAUAGAAUACGAGCUGGAUGGAUGAAGUGUAAGAGUGCAUCCGGCGUGUUGUGUGACCGUCGUAGGCCACUGAAGCUCAAGGGAAAAUUUUAUAGGACGGCAAUAAGACCAGCGAUGUUGUAUGGCACAGAAUGUUGGGCGGUGAAGCAUCAACACGUACACAAAAUGGGUGUAGCGGAGAUGAGGAUGCUUUGUGGGAUGUGUGGGCACACGAGAAAGGAUAAGAUUGGGAAUGAGGAUAUCCGAGGUAAAGUAGGAGUAGCCGAAAUUGUAGGAAAGAUGAGAGAAAAUCGGCUCCGGUGAUUUGGACAUGUGCAAAGAAGGCCGACUGACGCUCCGGUUCGAAGAUGUGACUACGGGACAGAGGUUCAGGGCCGAAGGGGUAGAGGAAGACCUAGGAAAACUUUGGAAGAGACUCUAAGAAAAGACUUAGAGUACUUGGAUCUAACGGAGGACAUGACACAAAACCGAGCGCAAUGGCGUUCUAGGAUUCAUGUAGCCGACCCCACUUAGUGGGAAAAGGCUUUGUUGUUGUUGUUGUUGUUGUAGUUGUAGCAAAUAAAUAGACAGUUCACAAUACUUAAUCUCAGUUUACUACCCUCGAGUUUUUUGGUUUUCGACAUUUGGCACAUCAAAUUUUGUUUCAACCCAAAAUGGUAUUUGAAGUCAUAAUUUAGAGAAACUUUCAUACAUAUGUUAAGGUUAAUGUUAAAUCAAUCGUUGACCAGUGACGUGAUGCCCACAUAGACAAUAACCGGACGUGUAUGAUUUACUCGGGAUUUUAUUCGUUUUAAAUGUUGUUUGCCUUAGUCCUUUGGCAUGUGUGAUUUACUUGUUGUGCAUAUGUAAAGUUGGACAAAAUCUAUAAGGUCGUUUGGUCAAUCAGCUAUGGCAAAUAAAUAAACAGUUCAUAAUACUUUUACUCAUUUGUUUUUAUAUAGUUGAAUGACUUAAUGAUUUCAUAUUUUAUUAUUAUUAUUUUUUAGAUAUGAUAUUUACAAAGUAUUUUAUAAUAUGAACAAUUUCGAUCAUAAACACGAAAUUUCAUGAAUUGAAAACUAAGUAUUUUGAGGAAGUUAAUUUAAUAAAAAAAAAUGAUACUAUUGUAUAUAAUGACAAAUAUAGGCAUAGUUGUGGGGAUGGUGGCAACAACAGCAGUGGUAGGGGUAGCGGCAAAUGUGGGGGCUUUGGUGGUUGUGACAAUAAUAGGGUGUGGUGGUUGGGGUGUAGAGGUAGCAGUGGUGGUAGCGGUAGUAGUUACGAUUGUGGUGGUGGUGAUAUAAGGUUAAUCGUUGUAGUGGUAGGUGGUGGCGGUCUUUGUUAUCCGAGGGCAAAAAUAUAUGUAAAAGGAUAAAUAAUGUUAAUUUUCAUUAAUGAGGGUAUUAUAAGAAUUAAAAAAAUAUUCAUUAAACGCUUAGCUCCGCUUUUUAUAAAAGUUGUUGACUGGAUGCGACUGCAUUAAAAAUAGGUAUGAUAUAGGUGUAGAGAGUAAGUUGGGUGUAAAAAAAAGUUAUAUGGGUUCAAAUAAAAUUUCUAAUUUGUUUUUGUUAUGAAUAAUGCUAGGAAGACCAAAUUUUUAACAAAAUGCUACUUUUACCAUCUAAUUGUACCAUCGUUUGUACCAUAUCUCUAAUAGAGAUGGAACCCAUAUGUGUUGACAGACCUUACCUCUAUUAGAAUUAGAAAGAUGGUACAACUAGGUGAUAAGUGUAACAUUACCCAAUUUUUAAUCAAAUAUGCAAACCAAAUGACGUGUAUCAAUAAGAAAUAAGCAUGUUAAUCAACACUUAACUAAUAAUAACAUUCAUGUCAUUUGGUUAGUAAAUUUGGUUUAAAAUUUUGGUCUCCCUAUCAUUAUUUGUUAUUGUGCGGUGAUUUGUGGUUUGUGUUAACCUAAAAUGAGAUCCAUUUUUUGUCCGUAAUUAAUAUCAAAUCCAAUAGUGAAUGACCAUAUAUUUCUUGGUCUCUAGAAACCAAGAGAACAUUUUUGGAUUUUGGUCAUCCAAAUUUUGUGACACUAGGUUCAGAGUACUCAAUGCCUGAGCUGGAGCAUAACAAAAUCAUGCACAUGGAAGUAGUUCACAGCUCAAAAUACAAGCUUGCAUCAGAUUUAUAUAGGCAAGAAAAUGUCUUUGCAAAUUUAAAGAGAAAAAAAAAUGAGGAGCAAAAAUAUUGCUACAAGGUAUGGUGGACUUGUAUAUGGACCAUUAGUGUCACAAUCAUAUCAAUUUUAUAUGAUGGCGAAUUUCUUUGGGUUCUUGGUCAUCUCAGCCAAAUUUCGGAUGUCAUUUCGUCUCAAACACUGUACAAAAGAGAAGUUGAUUUAACAUAAUUAUUUCAGUCAAAUCUAGGUUCUACUCCUCCAGUUGGCUUGCAAUUUCGUCCUCUCUGCAUUUAAUCGUCAUUUUAGCAUCCCCAUGUCAAAACCCACAUGUAGGAUGAUGACUAAUGGUAAAAUGCCAAAAGCACAAUAAUUUCCCAUCUUAAAAACAAUUACAAUCAAGAUCAAGAGGCAGAAACAUAAUUAAUCAAGAGUGCAUUGCCUUUGCCCCUGUCAAGUCUAGUUUUGAAAAGUCAACAUGUUGUCCAUCUGUGUGGACAAUAUCAACCAUUAGAAAUAGAUCUAUCAACCAUAUAAAUUUGAACUUUAUUCAUUUAUUUUCUACGCGCAACGAAAUGUCUUUCGCUUGCUCCUUUGUCUUGUUCCUUCAUAUUCUUUCUAUGGUAAUACUGAUAAAUGUCACCGACUAUAUAUUUGGGUGGAGAAAUUUCAAGCCAUGGGACUAAAAACCAAAUUAUAAAAAGAGAAUACCACAAAAUGAGAAAAUUCUUCAAUGACACGUAAUAAUGAAAGAUGUGGAAUGAAUGAACAAGAUUGAAACUAGAUUAUUCAAUACUUGUGGAAAUUUUUGUACAAUAAAAUAACUAAUAGUUCUCCUUCUCCAAUGCAUUUUCCAUUUCAUGCGCUACAAACAAAGGUAGGCCUACAAGUAACUAUCAGAGGCAAUUCAACAAGUGACCAAAACAUGGCCACAUUUUUAAUUAUAUAGGAAUUAAAGUUUCCACAAUUCAAGUGGGAAUGUAUUGACUUCUUUAAACUUUGGUCCUUGAAAUUAUUAGUUCAGAACAUACAAUAUUUGUUGACUUAUAGUGCAUGCAUAAAGUUGGAUAAAAUCUAAUACUCAAUAUUUAUUAUCCGUUUUAAAUGUUGUUUGCCUUAGCCCCUUGGCAUGUGUGUGAUUUACUUGUAUUGCAUGCGGAAAGUUGUACAAAAUCUGUAAGGUUGUUUAAUCAAUUAGCUGUAGCAAAUAAAUAGACAGCUUAUAAUAUUUUUAUUCGUUUGUUUUUAUAUAGUUGAAUGACCAAAUGAGGCCUUAGUGUUACAAGUUUACACCAAGGGUGGAGAGAAUAAAUUUGUUAUAUUUACACCCUUUUCUUAAUACUUUUUCUUUAAUACUUUUUGAAUUCCUUGCUAUAUUUACAUCAAGGAUUGAUGAGAAUAAAUUGAUUACAAAAUCGUAAUACACGAUUCGAACCUAAAUUUUCUUUUAUUUCAAGUAGAGAAAAUGGAGCUUUAUAUAUAGAGACAAAAACUUCCACUAUAUUUCAAGGAAUUCCACUAGUUUUUAGACAUGUCAAUGAGAGACAAAAAUAUUAAAAAAAAAAUAAACCCCAUCUCAAUAACAUGGAACAAUGCUUUAAAAUAUCAGUCAUACCUCUAAAGCUUUAGGGUUGUUAAUAGAACACAACCCUCACAAUUCCAACAAAAUUAAUAUGUGACAUAAACUCAACUCAUCAUCGACUAUUUCUGCAGAAUCAGUUUUGAAAUUAUAUGUAGAAUCAAUUUGUAUCCUUUAUUACUAGAAUCAGUUUAAUCAGUCCUCAAUCAUUUUUGCAGAAUCAGUUCAACCAGUCCUUUACCAUUUUUGCAGAAUCAGUUCAACUUGGUCUCGUCUAUUUUUGCAUAAUCAGUUCAACCCGUUCUCGACCAUUUUUGCUCCAUUUUUGCAUAAUCGGUUUAACCUGUGGUCGACCAUUGUUGCAGAAUCAGUUCAACCCGUCUUGGUCAUUUGUGCAGAACCAAUCCAAUCCGUCCUCGUCCAUUUUUGCAAAAUCAGUUCAACCCGUCCUCGACCAUUGUUGCAGAAUCAAUUCAACAUGUCCUCGACCAUUUUUGCAUCAUCAGUUCAACCCGUCUAUGACCAUUUUUUCAAAAUCACUUCACCAUUUUUGCAGAACCAGUUUAACUUGUCCUCUGCCAUUUUUGCAAAAUCGGUUUAACCCGUGCUUGACCAUUAUGCAGAAUCAGUUUAACCCGUCCUCAAUCAUUUUUUGCAGAAUCAGUUCAACCCGUCAUCGAUCAUUUUUGCAAAAUCAGUUCAACCUUUAAGUGCAAAUCUUAACCCUGAAGCCGAAAUUGCAUACGGUGCUGGCCUAAUAAAUCCUAGCAAUGCUCCAUAUCCUGGUUUGGUAUACGAUGCUGCUGAAAUCGAUUAGGUAAAUUUUUUGUGUGCACAUGGCUAUAGUACCAGAUUAUUGAAAGCUCUUAACGGGGAUAGCUACUUAUCAUCACAAUCUAAUCAUGGAACACUCAAUGAUCAUCUAAACUAUCCUUCUGUUGCACUUUCCACCUCGAACCCUAAAUCCGUCAAUGGCAUUUCAAAAGAACCGUCACAAAUGUUGGAUCACCAAAAUGCACAUAUAAAGCUAAAGUGAGUGCACCACCAGGACUUGAAAUCAAAGUUAAUCCAAGCGUUUUAAAGUUCGCAUAUCUCGGGCAGAAGCUAUCGUUUCAAGUCACGGUGAAAUGGUUGAUUGAAAAAAUCAUAGUCCCUAGUUCUCUGGUGUGGGAUGAUGUUAAUUUCCAAGUGAUGAGCCCCAUUGUUGUGUAUUUUGUGUUUUGAGAACAAGGUAAUUAAACUAUGGUAGCCAAAGGCUUCAUCCAUUUUCUAUGGCAGCCAAAGGCGUCAUCCAUCUUCUCCACAAGGUAACCCCCAAAACAUUCCUUUUAAAUUAUGUUAAUUGGCUAAUUAAUAGAUUUAUUACCUAAUUAAUCUAUUAAUGGCCAAUUAAACUACCAAUUACACCCAAAAAACACACAAGAGGCCGGUCACCUUCUCUCCCAAGGGAACCGGCCAUACCUUAUAUAUUCUACCUCAUUUUCUCUAAAAAGCUAAGUCUACACUCUUGCUAAAUACUCAAAAUUCUCCAAAAAAAUUUCCUUCAAAAUUCUAACUUUGGUAUCAGAGGUUCUUCGGCCAAAGUCCCCUCUCCCCCAAAUUCAUCGUGGGUGCGUGAGGCUAUUGGCCUUGACCUAAGGUGUUAUUUGUUUUGUAGGUGCAAUUUUGUCCAAGAUCAAGGAGGAAGAAAUUUGCAUCCACAGUAUGUGUAAUAAUGUAUGAAUAAGCAAUUGCAAGAAGCUAGAAAGGGUUCCAAUGAAACAAAAGUGCAACGUACUGAUCACGAUGAUGUGUUAAAUAUAAAUUAAAUUAUUAUAUAUUUAUGAACCUUUAAAUGAUGUAGUACAUCAAAUUUGAAACGUACCCAUUUAAGGAUAUUUCAUAAUUCUCUGUGCAAUCUAAUUGUAUAUUUGAUUGUUCAUUGACAUUUUAUAUUAGCACCCCACAAAAUAUUGAAUGUAUUUCAUAUUAAAAUUUAAUGUUAAUAACUUAUUUACUCUACUAUGCAAUUACAAUUUUGACCUUAUUAGGUUUAAAAAAAUAAAAAAUUUCUAAAUACACCCCAAAUCACUUUUAACGUAUUAUUUAUCUACUUCAACCAUCAAAACCCCUCCCACCCUCCAUUGUUGAAUAAAACCCUAAGCAAUGAAAUUACAAACAUGUUGAUUGAGAAAAAUUAUUUUUAACCGGAACAUGAAAUCGGUGUUUCAAAAGCUUUACAUGAGGUAAGACUUCGUAUUUUUCUUUGUUUUAGUGAUUUCGACGACAUUGAUAAUUAUUUAAUCUCACUCAAUCUAAUAAUUCAAGAAUUAGCACUUAUGAAUCUCAUAAUUAAAAAAUCAUGGCAUGCGAACUGAUUGCAGAUUGAGUCAAUGACAUUCAUAAGGUGCUUUCUUGCAGGUCGACUUGGUUCGACCAAAAAAUGCACAAGAAAAUGGAAACAACAUGGUAGCUUUGAAAUCAUUAUUAUUGUUAUUGAAAAACGUUCAAAUGAACGUAAACAUUUUUUUCAAAUCAUUCAAUUUGAAAUCAUUCGGCAAACUAACGUUCAGAUGGUUUGAAAUCAUUCGGCAAAAUUAAAAAUGAGUGUUACAAGAUUUGAGAAAUGUGGGGGUGUAUGUAGAAAAUGUAAGGUGUAUAUUAAGAAUGUAGGGUGUGAGGGUAUUAUGGGGAAUGAAGUGGGGUGUAUUAAGAUAAGGGGUUUUUGAACAUUAGUCCUUACAAAAGAUUAAAAUUUUAAAAAAACCUGGCGCUAGAUUAAAUAUUCAAUUUAAUCCCUUGAAUAGUGCUUUUAUCAAAUUUUAGAUUCAAUUUUUGUUAUUUAAUGUGUAUUUUUAUUUAAUCACUCCAUAUUAAAUUUUAAUUUUAUUAAUAUGCACAUAUUUAGUUUUUUAAUUAUAAAUGAACGUAAAUGAGAAAAUAUUAAAAGACAUAUUUGUGAUACAAAAAUAUAUAAAUACAUAAGUGUACAGAAAUAACUAUGCCGAAAUAUAUAAAAUUGACUUUUUUUGUACCGAAAUAUUGUACCUACAUGAUUGUACCGAAAUAUAUUAUAAUUAACCUAAAUGUAUGUACCAAAAUGUAUUAUUGAAUUAAUGUACCUAAAUGUCAAUACCAAAAUAUAUGUACCAAAAUGUACGUACCGAAAUGUAUGUACCUAAAUGUCAAUACCGAAAUGUAUAUACCUAAAUAUCCAUACCAAAAUGUAUGUACCAAAAUGUACGUACCUAAAUGUAUUUACCGAAAUAUAAUAUAUUGAAUUAAUGUACCUAAAAGUCAAUACUCAAAUAUGUGUACCAAAAUGAACGUAAUGAAAUGCAUUAUAUUGAAUCAAUGUAACUAUAUGUUUGUACCAAUUGUCACAUCCCGGCCCGAGGCGGACCACUUCCCGAGCCCAUUCCACCACCGUAGCACGAUAUUGUCCACUUUGGGCCCCGACCAUGCCCUCACGGUUUUGUUUUUGGGAACUCACGAGCAAAUUCCCAGUGAGUCACCCAUCAUGGGAGUGCUCUAUCCUCCUUCUCCCUUAACUUCGGAGUUCCUACGGAACCCGAAGCCAGUGAGCUCCCAAAAGGCCUCGUGCUAGGUAGGGAUGAGAAUAUACAUUUAAGGAUCACUCCCCUAGGCGAUGUGAGAUGUUACAAUCCACCCCCCUUAGGGGCCCAACGUCUUCGUCGGCACACCACGGCCAUGGUUAGGCUUUGAUACCAAAUUGUCACAUCCCGGCCCGGGGCGAACCACUUCCCGCGCCCAUUCCACCACUGUAGCACGAUAUUGUCCGCUUUGGGCCCCGACCAUGCCCUCACGGUUUUGUUUUUGGGAACUCACGAGCAACUUCCAAGUGGGUCACCCGUCAUGGGAGUGCUCUAGCCUCCUUCUCGCUUAACUUCGGAGUUCCUACGGAACCCGAAGCCAGUGAGCUUCCAAAAGGCCUCGUGCUAGAUAGGGAUGAGAAUAUACAUUUAAUGAUCACUCCCCUAGGCGAUGUGGGAUGUUACACCAAUGGAUAUACCGAAUUAUUCAAAUAUAUUAAUGUACCUAAACGAAUAACAUACAAAAUUGUUAUCGGAAUAUAUAUUAUAAAAGAAUUACUUACCUAAAUGUAGACAUUAAAAUAUAUUAUGAUGAAUGAAAUAAAAAUUAAAUUUAAAUGUAAUUGAUACAUUAAAAUAAAAAUAAAUAAAUAAAUAAAUAAAACAUCAAAAUAUAACUAAUAAAUGAUAUGAUUAAAUGUACUAGGGACUAAAAUUGGAUUUUAAUCUUACACAAGGUUAAAAUCUAAAACUCAUAUUUUUUAAGGAUUAAAAUGAGGUUUUCUAAUAAGAUAAUUUUUAAUUGAAAAAGUAAAUGUGGGGUGUAUUAAGUAUGUAGGGUUUAUUCAACAACUUGUGGGGUGCUAAUAUAAUUACCCUUGUUCAUUUUUGGUGUGCCUGGAAAAUAUGGAUUUUCUCCUAUGUUGAUUACUUGAUUGAAGGCCCCAUCGCUCGUUUCCCGUUAUUCACGUCUUGAUUGAAGGCCCCAUCCCUCGUUUCCCGUUAUACACGUUGUAUCUAUCACUAGAUCAAGUUAUCAAUGAGACUUUAGUCGGAACCUUCCUGAUUAAAAACAAAAGACCGAAAAACUUCGGUGGGGACAUUUGCAAACAACUACAAAUGAAAAAUAAAAUAGUAGCAUCAUGCAUCGGUGGCAUAAAAAUCUUUACGCACCCACUUGUUCCAGAUGUUGGCACAUGAUCAUGCAUCGAUAGAUAUACGUAUGGACAAUGCAUGCCCUACCUUUCAAAUUAUGCCAAGAACAAUCGAUCGAGUGACCAGCGGUGGGACUUGGGAGAGCUAGGAAUAUUAGCAAGCUGCAUUUUCUCGAUUCCCACUCACUUGUUUGAGCAUACCGACUAAUCUGCUUGUUUCUUGACUUGUGGAUGUAUCCAAAGUUCAAUAUGGAUGCAUGACAUGUGAUGUAGGUCAGGAGGUUUUCGUUCUUUUCAAAAGAAGUAUAUGUUGGAAAAGUUAGACAUGGAAUUGAUACACAGUUAAUAUGCUUUUGUACCGUCAUUCCCUAUAACCAAAAAUUCGUUAUUGUCAUUAAAAAAAGAGAGAAUUUUUUAUUUCUAUUAUUAUAUUUAAUUAGUCUCUUGCUACAUUAAAUAAAAGUUAUUGAUACUUUCAUAAUAAAGCUUCAUUAAUUUGGUAAAAUUUUACAUAUAGUUAUAUAAAUGUAUUUAAAACUCAUGAUACAUUUGAAAAUAAACAUACCGAUUUUUGGUACGUUUAGAUUUUAAAUGAACUAAUAAACAAAUGUACCAUAAAACUAAAGAGUAAAUUGUAGCUAUGGUCCCUUAACUUUAACUCAAUUGGAGCAAUGGUCCCUCAACUAAAAAUCCAUUACCAUUGGUCACUCAACUUUAAUUCAACUGGAGAAAUGGUCCUUUAACUUUAACACAAUUGUAGCAAUGGUCCUUUAACUUUAACCCAAUUGUAGCAAUGGUCCUUCCAACAUAACUCAUUUUGACAAAAUUUUUGAUGUAGUUGACGAAAAUGACCAUAAUUACACACUUUGAUGAGUUGAAGGACCAUAAUUAUAUAAAUGGUUAUUCCAACAUUACUUAUUUUGACAAAAUUUUGACGAAAUUAAUGAAAAUGAUUAUAGCUACACAUUUUGAUAAGAUGAUGGACCAAUGGUAAUGGAUUUUUAGUUGAGGGACCGUUGCUCCAAUUUGAUUAAAGUUGAGGGACCAUUGCUACAAUUUACUUCUAAAACUAAAAUUACCCAUAUUAUAGGUAAUCAAUUGUACCAAUACAAUCAAACGUACCUUUACUAUGAUUAUGUAUGUGAUAAGGAGUUUUGAACCUUCUAUUUAAUUCACUAAACCAAAUAUUAUAAUAAACAAUAAAAAAUCUAAAAUCUCCAGAACGAGAGAUGCAUAUAACUAUAACAAAUUCAUAGGUAAGGAAUGAUAGGGAAAAAAGGAAAACGAAAGUGAAGAUGUAAUGUGAAAUUUGUUAGGGUGGCUAGUAAACAAUUUCAUGAAAAUAAAGGUAAAAAAAAAAGAAAAAAAGAAACGUCUAAAAUUGAACCUUUAAUAAAAUGAAAUUAAUCACCAAAACUGUACGAAAAAUGUUUAAUCAAAUUCUUAAAGGGAGUUUUAAUGAAAAGCCCGCGCUACUGUUCACUUUAAUAAAAAACCAUAUUUUUACACUAAAAAGUCAAACCUGGUAUUUUUCACUUUACCCUUUAUUUUGUUAAAAUCGUUAAAACUCAAAGUUUUUAAAUCAUUUUCAUUAGUUUUCAUAUUCUUAAAAGUAAUAGAUGUUUAAUCACCAAAAUUAAAAAACAAGGCGUUUAUAUCAAAACACCCCCAAACUAUGUAAAAUAAUCAUGGGAGCACAAACCAUACCCCUAAGAAUAAAGAGAAAUUGCAACACGUGAAAUGCAUGGCUUUUCAUUUUUAGUAUAAACAGGGUUGUCUCUGAAAUUUCGGGGAUCCUAUGCAAAUUUAUAAAAGGGCCCUUUUUAAGAUAAUCUUAAAAAAAAAAAACAAAAAAAAAAAUUUGAACUUCGUGGUUGUUUUUCUUUAACAAAAAACCUAUCAAUAACUCGUUUUUUAGACGAGUCAAUUGUUCAACUUUUUUUCUUUGGCGUUUCAAGUAGCUACAUAAAUAUUUUUAGUAGGUGUCAUCUUUUAUAUCUCAAACAAUAUCAUAAUUAAAUUAUACUAAGCAUAUACAAUAAAACCUAAUAGUUCGCAAUGCAUGUGCGUCUAAUGGUUUUUGUUUACUGCUCCCCUCUUGCUAUGACAAUUACUUGAUUAAUUUUUAUGAGUUUUGCCCUAAAAAGUACAAAAGGAAAAAAAAUAUCAUUAUUAAUAAAAAUACCUAAAUCUUCUAAUUCCAACUUAAUAUACUUGAACUAGUAGUACCUCAUUUUAAUCGAAAUCUACACCACUCUGACCACUUCAAUUGUCUUCAUGAUUUGGAAAUUUUUCUUCAAUGACAGGAAAUUUUGUUUAAGAUAAUAUAAUAUAAUAUCUUCAAUGACAGGAGUGAGAAUUGAGAAACAUUGUGAAUAAUAUCAUUAUUUUAUAAUUUUUAUAAAAUUUCUUACGAUUUGAUGACUUAUGUAGGCAUUCAUGUAGUUUGUGGUUUGUGGUUUGUGGGGCCCACUAGGAUUUUUUUAUCUUUUAUGUGGUUCUGAUUAGCCUUUUUAUUUAUAUAAAUAAUAUAAUAUUAUUUCAUAAGAUAUCCGAUUAGAUAGAAAACUAUUUUGGGGAUUCUUAAAUUUUGAGACCGUGUGCCAUGGAACCGGUAGCUCCCCCUCAACGUCAGCUCUGAUUAUAAAUACAAGAUGGUGUUCUUGGAUGAGAUUGUCCAUCUUUUACAUGCUUUCUAGAACUUCGCUACAAUGGCUUUAAUCCCAUGGUUUCUCCUUCUCAUCAGCCUCAUAUCUACUCUGCCAGUUGAUGUCACUCUAUCUGCUGAUCACCAGGAUAACCGGAAGGCAUUCAUAAAAGAUGCAUUUUGAACAAUUCCGUUUCUCUGCUCAAAAUAUGUUCAUUAAUUAAUUUAAUCUUCUGAUCUUGGAUAUAUUAACUGCAGGAUUAUAUUGUGUAUAUGGGUGACAAGCCAAAGCCAGAGGUUUCCACCACUACCACAUCAGCUCUUCAUGUAAACAUGCUACAAAACGUCAUCGAUGACAGGUUUAAUUAAUUAUCACAUAUGAUAGUGGGCUUAGUUAUAUAUACUGAUCACUGUUUGAAAAUACUCGCAUCGAGGGCCUUAGCGGGUGGCUUGCCGUCUAUAUUUUGUGGGAGUCGGCGAAAAACUCGCAUAGCUUCGUCGGGGCGUGCCUCAGGACGUUUGAUUGGGCGUCAGUUUUGUAUAAAGGUUGUCGAAUCUGAAAAAAAAAUAAAAAUUGAUUGAAAUCUGGGUUUUGUUUUCAGUUGCAUAGCAGUCUGAAGAAGAUGAAGAAGACGCCAACUUGUUGGCUGAUUUUUCUUUUCUUUUUUUUUUAAUUAUUUUUUUCACUUUAUUAGCCGCUGUUAAAUCAUAUCUUUUAGCAUAUUCUAUCUUUUAGCAUAUUCUUUAUUAGCCGCUGUUAAAUCAUAUCUUUUAUAUUAUUUUUAUGAAGUAUAUAGACCUAAAAAAACCUCAAAAGACCCUAUAAAAACUCAAAAUAUAUCUUUACUUUUUAACGUUAUAUAUUACCCUUUAUUUUUCUUUUUAAGACUCCACAUCCACAUAUCUCAUCAAAAUAAUAUGUAUAUGUAUGUAUGUAUUGUAUAUAUAUUAAAAAAUUUAAGUUCCGUGAGGUUUCGCCUCAUGCCUCAAUGUUUUCACCUAGACAGAGCUAUCCACAACACGUUCACCUACACAUUCGCCUUUUAAACAUUGAUACUGAUUAACAUUAUUCGUGACAAGUGUACCAUUUAAUUUAGUCAUCUCUCAUACAUACACAUCUUCUCUUUGUUUUUCAAGCUUAAUUAUGGCAGAGUUUGAAAGUGUCAAAUUUUUUAAGAUUUUGAUUUUUGACGUUUAUUUAUCCAGCAAUAUUGCGCACGAAUCUCUGCUUCUGCACAGCUACAAGAGAACCUUCAAUGGCUUUGCUGCCGAGCUAACAGAGGAAGAAGCACAGAAGUUGGCUGGUUGUCUUAUGAACCCAACUUAAUUUUAUUUUUCAACUUGAAUAAACAUUAAAAGUGACCAUUGUAUGACUUGAAAAAUAUAUGCAGGAAUGGAUGGUGUGGUGUCUGUUUUCCCUAGUGAAACUAAGAAGCUCCAAACAACACGGUCAUGGGACUUCAUUGGGUUUCCUAAAAUAGUGAAGAGAAGCGCCAUUGAAACUGAUAUCAUUGUCGGGGUGAUUGACUCUGGAAUUUGGCCUGAAUCUGCCAGCUUCAGUGACGCCGGGUUUGGUCCACCCCCCAAAAGGUGGAAAGGCGCAUGCAAGGGCGAAGGCAAUUUUACUUGCAACAAGUAAAGCAAACCAGUUUAUUUCAACCAUCCACUGCACAUUUCAAAAAACGAAAAAAAACAAAACAUCACGUGUUGUUGUUAAUUACACUUAGACAGAAACAAAAAGUGCGAACUUGAUUUAUACGAUAUGUUGUCAAAUUGUAACUCUGACUUAAAUAAUAUGACAUACUGUUGUUACACUUGGACAGUAAAAUUAUCGGAGCACGGUAUUACCGCGGUCAACCCUACCCACAAAAUAGCAGUGAUAUCUUGUCUCCGAGGGACACGGAUGGCCAUGGAACCCACACUGCAUCAACAGCAGCAGGGAACUUAGUUAGCAAGGCAAGUCUGUAUGGUUUAGGGUUGGGGACAGCAAGAGGAGGCGUGCCAUCAGCACGCAUUGCGGUGUACAAAGUUUGUUGGUUAGAUGGGUGCCCGGAUGCUGAUAUUCUAGCGGCAUUCGAUGAUGCCAUAGCUGACGGUGUUGACAUACUCUCUGUCUCCCUUGGGGGGUUUAAACCGUUAGAUUAUUUCAGAAAUUCCAUUGACAUUGGAGCUUUUCACGCUUUAAGAAAAGGAAUAUUCACUUCCGCGUCUGCUGGUAAUGAAGGGCCAAACCUGAAAACUAUUACAAACUUUGCACCAUGGUAUCUUGCUGUGGCUGCUAGCACCAUAGAUCGCCACUUUGAUACCAAGGUUCAAUUGGGAAACCACAAAAUUUAUGAGGUAACUGAUACAGAAUCUAACCUUUGCUCAUUUAGGGCUUUGUUUGGUAGUGAUUCUGGUUGGGCAGUAUAUACACUUUUGGAGAAUCAACAUUAUAUAUAUAUAUAUAUGCUGCAGAUGCACCAAAAUACUAGAGAAUUGAUUAAAACAUGAAAGUUGAUUAUGAUUUGUUUUUGCUUCCUUGGUAGGGAAUAGUAACAAACACAUUUGAACUCAAGGGUAAAUUCUACCCCAUAGUAUAUGCUGCAGACGUUCCAGAUACGGCAGCUGGUUACGAUGGGGAAACAUCCAGGUAUGUGUACGCAUUUUGAGAGUAUAUAUACCAUUUAUAUUGAAGAACCACGGUAGUCUAGCAUAAGUCUAACCAGGUGCUAAUAACAUGGAUAUAUAUAUAUAUAUAUAUAUAUAUAUAUAUAAUAUAUAUAUAUAUAUAUGGAGCAGGUUAUGCCGAAUAGGCACGUUAGACAAAAAAUUGGUGGAGGGUAAAAUUGUUCUUUGUGAUGGGCCUACUGGGUAUGGGGCUAUAUAUGCAGGCGCAUUUGGUUAUGUUUUGACAAGCCGAAUAGCAGCAGAUGUAAUCGAUCCUGUUCCAGUACCAGCAGCUUCCGUUUGGUUCCACGUUGGUAACGAAAUUGCCCAUUACUUAAACUCAACCAGGUAUUAAUAUUUGAGAAUGACAGUGCAUGAUUGAUUUAAAAUAUUACUAAUGCGCCCGUUUGUUAGAGUGAGGCCCAACGGGCUCGUUAAUCCAAAAAUUCCAAUGAGCUUGUCACCAGGAAUGAAACAAGCCAGGACUCUUAACAAAGAGCCGGCAUCUAAGUUCCAUUAAAAACAAGUUUGGACUCUUAACAUACAGCCAACCUUCGAGUUUCAAUUGCCGAUGUGUUGAUCUCUAUGUAUGAACCACUAAAUGAGGUUACACGUGAAGGGAAGUGUUGGAAUCCUACAUCGGUGGGUGCAAAAGAAAAUAACAGGUUUAAGUAUGAUUGCCCCACUCUAACUAAUAUCGAGACCUUCUGUAAUAAAACCCCAUACUUGACGGAUUAGGUAUGUAGUAAAGUUGAGGACAGUAUUGAUGUUGUUAGAGUAGAGCCCAAUGGGCUCGCCGAUCCAAAAAUCCAACAAAACUAACAUAAAUCAAAAGAUCACUUUUAUGCUAUUGCUAAUAAAUCCUGAAUCCCUGUAAUGAUUCGCAGGAACCCAACAGCAACAAUUUGGAAAAGUACUGAGGGCAUGGAUGCACUGGCCCCAUACGUACCUUCAUUCUCAUCAAGGGGUCCAAAUCCAAACACUCCUAACAUUCUCAAGGUAACUUCAAGGCCCCGUAGGUGUGUGAAUGCUGACUUAAAAAAUGAACAAACCGAAUCAUGAAUAUUGAGGGGUCUUAAUUGUCCUAUUUGUUUUCUCCUAUAUGUUGCAGCCAGAUAUCGCUUCUCCUGGAGUUUCCAUUCUAGCAGCAUGGCCUCCAAUUGCCCCAGUUUCAGGUUUUGAAGGUGAUGACAGGGUAACUGCAUACAAUAUAUUAUCGGGGACAUCAAUGGCAUGCCCACAUGCUGCGGGCGUGGCUGCAUACGUCAAAUCAUUUCACCCCAAUUGGUCACCUGCUGCUAUCCUGUCAGCUCUUACGACUACUGGUAUAGAUGCAUUUUCAUAUAUGUACCCAUUACAAUACAACCAUUCUCUCACAUAUUUGAUGACCAAUUAUUGUCAGAGAUCAUGUGACCAAGUCUUGUGAGAGACUCCACAUAUAAUUAGACUUUGUCUAUGAUGUACAUUGUAUUACCUAAGAUUUAUAUGUUUGAUUAUUUUGUAACAAUUUUGCAGCCAAACCUAUGCGUGCAAAUCUUAACCCUGAAGCCGAAUUCGCAUACGGUGCUGGCCUAAUAAAUCCUAGUAGGGCUCCGUAUCCUGGUUUGGUAUACGACGCUGCUGAAAUCGAUUACGUAAAUUUUUUGUGUGCACAUGGCUAUAGUACCAGAUUAUUGAAAGCUCUUACCGGGAAUAGCCAUAGCUGCUCAUCAUCACAAUCUAGUCAUGGAACACUCAGUGAUCAUCUAAACUAUCCUUCUGUUGCACUUUCCACCUCGAACCCUAAAUCCGUCAAUGGCAUUUUCAAUAGGACCGUCACAAAUGUUGGAUCACCGAAGUCCACAUAUAAAGCUAAAGUGAGUGCACCACCAGGACUUGAAAUCAAAGUUAAUCCAAGCGUUCUAAAGUUCACAUCUCUCGGGCAAAAGCUAUCGUUUCAAGUCACGGUGAAAGGGUUGAUUGAAAAAACCAUAGUCUCCGGUUCUCUAGUGUGGGAUGAUGGUAAAUUCCAAGUGAGGAGCCCCA
RNAcentral lists this long non-coding RNA (117009 nucleotides) under Malus domestica (apple). RNAcentral describes it as "long non-coding RNA (MDOM_LNC007056)". The record is from RNAcentral. Lineage: Eukaryota; Viridiplantae; Streptophyta; Magnoliopsida; Rosales; Rosaceae.